GAAAAGGCCUGAACAAUUGGUCAGCUCCCAGCAGCCUGGUCUUUGGGCCCAAAUGGGCAUGGCUCUAAUUAAAGGUUGUUACUCAGGCCACCUGGUCUGUUCUCUCCCCGUGAAGUGCAUUGCGCCAAAAGGUAUAUCACGUCAAGGUAGAAAGUGGAAAUCUAACAAAACGUUUCAUCGCUGAAUAUUGGGAUGUGCCACAGUGCAAAGAAAGAUCACUCAUUCCAGCCAGUGGAACGCAUUUAAUAUUGUCCAAUCCUAAAAAGGACUGACUGCAAGAUCCAAGCUGAACGGUAUCCAGACAUCUUAGCAUGGCCCACAAGGUCUUCCAUGAUGUGCCUUCGCUGAUCUCGGCUUCCCCACAAGGUCAUGAUCAUCCUGCCCCAAGGCCUGUGCCGUUCCCUGGGCUGGACUACCUUCCCCACCGAUCUCAGGGAUGGCUCCCAUUGGUUCCAGUUUCAGCUGAAAUGUCACCUUCUCAGAGACCUCUUCCUCUGUCCCAGGGCACAGCCUUUCACAUGACCCUGUCAUUUCUCGUCUUCGCAGCAUCGAGGCUGUGGGAAUACCUCUGCUUUGAUUUCCUGCUGCCGUCUGUCUCCAUCACUAAAAUGAAACUCCCUGAAAGUAGGAAUGGUCUGUGGUCUGCAGGUGGUACCUUAGCAUCUAGAAUAGUGCCAGGCAUGAAGCAGAUGCUCAGUAAUACUUGUGAUGUUUUAAUUAAUGACGCUAAGGGCAUAAAUAGAGACUAUAUAAUGGUCUUUGUAUUCAUUUGCAAUAGAAGAAACUUCAAUGAAAAGGGAAGGGGCAUAUGUAAUGGCAAAGGCUAUCAGUGAAUUUAUGAUUGCCUGGAUCUUUAUGAGUCUUAAUUGAAAUCUCACCAAACUAACACCUAUUCACCUUUCAGCUCGGAAGCAGAGCUCACUCCCUUCUGGAAGCUUCCCCAACCAACAUAUUUUCUUCAGUCUUGCUUCGUCACUUAUACGUCUUCCAUGAUCGCACUAAUCACACUGUACUAUAACUUCCAGCUUCCUAGUUUGCCUUCACCACCGGACUGUUUUUGUCUUGCAUAGUGCAUGGUACUUUGUUGUUACCCAGUAAUUAAAAAUAAAUAAGAUAGGGGCACCUGGCUGGCCUAGUCAGAGGAGAAUGCGACUCUUGAACUCAGGGUUGUGGGUUCGAGCCCCACGUUGGGUGUAGAGAUUAUUUCAAAAUAAAAUCUUUAACAAAAUAAAUAAAACCAACCAAACUGAACCCAGCCAAACAAAAUAAGAUAAAAUAAGAUUAAAUAAGAUAAAAGAAAAGGAAAGAAAAGGAAAGAAAAUGAGAUAAAAUAAAAUAAAAUAAAAUAAAAUAAAAUAAAAUAAAAUAAAGGGAUGCUUAUGACAUGGUUUUAAAGGAAAGCUCUAAGUUGCCACUGGAGGACUUUUCACCGACUGUUAAAGUGUCUAAUAAACCCCCUGUGCCCAGAAAUCACUCGGGCUCUCUCCCCUCUUUGAGUGAUUACCAAGAGGCAUUAUAACCCUCUGGGGAGUCUUAGCUCCCAGACUCUGCCAUUUACAGUGUAAUGUAAGAAGUCCGUUUCUGGAAGCAGCACCGUGCAUGGUGGUACCUUCCAGCAUAGUGAAAACUCGAAAAAUAGGGUGGUCUCAGCCAGGGGUCAAAUUGCAGAUACAAUGCUUUAUGUAUCUGGCAGUGCUCUAGAGACAAAUACAUAAUCACCGAGGUAUGCGAUCCGGUCGGAAAAUUCAGGCCAGAUAGAAUGACACGGGUAGAAACGCACACGCACACAAACACACGUAACAAUGAGCGCUCUUAUUUGUAAAAACCACAUGAAGGGAUGGCAGUUCCCUACCUCUGAAGUGAUUUAUAAAUUAAAAUAAUUGCCUCUUUGAACUGUUCAGAUAUUAAUUGACCUAUCACUAAUGUAUGCACGGUCCCCAAACCAUCCAAACAUUACCUAAACAUUUUUAUUCCCUUUAUUCUGGAUAUCCAAAAAGACCACAAAAAUAGGCUCUUUGUUCUGACGCCAAGGGCCAUAAAGGAAAAGCCAUCAUCUUUGAUGACUUUGCUGUUCUUAUUCUAUUUCUUCCUCAAAUUAAUUCUAAGUGAAAUAGUGAGUACUCUGAGCUUGAAUAAGCCUUCCCACUCCCCUCCCCUUCUAACAAUCUCAUCCCAGCGCACAUGGAUCCAGUUCUGGCUCAGAUUUCUGGUAAUGAGAGCAGGGCAAUUCAUUAUUUUUUUUUAUUAAUUUUAGCUUUGGGUACACAUCCCAAACCACCCCAGAUUGUGGGUGGCAGGCAUUUCCUUCCUAGGUAGAAUGAGGGAGAAACUACACAUUGGCCAAGGCCCAGAUGUGCAUAGACUGGAACAAGUUUCCUGGGGGCCCAUUCCGCAGAGGGUGAUCUUGACCUAAAUUGAAAGGCAGGCAGAAAAGCUUAGCGCUUAAGACAGGAGCUUUAGAGCAGUAGUUGCAAACCAGAGGCGAUUUUGCAUCCCACCCCCAGGGCAAAUAUGGCAAAUCCGGACACAUUGUUGGUUGUUCCAACUUGGCACAACCUGGCAGUUGGCAGGGGUGGGAGGGUGGGGUGUGGAGGGGAGUGCCAGUGGCACCUAAUAAGCAACUGAGGAUAGUGCUCAGUCCUACGAUGCCCAAGACAGUCCCCACAACAAAGGACUAUCCAGUCCAAAAUGUCAAAAGUGCUGAGGUUGAGAACUCUACCCUAGAGUCCAAAACAUUUGAAUUCACAUUCCCACUCUGCUCUUUUAUGGCUGGGACUGUGGGCCAUGUUUCCUGAUCUCUCCGAGCCUCAGAUUUCUCUUCUGCCAAUGGAGAUAAUGAUAAAAUACCCACUCUGCUGGCCUUCUGUCAAGGCUGGCACUGGUGAGGGUUUGUAAGUACAAUUUAUUUUCAUUUCUCUAUUAACGUAUUCGUUUUAAGUUCGUUUUUGAGAUGGAGACAGUGCAAGAGGGGGAGGGGCAGAGAGAAAGGGAGGCAGAAUCCCAAGGAGGCUCCAUGCUGUCAGCACAGAGCUGGACAUGGGGCUCGAACUCACAAACCCUUGAGAACAUGACCUGAGACAAAACCAAGAGUCAGACGCUCAGUGGACUGAGCCACCCGGUCUCCCCUGAUGUAUUUUAUUUUUUUAAUGUGUUUUCAUUUACUACAUAAUUAUUGUAAGAAUCAAGUACUUUUAAAAAUUUUAUUUUUUGUUUUAUUCCAUUUUGUUUAUGAAAAAAAUGUUUUUAUGUUUAUUUUUAUUUUUGAGAGAGAGAGAGAGAGAGAGAGAGAGAGAGAGAGAGACAGAGCACCAGCAGGGGAGGGGCAGAGAGAGAGGGAGACACAGAAUCUGAAGCAGGCUCAGGCUCUGAGCUGUCAGCACAGAGCCCGACACAGGGCUUGAACCCAUGAACCCUGAGAUCAUGACCUGAGCUGAAGUUGGACGCUUAACCAACUAAACCACCCAGGCACCCCUAUUCUAAUUUGAUUUAGAAAGAGAGUAUGUGCAAAUCAGGGAGAAAGGCAGAGGAAGAGAGAGUGAGAGAGAGAGAGAGAGAGAGAGAGAGAGAGAAUCUUAAGCAGGUUCCACACUCAGCACAGAGCCCAACACAGGGCUCAAUCCCAUGACCCAGGGAUCAUGACCUAGGCCUAAAUCAAGAGUCAGACGCUCAACCAACUGAGCCACCCAGGUGCCCCAAGUACUUUUUUUUUUUUUUAAAGUAAGUUCUACACCCAGUGUGGGGCUUGAACUCACAACCCCGAGAUCAAGAGUCACAUGUUAUAGCGACUGAGCCAGCCAGGCAUCCCUCUGUUAAUGAAUUUUAAAUGAAAACACAAAUUGCCACAACUUGAGGGGAACUGUCAACUUUUAAAUUUCGGUUCUGAACCCAAGUUUUACUUUGUCUUUAUAUUAAUGCAAAAUGCAUGAUUCAAUGGAAGGAUACAGAAACGCAUAAUUCAAUCUAUAAAAUAGAAAGAUCUGGCAAUAAUUGACUCUUCGUUUGGUGUGGCUAAGUAACACUAAUUUCAAAAUGUCAAAAACCCAUUCUGUUUUGAGUCAAUAAUAGGAAAAAACAAUUAUGAAUAGAUAUGUUUUCCAGCCUCUACCCAGAUCCAUGGUGGCAAAGUCAGAAAUACAGGACUACUUGCUUGAGUUUAAAAAGUUAAAAAAGUCCCAAGUUUCUAGUGGGCAAAGACACAGCGUUUUCAAAAUGCUUAAGAGAGGAGAAGAAAAUGGACAUCUAAGUCACAUUCUGGUAUACUUCCAUGUGAUGUUAAUGUGUAAUACCAGUUUAAGCAAAUAUGACUGCUAUACAAAGUUUAAUAUUUAUUUGAAUAUGAAAUCAAUGUGGUCUUAUAACACGUUUACACGAGAAUUGUCCUGAAACUGUUAUUUAAAAUCCGAAAUCUUUUGGUAUUACAUAGAAAUAGUGUGCUAGUGCUUUAUAUCAACUGAAAAUACUGUUCCCAGAUAAUCUGAUGUGUGAAAAUCACGGCCUCCCGAUACUUGUGAAAGUCACAACUCACCCUUCCUUGUACUGGUUCUUACUUAACAGACCAACGAGGAUAGUCCUGGGGUGCCUGGAUUAAUACAGUUAGUCCUGGAUUCUCUCUCUCUCUCUCCUUCCGCCCCCUCCCCUGCCCUCUCUCACGUACAUGUGCUCACUCCCUCUCAAAAUAAAAAAUAAAAAUUAAAUAACAAUUUUUAAAAAAGAGGACAGUCUUUCUGGUCAUUCUACAGAUAUUUCCUGAGUGCUAACUAUGCGCACCCACUAUGACAGGUGCUGGGGAUAGGUCAUGUUUUGCAACAUUCAAACGGUCAGGAGAUAGCAUAGCUUGGAGAGUGAGUUCUCAGAUUCGGGACUCAAAGAAAGGUGGCUUGAUUUCUGGUUAAGCCAUGUGUUAGCUGGUGACCCUCUGGCCACCUAUCAAACUUGCCAGAGGCUCAGUUUCCUCAGCUGAAAAAUAGGCUGAGAGAGUUUUUCUCCCCUUUUGUUAAAAAAAAAAAAAAAUGCCAGUACAAAGCACUGUACAAAGCACAGUACAGAGCACAGUACAAAGCAUUAAGAAAAGUGCUCAAAAACCAGUUAUGUUAUUAUAAGGGCCACUAUGCUAUUUUUACAGCCCAGAAAUGGCCCAGUUUUGGAAAAUGGAGGCCGUGUUUCUACAUCAAUGGGAGAAUUUAAAAAGCAUUACAAACGGGAGGCUGAAUAAGCCAUAUUUCUUACAGUUACGUGUAUACGCUUACCAAAUGGAGCCAGCUGUCACAAAAACAAUCCAAGGUUGUUGUUGCUGCUUUUUGUUUUAAUUCUUAAACUUCUGAUGGCCAACUGGAUGCUUAAUCCAGUAGCUGGCCGAGCUUCUCCACAUGGCAUUGUUUACAUAUUUUCUUCAGACAUGGGUAGUAUUAUGAAACAAACCCUUCGGUUUGCACACAUUCAGAGCUGCUCUCUAACUUCACUUCUGACAAAUGUAUUUUUUUAAUGUUUAUUAUUUUUGAGAGAGAGAGAGAGAGAAAAACAGAGCAUGAGUGGGGGAGGGGCAGAGAGAGAGGGAGACACAGAAUCAGAAGCAGGCUCCAGGCUCUGCCAGCACAGAGCCCAAUGCGAGGCUCGAACUCAUGAGCUGUGAGAUCAUGACCUGAGCCAAAGUUGGAUGCUUAACCAACUGAGACAUCCAGGUGCCCCCUGAUAAAUGUAUUUUUUAUAGACAGCCAACUCAUGACAAAAUUCUCCAUGGUCGUGAAGAAGAAACACAAAUGGUAAAUAGCACUUACUGUUUUUCUUAUUAAAAAAAAAAAAAGCAAUAUGUGGUUUCUUGUGAAAAAUAUAAAAAACACAAAAGGAAGAAUAUAAAACAUUCACCUCUAAUCUCAAAGACCAGAGAGAGUUUUUCUUUUCUGUGCGUGUGUGUGCAUGUGCGUGUAUGUGUUUGUAGGCAUACACAUUGAAUGCUACUCUCCCUCAACAAACUUUUCCUACUUCAUUUUAUCCUUGAUUGGGAUCACCAGAUGUUACCAUACUAAAAACAGAGGUCAGCAAACUCUUUCUGUGAAGGGCCACAUAGUAAAUAUGUCAGACUUUGUGGGCCAUGUCAUCUCUGUCACAACUAUUUGAUUCUGCCAUGGUAGCAUGAGAGCCACCAUAAACAAUCUGUAAAUGAACGUGGCUGCAUUUUGCUCACUGCAGGCUAGAUUUCUCCCCAGCCCGUAUUUUGCUGACUCUUGUACGAGAGCCUCAUGGAUAGUUAUGAUAGAUUAUGAAGCAUAAUUAUACUCUAGUGGUAUCACUAAGUAUAUUUUGUUAUAACGCUUCCAAGGAAAAACGCUGGCUCUCUAAUCUCGUAGAGCGCUUUUUAAAAUUUAUUUUUUAUUUGAUUUUUUUUUAAGUAAUCUCCACAGCUACUGUGGGGUUCGAACUCACACCCGGAGAUCAAGAGUCACACGCCCCACCAACUGAGCCAGCUGGGCACCCAAUGCCUUAGACGAUUUCUUAAAGGGUUAUCACGUGAGCGCGUAUUUUGAGAAAUUAAACAUAAACGAAAGAUAACCAGGCAUGAAAGGAAACAAGUUUUCUGGAGGUCAAUUAAAAAUGCAAAGGACUCCUGACACGGCUCAUAAUUAAGUGUGUGCUUGUUUCCCCUGAGCUCGUCGUGUUGUUUGGGGAGCAGCAUUCCCAGGGAAUGCACGAAGAGGUGGCCUGUUUCUCCUGGCUACCAGAGUCUUUGUGUUGCCUUACGUGAAUAGUGUGAAUCCAACUCUCUGUCGCAGCUGCUCCCAAGAUCCAGUAGCUUUCUCAAAUAAUAACAUCAUUUGUUACUAAAUGGUUCAAAUGGGGGAAAGGAAGUCCUUGAAUGGAUUCCUUUGUGUUUCAUUCUGUGGAAACAGAGAGGCAUGGGUUAUAGGUUGUGCUCUGCGGGAAGCUAAGUCAGGGUCAAAUAUUAGCAUUUGGGAGGUUGAUUAGGAAGUGCUCUUGGGAUCAACACCUGGGGACGGGGUGGGACAAAAGCAGGAUGGGGCAGCGAGAGAGAGGUUGGGCUGUUCUGCACUCUCAGCAAAAGCUCAGCAGACCCCAGUGGGAGCUCUGGAGCUGGGGAGACCCUGCGACAUCGUCCUGAGUUGGAGAGAGGAGGUCUGGCCUUUCCAGUGGUGUUGACCAGGUACUGGCAGAGGGCAAGGUAGCGUCCCUCAGCGGUCUUUUCCCAAGGUGGGCAGACAACCAAGGGUGCUUUCUAGCAGGGAGGAUAAGUCCUUCAACCCCGAAGGAAGUUUAUGGGUGGUGCGUCAGGGCACCUACUGUCUCCAGGGUUAACUCGAGAUGAGAAACUUGCCCAAGUCAAUAUUCUGUCCUUAGUUUGAAAAACCAAUGUUUUAGGGGUAGUGUGGCAUUUUAGCUCAGGUUUAAUUAAGCCAUUUUGGUUUAGUGAUUUCACUGAGUCAUUACUUCAGUUUCAAGACCUGGCAACUCUCUCUGUGCAAGGCACUGUCAGUGCAUGUAAGUUAGACACAAAAACAAAUUCAAGGCCUAGGUCUUGUCCUCGGGGACCUGAUAGUCUCUUUGGAGAAUGCAGAAACUUGAGAUUCAAGGAUUUUGAAGUGGUGACAAGUAUUGGGGAUGAUGUAGCAAUUCUUGGGCUUAAAAAAACACCCUUUGGGGCGCCUGGGUGGCUCAGUCGGUUAAGCGUCCGACUUCGGCUCAGGUCACGAUCUCACUGUCCGUGAGUUGGAGUCCCACGUCGGGCUCUGUGCUGACAGCUCAGAGCCUGGAGCCUGUUUCGGAUUCUGUGUCUCCCUCUCUCUCUGACCCUCCCCCGUUCAUGCUCUGUCUCUCCCUGUCUCAAAAAUAAAUAGUUAAAAAAAAAAACAAACCACGCUUCACCCAACCCAAAUUCAUGCAAAAGAAUUCCCAUUUUACUUUUUUAAGCCACUACCCUUUAUAAGUUUAUUAAUAAAUGGCAUUAGUAAUAAUCAUGGCUCCGUUUCUGCUGCAGGGAAGCCUGGGGUAAUAAACAGAGUAGAGAUGUGUGGCAAGACUUGGAGACUGGUAUCAUGGCCAAGAUUUAUUAUCUCCGAUAGACACUUAGUUAUCUAAAGUCCCCUGUGCCAGCUACCCCAGCUUUCAAUACUGUGAUCUAUCAUUUUCUUUGGGGUGUCACUUUUUUCUUCCCCCGAGGGUUGUAUAUAUUUUACCAGCAUAUUAUAAUACAUUACAGAUAUUACCCAAGGGUCCCAUUGAAUAAGAAUCCUAUAUUCAAAACACACUUUGACUCACAAAUGGAAUACAGCUUUAGCGCUUUUUCACCUGCAAGUUACAAACGAGAUCCCUGUACAAUUAAGAAGCCAGAGUGGGACUUUAUACUGGCACCUGGAGGGUUGUGGACCAAGUUCAAGAAUAUGAAAAAGUGUUUGUGGAAUUCAGAGGAGAGCAAAAAAGAUCUCAUUCAGAACACGUAAAAUGCCCAAAUAACUGCUUCCGUGUGACAUACAUGCAAGGCAUAUGUAACUACCUGGGGUUUUACGGUUUUUAGGAAAUACUGGACGUCAAAUAUCAUGUUCAGCAACAACACAAUUCUUUUUUUAAAAAACUUUUUUUUUUUUUUUUUUACACUAUCUCUAUUUUUGAGAGACAGAGAGAGACAGAACAUGAGUGGGGGAGUGGCACAGAGAGGGAGACACAGAAUCCGAAACAGUCUCCAGGCUCUGAGCUGUCACCACAGAGCCCGAUGCGGGUCUCGAACCUACAGACUGUGAGAUCAUGACCUGAGCUGAAGUCGGACGCUUAACCGACCGAGCCAUCCAGGUGCCCCACCGCAAUAACGCAAUUCAGUAUCAGCGGUUUCGUUUACUCAUUAUUUAUUCCUUCUUUCAUUCCAUCCAGGCAGCAUCACUGAUAUCGUCUGUGUGGAUGGCGCCUCUGGAGCUGGGCAGUACACAGCCUGUACAACUGCAUCCUGGGGCCCCGAUUCAACAAUAUGUACUGGGUGAGUAUGUGCCAGGCACUGUGCUGGGCACUGAGAGCAGAGUGGUGAGCAAGACAGAUUCGGAUCUUGCCCUCAUGGAGCUUUAUUUAAAUGAAGUCGGAAAAAAACCCCACAAAAAGCAAACAAAUACAAGUUGAGAUAAGUCCUCUGAAGUAUAGGAACAGGAUAGGAUAUGGACCUCUCACAGGGAGAUCUAGGCUGGCAGGUAAGAAAUUCUGAGGAAGUAACUCUGAAGGGGGGCCCUAAAAGACAAGAAUGUGUGUGGUUGUGAAAACUGGGAUAGGGAAGAUCAAGAAGUAGUAUGAGAUAGCCCCAGAACUGAACCGGACCAGUGUAGACGGGGUACAGACGUGGGAGCGGGAGGAGAUGGGGCUGGAGAAGCAGACAGGGGACAGACCUUCCAGAGCUUUGAAGGCAGUGUUGAGGAUUUCGGUCUUCGUCCUAAGAAAUAUCAGAAGAGGGCACCUGGGUGGCUCAGUUGGUUAAGCGUCUGACUUCAUCUCAGGUCAUGAUCUUGCAGUUCCUGGGUUCGGGCCCCGUGUAGGGCUCUGUGCUGACAGCUCUGAGCUUGGAGCCUGCUUGGGAUUCUGUGUCUCCCCCCCCUCUCUCUGCACCUCUCCUGCUCAUACUGUCUCUCUCGAGGCAGAAUUAUUUGAUGUUAACAUCAAAGACCACCGCAAUCAAGUGUGGGGUUUGCCUAUUAAUAUGCCAUGUAGCUAAUAAAAUGGUCAUUCCCUUUUUAUUUACCAGAAGCCUAUGUGACAGCCUAAAAGUGAAUCCCUCUUUCCUCUUCUGUAACAUAUAGUACUGACUUGUUUGGGGAUAUUUGACAGACUAAAAUUUAAGCCCUCUUUCCUUUUCCAUAAUAUGUAGUACCAAUUCGUUUGGGAUUGCAGUGAAAAUUCAAAGAGACAAUACAUAACUAAACCAUUUAGCACAAUGACUGCUCUACCAUAAUUAUUGUUAGCUGCUCUUGCUUACUACUGUUAGCCGUACAUAUGUUAGAGGUUUACGGUAAGAAUCACAUCCUUUUCCCUCUAAAUUGAGAACCAAAAUUCAAGAAAAUAGAUACAGGAAUUAAACCAAGAGAGAUGAAAGGAUUAGUUUUGUAACUGAUAUUGCUAAUUGGAAGAACAUGGACUGGAUUUUCUGUCCACCUCUACCAAAUCUAGCAAUUGGUAUAGCUAAGCCAAGGAAACAUGGAAAUUGCUUUUUUUGCCUCCAUCAAAGAGGGAGCGGCCCGGACACUGUCCCGUCCCAGGUUGGCUGACAUCAUGGCAGAACAGAGCCGACCCCUCAGGUGAGUCACAGAGCAGAGAAGUUGAGAGCUCUGAUCGUGGCGUUGAACACGUGAGCGAACCUGGCCGUGCCAUUCAUUAGCCAAGAAAUACCCAGCUCUCAACGUUUCUGUGACAGUCUUGUCAUCUCUAAGAAGCGGAUGGUAAUGGCACCACCUCACAGGACUGUCAUGGGGGUUGAAUAGAUGAAAAUGUUGCUCUCUGGCACAUAGAAACUCCAGUAAUAUAUGUUUGUCGCUAUCAGUGUCGACAAAAAGAAUACAGAAUACAGAAAGCAUGGCACCCCCAUGUUCUCCAGUCCUUCCUAUCAAAGAGGUUACUCUUCUUCCCAAGGAGAAGAGCACGUUAGGAGCAAAUACUUCUGAAAGAGAGGUCGUGGUCCCAUGCAUUUUCUUUCUCUACUCUGGAUACUAAGCAGAAGGGAAUAGGGUUUACCUUCCAUAUAUUUUAUCACUUGAUAUGGGUUUGAAGCUAUCCUAUCCCUGCAGGUCCCUGUGUCCACCUGGAGAGAAGGGGCUUUGUCACAUUCAUCAAAUAUUCCCAUAAAAAAGGCCAUGUGCUGUGCUUUGCAUCCAGUCAGCACUCAAUCAAUGCAUGAUGCACUUGAACGUGAGCAUCUUUCUCUGAGAGAUUUUGUUUCCAAUAUACUACUUGUGAGGGGCUAAUGUGCGGGGGCAAAAUACAGGCUCUGAACGGAAGUGUGAGGUUCCCACUUGUUUUCUCCCUUUCUUCAAAACAAUCGAGGCUUCUGGAUCCUGAUUUGCAGGACCAUCCUGAAACUGCAGGAUAUCUGACACUGACAAAUUUUUUAGCACAGGGCAAACACUUUUUACAUUCAACUUCCUCGUGUCUGCUUUUUUCCUGAUCUAGAGUUAUUGGACUUAUAUGUCCAAAGCAGAAACAAAGAAUUAGAAAAAAGUUUACUGUAAGAUGAACACCUUGAUUUAUUUGCUCCCUCCAUUUGUAUGCUCAUAAAUUAGGUUUAGCUAAAUAUACACAUAGAGGAAGGAUUCAGUGAAAUAUGGAAUGGCAACUGGGGCGCCUGGGUGGCUCAGUUGGUAAGCAUUUGACUCUGGAUUUCAGCUCAGGUCAUGAUGUCAUGGUUUGUGGGAUUGAGCCCUGCAUCAGGCAUGGUGUGGAGCCUGCUUGGGAUUCUCUCUCUCCCUCUCUCUGCACACCACCCUCCACCCCUGCGGCCCGUUCUCUCUCUCUCAAAAAUAAAUAAAUAAAACAUUAAAAAAUAUGGUAUAGCAACUAAGCAAUAUAUUGUGAGGCUAGUAAAUAUGAAGAUUGUGUGGCUAUGUAGAAAACAUUCACAAAAUAAUAUUCAAUUCAGUAAAGGAGGGCACCAUACUGGAGGUAUACUAUCAUUCUAACAUAAGAAAUACAUUUCCUUUGUUGUACUAGUUACUCUCGGAAAUUAUUUGCUUGGUAUUUAUUACCUGCCUCCCCCAAUUGCAAUGUAUGUUCAAUGGGAUUUUGCCUAUUUUGUUUGUCUCGAUAAUUCCAUGGCCUUGUGGCAGGGUUUGGCACACCAUGGCCAGCUGGCCAAAUCUGACACGCUGCCUGUUUUGUAAAUAAAGCUUUAUUGAAACACCACCAGCCAUCUUUGUUCACAUAUUGUCUAUGACUGUCUUUGCCCUACAAUGGCUGACCUGGGAAGUUGUAACAGAGCCUGGGUGGCCCUGGAAAUCUCAGUCUUUUACUACGUGGCCCAUCAUGGAAGAUGUUUGCUGAUCUCUGGCCUAAACCACUGGCUGACACAUGUUAGUGCUUAAGAAGACUUAGAGAAUGAAUGAGUGAGUCAAUGGAUAAAUGAAUACAUGUAAAUAAAGAGCGACAGAAAAUGCUGAUAAAGAAAAACGUGUAUGAAAGGGAUAGAACUAUGGUUGACAUUCUUGCCUUUUGAAAUCCUGAACUGUUUGUUUAGCAACGUUAUUCCUUAAACAGAAGUAGAAGAAAAAUUUUAAAAGUCAUCCUACCAUCUUUGUAGAUCUCAGAGAAUAUAGUUUUGAGGUCUGCGGUUCAAGAAUUGCUGAAAUUCUAGAUUAUUGAGCUAUUCACUCAUGUUUUCAUUUUUAGUUCAAAAGCAAAGCGCCCUCAUUACUAAUUAUCCUUCUAAUUGUGAGUUAACAGUGGGGAAAGCCAGUCCGUGGGGAUUACUGGAGAGGCUAUGCCACAGCAGACCGUGUGGGUUGUGCAAACAUGAAUGGAACAGACCCGACUUGUGUAGUAAUGUAAAUAAUAUUUACCAAACUGGUCAUUCAUCAGAAUUAAAUUGAUCCAAGGCCCCACGAGGCUUGGUUAUCUCAGUCUGUGCUCCAGACAUAACAUUUACCUGAUAACUCACAGGGUCCCCAGGCCAGCUCUGCCCUCCUUAGUGGAGUUCUUCUUCUUUUGGCCUUCAAAAGGAGUCUUCUUUGUUUAAAAGUCAAUCUGUUGGCCGAGAAAAGAGAAAUCAGCAUAUACCUUUUUAAAAGAUCAAGAAACAAAAAUAGGACGAGAGACAUUUUGUUUGCUUCACGUGAUGAUGAAAAUUGGUCUCACACACUGCCUCCAUCCAUUCCCAUGCUCCUGUGAAUCUGGUGAGCACUUUUGUAACUAUUUGCUCAUUUGCUUAACACUCCUUUAGGGUCCUAUCCAACUACUAGCGGAAGCCAAAAGAGGAAAAGCAAUCUAUUCACCAAAAGGCUGCAUUUUUAAAAGACAUUCUGCAUACUCCAUUUCACAAACAACGGUACUGUGAGCUCUGGGACAUUAAUUUUUCAUAGGCAAGAUAUUCAUCUUUAAUGCACAUGGCCAUAGGUUCAAAAAGUGAUGUUAAGCUUGUGUAUGUUGGCUGGAGUAAUGCUGUUCAAGACUUCCUCCUAGCUCCCUGUUGCACAGGAGUUUUACCCCACUGUGUUCAGUGUUUUCCUUUGCAUUUCAGAGCCCUGGAAUCAAGUGUAAUUGAGGUUGCAUGCUGGAUUUUGGUAGAGGCAUGUGUUUGCGUGAAUUUACCUGUAUUUACAUCCUUCAUUAACAGUGGGGGCAAUUAUUCUAAAGUAACCAAACAAUAACAUGCAAAUUAUUUGACCCCUUUGAGCACAAAGUCAGGAAAAGAUCACAAUGCCCCAGAAAAGUGCUCGGAUACCUGAAUGACCUCAUUAAAUAUGGCUGUCCCAUCCCUCCUAGAGCUCCUAUUUAUAAUUAAUCAUUAAAAUGGCUAGAUUAAGCAGAAUCCAAUUAUGAUGAAGGCACAGCUUGCCUCUUUGGAAGAGAAAACGGAAAUGCUUCUCUAGCUUGGGGUGAUACAGCUCUUUGUACAGGUUCACUUCAGAAUUGACCUCGCUUGAACGAGACGGGAAAGGUCUUCGAAUGAACAGAAGAGGCGGCAGCCCCAAUAAAACAGCACUGACAUACGUAGACACACAGAGAAUGAAGACACCAAGUGGGACAGAAUGCCAAAGGCAUGCAAAAAGUCACGCCGACAGAAAUGGAGCAGGGACGCUAUUUGUGACUCUGCUUCAUAAAACACAUAUUUACUUAGGCCACGAACAUAUCUUUCUCCACAAUUUCAAAUGUAGGAUAUCACAUAAGCCUCUUUUUGCUCUAGACCCAAAGCUGCAGGAAGUCCACCAGCCGUGUACUCUGCUUUUAUUAGGUUGAGUAUAUCCAGAUGAUUUUAAUAAAGUUUUAAAAGGGCAUUAGUUUCCUGCUAUUUCAAUGAAAACCACUUGCAAGAUGAAUUUAAAGCAAUAGAUCUAUUUCUUGUCAACACGUGCCCCUUUUAUGCAAAUAGGCUACUCUUCUGUAAUAGCCAACAAAACAACACACACACAUAAUCAUCAACUGCGUGUGACAUGGAAGAAAAAUGUCAGUGUUGUAAAUGUUUAAAGAUGAAGAAAAUGGAACGUAUGCUGGGUGCCAUGGUAUGCUGUCCAGAUUCCCCAUUCAGGACCGAGGUUCUUGUUACCUCAAUUGCCGUAAGCUCAGAGUCUGGACACUGGAGGCUCUCUCUGGGAAGUGUCAGCCAAAUAGUGUCUUUAAAAAAAAAAGUAUUUAUUUUUGAGAGACAGAGACAGAGCGUGAGCAGGGGACGGGCAGAGAGAGAGGGAGACACAAAAACUGACGCAGGCUCCAGGAUCCGAGCUGUCAGCACAGAGCCCGAUGCGGGGCUUGAACUCAUGAACCGCGAGAUCAUGACCUGAGCCAAAGUCAGAUGCUUAACAGAGACUGAGCCACCUGGGUGUCCCGAUAGUGUCUUGUCUUAAGUCAUGCCUGUUCCCUAGAGGCAGCUCACAAACCAGUGACUGGUCAAUAUGUGUGUUGGAUGGGAGGGCAGAGAGAGGUGCAUAAAGGCCUGACCCCCUGACGUCACGUGACCGUGAGGCCAUUCUAGCAGGAAGCUACUGAGGUCUUGCUGUGACCACAUCAUGGUUCAACAUCUCCUUGGGCCCAGUUCUAUCUCUUGCUUCCUCCAACAGGGUUUAAACUUAAGAGAAUUACAUGCAGAUCUGUAGGUCGGAGCUAAUUUCCUAGGGAACCCAACCUAAAAUAGUGAAGAAUAUUCCUUCCCAAUCUCUCUUUGAUUUUCUUUUCAGCUUGUUAUUAUGGAAAUAUGCAAACAUACACAAAAGUCAAGAAUAUAACUCAUCAGCCUUAUCAACAUCUUGCCAUUUUUGUUUCAUCUAAGCCUUUUUUAAAGCUGUCUUCUUUUCAAGUCAAUCAUUUUAGCCGUAAAUAUUUCAGUAUGUAUCUAACGUAUGAAGAUGUUCUAAAAGCAAUAACCACAAUGCUAUUAUAACAUGUAAAAUUAACAUAUAAAAAUAAUUCCUUAAAACCAUCUAAAACCCAACCUGUGUCCAAAAUUCCUCAGUUGCUUCCAAUUUUUUUUUCUUUUUCUUUCCUUUUCUUUCUUUCUUUCUUUCUUUCUUUCUUUCUUUCUUUCUUUCUUUCUUUCUUUCUUUCUUUCUUUCUUUCUUUCUUUCUUUUCUUACAGGACACAAUGAUUUGUGAAUUGUUAUUCCUACUUGAGGACUCAUCUUAAGGUAAUCAUGACUCCUCACCAGCAUGCCUACCCUGGCCUUCUAUCUGGUCUCCUCGUCUGUACCUCACCUCCCUCUUUGGAAGCCUUUCCCACUGUUGUCAGGUCAGUUUUCCUAAGAUUCAGCUCUAUUAAUGUUUCCCACCACAAACAGCACUAUUUCUCUAAGUAUGGCGUAUGGAACAUUAGUCUGUCAACUGCGUUUUGAGAAAGGAAAAAACAUAAAUGGAUAUUCUGUGAUCAAAUAAAUCUCAGAAACGCUAUGAAUUUUGUUCCCUAUUCAAGGCUCUGAGCAGUCCUGCAGUAAAAGACCUGUCAAACCUUUUAAUCCAGUGCUUUUCAAACCUGUUUGGUGAUAGAACACUGUUUAGACCCUGUUGACAUCCAACAGAGACUGUGCUCUGUGGAACACCCCUUGGGAAUUGCUGGCUUCCUGGAACGGCAUUCAAGGUCCUUUGUAGCCUGACUGCAGCUACAUCUUCCAAGUAGUAGGUCUAGAAUUUUCUUUCCAUUUUUCUUCUUUGAUCCUUUGGUACCUGCCACCUUAGACAGUCCUUUUGUUGAAAUCCAUCACAUGCUGUAUUAUUUUUUUUUUUUUUUUAGUUUUUUGAUGUUUGUUUAUUUUUGAGAGAGAGAGAGAGAGAGAGAGAGGCAGAGAGAGGAGGAGACACAGAAUCAGAAGUAGGCUCCAGGCUCUGAGCUGUCAGCACAGAGCUCUAUGUGGGGCUUGAACUCACUAACAGUGAGAUCAUGACCUGAGCCAAAGUCGGAUGCUUAAUUGACUGAGCCACCCAGGUGCCUCUCCAUCACAUGCUUUAAAUCCCAGAUUCUCUAAGAAGCCUUACACAUAUUUCCCAACCAGAGUGAAUCGUUCCUUUCUCUGAAUUCUCAAAGUAUCUGUGCAAUAUGUGGCAGCCAUGGAGGCCUCAGGCUCUGAAUGAUGUUUUGCAGGUUACCAGAAAGAGGACUUUCUCAUUUCAAAAUGGGAAAAUGUAGCACUUGCUCCAUUAGAAUUAUGUUGUGGGUUAAACAAGAGGAUGAAUGUGGGUACGAUUAAAUCUAAAGUAUUAAAAUCAAGGUCUGCAUAGAAUUCAUCAUUGUACUUUCUGAUAAAUCUUGCAUAGCUUUGAGUACAAGUGAUCUUUGUUUACGUUUGUAGAAUUGUUAUACUCAACUGUUGACUCAAUUUUUCUACUCAUCUGAGAUUCCGGGUCAUCUGUUACCUUCAUAACAUUGAUGAGACAAAUUCUUUGUGCUUUUGGAGGAGAAUUCUGUGUUUUAGGCUGUGAUCAUUCAUCCUAGUUGUACUUAUAAACGAGAUGGGCUUUGGAAGGUCACUUAUCCUCUCUGGAGGUCAGUCUCCAGAUUUGUAACGUUUAAGAGAUCAAGCUAAGUCAAUAAGACUCUCAAAAAUUUUUUAAAUGUUUAUUUAUUUUGAGAGAGAGAGAGAGAGAGAGAAGAAGUGUGCAUGUAGCAGGGGGAGGGGCAGAGAGAGAGGAAGAGAGAGAAUCCUAAGCAGGCUUCAUGCCAUCAGCACAGAGCCAGACGUGGAUCUCGAUCCUGUGAACCACAAGAUCAUGACCCAAGCCGAAAUCAAGAGUCAGAUGCUUAACCAACUAAGCCACGUAGGCACUCCUCAAAAAAAUUUUUAAACCAAGACCUUUAAAAAUUAAUAUUGCCAUGAUUUGAAAGACAUUUAAAAAAAAAAAAGCAAACAGGACUCAUUGAAGUAAUAAUCAAUGAUGUUCCUAUUUUUUUCUAAUCAAAGUGAUAUUAAAAAAAACCUGAUGAUUUUGCUUCCUUGUUCAGUCUUACCACAAGUAAGUGGACAGUUUUUCCCUGGGCUUUCUAUAGUGUUGAACCAUGGCACUUAGACAUAGAUUGUGGCCUUCACGGAUAGAGAAGGAACAUAGGUGAUGAGUAGACCUCAUCUAGACAGACAAGGCAGUGAGAGAGUCGGUAGGAACAGAGAUCUGGGCAGAAGGAACUGGUAUAAAGGCCCAAACACAAGAAAGAUCGGAGAAAAUUCCGUACUUGAGGGAACUCUGUGUGUGUGUGCAUGUAUGAAUGCAGCACAUAUUUAUAUGGGGUCACGGUAUAAAAUUUAUUGCUAACUAUGUGUUGGGGUCAAAAAGGUUUGCUCAACAUGACUCCAGACUUCAGGAAGCUUUCUUACAAAUGCUUACUGAGUCACCAUGGGAACCAGGUGGUAGACAUUAAACAAAGCAGCACAAAUCCAUCUCUCCCACUAAAGAGAGCAUGACCUGUUGCUGUUGUGUAAGAAUCUACUGACAAGCUCAAGUUGAAAGAAAAACUUCCCCCAGAAGACCAGCGAUGGACUGCUUCACAAGAUGCACACGUUUGGGACACCUGAGUGGCUUGGUUCGUUCAGCUCAGGUCAUGAUCUUGCAGUCCUUGAGUUGGAGUCCCACACUGGCUCUGUGCUGACAGCUCGGAGCCUGGAGCCUGCUUCGGAUUCUGUGUCUCCCUCUCUCUCUGCCCCUUGCCAGCUCGUGUGCACUCUCUUGCUCCCUAAAUAAAUAAAUAAAUAAAUAAAUAAAUAAAUAAAUAACAUUUAAAAAACUUUAAAAAAAAAAGGAGAUGAAUAGGUUUAAUGCAUCUCAUGUUGGACAGGGGCAGUGCUCGGCCAUUUCUGUAGUGUUGGAUAUUUGUGGUCUCAACUUCCUGUGGGAGAGGACUCCCUUUUGUGCUUAGCAUCUACCAUGGGAGGGCUGGGACCUGCCAUCUGUGCACGAACUUCAAAGAUGUGUUUUGGUUUACAUUCUGUUACAAUGAACUCAAUGCAAAUUGUUUUUAUGUUGUUUUUAAAAUGUGUUAUUUUACUUGUUUUUGGAAGGGGGACAUUAAGGGCAGUGAAGUGGUAUUGGCCAUGGUUUAAUAUGGUGUUGGCCUGACUGGAAAAAAAAAAAAAGAAGAAGAAAAGAAGAUCAACAGUUAUUAGUUUUGAUUCAUUGUUUUCUGUGGGAAUCUAGUUUUUACUAGUUUUUUUUACUAGUUUUCAAAUUCUAUUUGGAUCCACAUUUUUCUUGGUAGGGGAAAAUGCUAAAUUUCCAUUUAGAUAGAUGCACUUUAACAGUGGCAACUUGCCAUAUGCUCCUCCUUUCUUCCCUUAUUUUUUUUCAAAAUAGCACAAACCCUUCCUCAAGCUUCAGGCUGAGCUGAACUUUAUUGAAUGGUCCUUCAAAGGUCAACUGGAAGGCACUAUUUCUCACGGACGAGAAGGCUCUCAAUCAGAGCUUGGAGUGAACCGGAAGAGACAUGACAGUGAAUUGAAUUGCAUUUCUACUGAUUUUGCUUAAGAGAAGUCAAGCUUAAGAGAGGUGUUGUCAACUGCCCGUGCUCACCGGUUCCCAAGCUAGACCUCAGCCCGAGCUCAGGAAAACCAGACGAGGCUCUUACAUUUGACUUCAUUGCCUCUUCAGAUGCUUGGCAAUAGCUUCUCCAAGAUGCAAGUUGGCAUGGCAAACACUAGCCAUGCUGAUCAGAUAACAUGUAUCGUACAUUGUGUUACUGGCAAGGGAAUUUCAAAAGUAAUUGAUGUUGGAGAAUUGGAGAUUUUAUUUAGUGGUUAAUUAAGUUUAUUUUUAUAGCAGGAGUCUCCAGAGAAAAUUGCUAGUUUGUUAAGGGUAUUUACUGUGAUAAAUAAGAAGAUAGAAUGAAAGUCCGUAAGAAUUGUCAAGGUUUCUGAUACUUAGAAUUUUUUUCUGUUAGAAUUAUAAUUAUUAGAAGGGUGUACAUUAUAAUCAGAGGAAUUAUACAAAUCACCUUCUGGCAGUUAGAAUUGAGGAAGGAAAAUCUCUAAUAAUUUAGACCAGAGUUUAUUAACCUCGGCACUAUUAACAGUUUGGAGCAGACAAUUCCUUGUUAUGGGGGGGGCUCACCUAUGAUUGCAAGGUAUUUAGCAGCAUUCCUGGCCCCUGCCUCAUAGAUGCGAGUAACACCCCCCCCAGUGGUAAUAACCAAAAUUGUCUCCAGACCUUGCCAAAUGCCCCUUGGGGGUGGGUGAGACUACCCCACUUGAGAAUCACUAAUUUAGGCAAGGAUGGAUGUUUAAAAUGUAAGGGUCUAGUUCAUUUCCAAAAAGAAAGAGAAAGAGAAUAGGAGAGGGAGACAGGUAAUAUUCUUUUGACUAUAGAUGUAACACCUUAUAAAACAUCGAAGCAUAUUAUUUAAAUGAUACCAGAUUACCUCAAGGUCCAUCUCUGCAUGUUGUCGCCGUCAAGAACGUCACAAGCCUGACCUCCCAAAAUCAUUUAAAAAAAGGUGGCUUGUCACCGAAGUCCCCCUAAGAGAUGGAGGGACAGCAGAUGCAGGUCAUGGCUGAGACUUUGUUAAAGCUCUCUUUGACCACAUAUCAGUUCCUCUUAUCGGAGCAGGUGCUCUCUCACAAUUUCUCUUCUUCUCUCUCAAACUCAACCGCAAACCCCAGCUCUUGCAGGCUUUCCCAUCUCUUUUUUGCUGCCCUCACUGUAGUAGCCACCGACCCAGUCCUUCCCCAUGGGGUUCUCUACCUUUCUGGUCUAGACCCGCACAACCUCUUACCACGUGGCUGCCUUACCUCUUGCCUCGAUCCGCACUGCAAAAGGCCUGGAGCCCAAGCAAAUACUUAAUCUUCUGUGGAAUGUUCUGAGGCGAGGGAAGGUUUUAAAGUUUUAUACAAGACUGUUUUUGUCCCAGUCAUACUAGGAAGAAGAAAAUAAGCAGCCAUUCCAGUACUCACAAACAAAUCUGGCGGAUGUCUAGGUAGGCGAUUUUGACAGCUGGAGCUAUAAGAAGGAGAGAAUCAAGGGGGAAAAUAUAUAGUUUGCGUUCCCCAGUCAUGGAGGGAAACUAAGAUGACUUGACCUUUUCUUCCACAUCCUUUAUUGAAUUACGAGGCUGACUUCAGGAUGUUUCAGGUUUUUUUUUAACUUUACUUUUAUUUAUUUGAGAGAGAGAGAGAGAGAGAGAGAGCACGAGCAAACAGGGGAGGGUCAGAGAGAGAGGGAGAGAAAGAAUCCAAGGAGGUGGAGCUCGAACCCAUGAACUGUGAGAUCAUGACCUGAGGCGAAAUCAAGAGUCGGACACAACCGACUGAGCCACCCAGGCGCCCCAGGAUGCAUCAGUCUUAGAUGGGACUGUCAUCAUCAUGGUUGUCAUCCUCCUCCUCAUUUAUGAAGUACUUACUAUGUGCCACAGUGCAAGCAUUUGGAAGAAUGUAAUACUUAACUUUCAUUACAAUUAUUAACGUGGUACUAUUAGUAUGUCCAACUGACCGGGGAGGAAAUGAGUCUCAUAGUGGUUAUGCCAGCUACCCAGGACCACAUAGCUCUAAAGUUUUGACUUGUAAGUGCAAGAAAAAUUCCUGAGCUCAAGAAUCUCUAGCUCCACUUCUUCCUUUGCCGUGUGUCUGUCUUUGAACCCAGGCUAGGUCAGGUGGCCAGGUGCCUUUGCCACCUGACUUCCAACAAAGGUCUGUGGACGGCUGGAGGAGGGCUGGUCAGGUGGGCAGUGGGAGGCACUUUGCCCAUGAUUUCAAUCGUAAGAACACAGCCAAAUAUUCUUCCCUCUGCAUACUAGCCAUGCCUGUUCUAGUUUCGUUGGAAGCGUCUUGUGAUCCUGUUACUCAAAAUUGACUCCACACGCCUACAGCAUCAAUGUAGCACCUGGAAGCUUGUGAGAAAUGCAGCAUCUUGGACCACACUCCGGACCUACCGAAUAGUAUCCCAGGUGAUUUGAACACAGUGUCCUCGGGAUGUUGGCAUGUGGUCCCAGUACAAAAUUUCCAUGGUCCCGUGGUUCCUCAAACUUGUGUCAACAUCAAAUUCACUUGGAGGGCUUGAGAAAACACACAUUGCUGAGCCUCUCCUUGCCCUAGGGUUUUGGGUUUGGUAGAUGUGGGGUGGGGCCCAAGAAUCUGCAUUUCUGAUAAGUUCCCAGGGGGGCUGGGGAGCACAGUUCGUGAGCCACUGUUACAGUCAAAUAAAUACACUGAGAAGCUGCUAAAAGUUAAACCAAAUGAAACCACUGGUUUUCUAACAGGUCUCAGAGCUGUUACUGGGCUAAGACUUGGGUUCCCAAACCCCUGGCCCAUUAAAACCACUUGGGGGCGGGGAGGCACGGGGAAGAUAGUGUUCCACAAAAUGCACUUUGGGAACCACCACUGCUCUGCAAACAAUAAAGUCUACCAAUUAUGACAAAAAAAACCCACAAAAGCUGAACGGAGUAAAAUGACCACGACCGCUUCGGUUGAGCAAAGGGUAGCCUUGACUUUGGUAGUGUCAGCACAGCUGUUGUGUCUUGGAGCAAAUGAGAAGCACAUUUCUCUAAGGGAUUUCUACAGACUGAAAAUAAAUUAUAAAUUAUUGAGAUUCACAUAACAUAGACCGGGAAUUAAAAAGAGACUAAAAAAAAAAUCCUCAACGACAUUUGAAUUGCUGCUUCAUUCCCCCUCUUCCCCCCCCAUUGAAAUACAAGCCAAGAAUAAAACAUUGAUUAAAUAGAGAGCAUUGACAUUUUACUCCUGUGGUGCUGGAUACCAGCCUAGACAAAGAGCCGGUUAAACUCGAAAGACAAAGAGCCCUUUUGUUAGGCAGUAAGUUCAUCUGGGAGAAAUAUUAAGUGAACUCUCAAAGGAGAGAGUUCUUCAACAUCUUUACCUACAACAUUCAUUGAGAAGCAACAGGUAAAAUCACACUCAAAAUAUAUGGGGGAUAAAGGGAUUUAUUAAAGGAUGGAAUUGGGAUACACAUAAAACACAACUUUGGCCUCCAGUGAUGGAAAUUUAUACUAGGAAAUGAAAACCAAAAUGAACAAUGAGAUAUGAGCAAGAAGAUAUAUUCUUCUGAGCAAACAAAACGUAAAAUGUCAAUCUGGUCAUAUUCUCUCUAGGGAGGAGAUAUAGCCGUGGACAAAAUAGGCAUUUUUCUGUCAAAGAUCUAACUGUAAUAAGGAGCACAGGUUUAAAAAUAAUAAACAGUAGAUCAAAUAAGAUUCACGUUUGAAGAUAGACAAGGAGAGGAGACAAAGUAAGAGGGAUUGGAUAGAUUUGCUUUUGAAACUGUGCUCAGGGAAAGCUUUUCUGAUGAUUUAUUUGGGCUAAGAAGAAAGAGAAUAGAAGAAAUGACCCACAUAAAUGUUUGGGUAAAGAGCGUUCUAGAAAUCCAGAAUAUGGUGUGAAAAGGACAAUAAUCAGAAAAAGAAACAAGUAUUUAUGGAACUGAAAGGACAUGACAUUAAAUGGACACUAGCUUCACACAAGUGAUCAUGGUGAGUCACCUGUGAGUGUGUGCCUGCAUAUGCAGUAGGAUGGUGUUCAAGAUCAAGUUAGACCUCGGUCUCUUGAUUUUGACCAUGUCACUUCCUGUGAUUCCUUCACUCAGCCCUCAGCUGUUACGGGUUGGUUUCUGCCAUGUGAAUACACAACAAAUACAUCAUGUGACUACGUCCAGUUCUACAUGUAGAGUCACGUGUAGUAUUAGUAACUGUUAUUCUUUCUAAAGGAUUCUUUUAUAUCCCCAGCCUGUGGUUAAGAGCUAGUCCUUAACAAUGGUGCUAAGUUCAAUUUUGGACAAACAAAGGCAACAAUUUAAAGUUGCUCCGUGCUUACAAAUCCUUCAGGAAGCUCACAUCUCUUUAAAGUAGUGCUACAGUGAGAGAUGAAAUAUUAAGGCAUGCGUAGUCGAUGAUGGCCCCAAUUCAUUCUCCUUGUUGCAUAUUAUUGUAAAAGACUUUCAGAUGAACAGAGGUAGUAGGUAGAUCUUACGUAUAAGGAAAUGAUCGGUUGCGGCAUUCAAUAAGUUACAGAUAAAGAUUUCUUAACCCAAGACUUACAAAGAUGAGCAUGAAAGGGAUAUGAAUGUAUCUGGAAAUGAUUUUGUUGGAAGAGCAUUUUAGAAAGUGAACAUGCAGAAGAUUACUAUUGCAUUAUUUAAUAUAAUUAAAAUGAAAAUAAGAACACUCAGAAAAAUCCCAAAAGGUUGGAGUUAAUUAUCAAAUUGUCGUACUCAAGUAUCGAAGGGGAUUUGUUCCAGAAAGACAGAAGGCUGGCUGGCAAGUGAAUUCAAUGAAAGUAGCACAGCUCAGACUUGGGGAAAGAAAGCAUUUCUCUUCCCUCCUGUGAUUCCCAGUCCUAUGAACCCGAGAAUGUGCCUUCUAAGUUCAGAUCCUUGCAAUAGUAACUCUCCCACUGUCAGAGAGGAGCACAGGCCACGUGAUUGCUUCAUCACUCAGAAGCCUCAAAUACUAGGUUUUCCCUGGGCUUUCAAUUGGCAUCAAGUUAUUCAAGGCGGGCUGGAAACCUUCGAAGAAGAGGCAAAAGUCUGCUUUUCCUUUCCUUUCUGAGAGAUGGUCUGAUUGCAUAAUCAUACCCCAGCCGAAUCUGGCUUGUGUUGUUGGAGGAAUUAUCUCCUCAUUAAAAACAAAUCUUAAUAGGCCUAAUUUGAAGGCGGCUUUUGUCUGUAACUUGAUCAAGAGGGUAAUGACUGUGAGCCAUGCUAAACAGAGAGAGAGGAAAAGAAAGUCAGAAACAUUAAACAGUGCAGAUUACAGUCACAUUAGAGUGCUUUUGAUAUGCAAAUGAUGCACACAAGGCAAAACAUAAAAAAUAUAAAUGGACUUAUUUCUAUUUCAUUUCUUGAUACUCUCCUCAGGGCAUGCGGGAAAAGCCAAGUCUUUAAGAAAUGAUUCAGUUUGAGAGACAUUUAAUUGUUAUUUUCAGGGUCUUAGUGACCUCGGUUGUAAAAUGGGAAUACUAAUGUCUAUAAUUAUUAUAAUAGGGCGGUUACAAGGAUUAAAUGAAUUAAUAAAUGUGAAGCAUUUAGAACAGUGUCUGGCUUUCUAAUCCAUCCAACACAUAAUGAUAGCACUAUAAGGUUUAGCUAUUAUUAUUGUUGUUAUUGCUAUUACUAUUAGCAUUUUCCCCCUAUUCUAUAUGAACUAGAAUACCAGUCAUAGAUACACAGAAUUUUGGAACCGGAAAAACCUUAGGGUAGAGUUUCCAGAACUGUAGCCCAUGAAGAUCCACUGUUACCUAACAGGUUUUUUCUGAUCAGUGACUUUUCGGGGGAAUUUUAGGUUAGAUAAAAUCAAGACCAUUUCACCACAGAGGCUCUUGAGACCCUUUAAGGUGUCGGCAAUGUGAAUCUCAAAGAGCACGAUGUUCUAUUCAGUCUUCCCUAAAUGUAUUUGACCUCAAACCCAUUUCUCACAGAAUGUCUUAUGACCCCCUGAGAAACAUUAAUUCUUGAAGAAAAUUAUGAAUGGCAAUUCAAUGAUGCCCACAGGGAAAAUGACUUCUCCUAAGCCCUCAGCUAGUUAGGGGCAGAGUCUGGGCUUAAGCCUGGGUCUCCUGGUACAUUCUCCAGGAUGCUUUGCAUUCAUGCUCACAGCCUCUUCUGUCCCGCAUUUCUGCAGGAAAAGGUCUCACAGGAGCUCUUUGAAGAGCAAAGCAUGCUGGUUAAAAACCAGGACCUGGUUUAAGCGCCCACUUCCCACUGUAUGACCUCACACGAGUUGCGUGAUUUUCCAAAGACUCAUUUUUUCCCUCCUCUUAAAAUGGGGAUAAUGAUUGCACCUGCCUUGCAAGGUUGCUGAGAAUUUAAGUGACAUAAUGCAUGUAAAGUACAUACAUUAAUUAUAAACAAUUUAUCAUUGUUUCUGGACAUAGUAAGAGUUCAAAAUAUGUUGCCAAUUAUUAGUAAAUAGUAUUUUAAAAGUGGGGGACAGAUCCCAUAGAGGGAAGGGAGAUCUGAUGACCAGACUUUUAUUUAAGAGUUUUUCAAUAGAAGCUCCUCUAUAAUGCUCUUCUGUAAGCGAUGCUAAGAAGCUCUCUAUACCAUUGAACCAGACCCGAAACAAAUCAUCAUCUCCCCCUUUAUAUCGGAUGGCGAAGAGAAAGGACUGUUAAGCAUCAAUGGCAAGGGUAGGAGAUUCUGGCCUAGAUUUGGGAUCUUCCAUUCUACUGCAGGAAUUUCUCACACAGGAAACAUCCUUAGGGCCCCCAGGCCAACGCUACUCAGUAAGGCCAGGAGUGCUAUCGUCGGUUUCCUGUAACCGGUCCACAAUGAGGUAAGUACAGACAUUGUGGGUCAGCAUUCAGAAACUUUUAUAACAAUUCGCAGAGGAAUUCUGUGUGUAUGCAGACGUGGAAUCUAAGUGACAGUUUUUAAAACAGGACUUGUAGGGGCGCCUGGGUGGUGCAGUCGGUUAAGCGUCCGACUUCAGCCAGGUCAUGAUCUUGCGGUCCGUGAGUUCGAGCCCCGCGUCAGGCUCUGGGCUGAUGGCUCAGAGACUGGAACCUGUUUCUGAUUCUGUGUCUCCCUCUCUCUCUGCCCUUCCCCCUUUCAUGCUCUCUCUCUGUCCCAAAAAUAAAUAAACGUUGAAAAAAAAUUUUUUUAAUUAAAAAAAAAAACCAGGACUUGUAUUUGUAAACCUUUUUAAUAUUUCAUUUUCUAGUAAUUCAUUUUUAUUGUAUUUUACAAAAGCAUCAGUCCAGGACAGAUUAAACAUUUAAAAAAAAAAAUAAAACUCGCCCACUACCUUAGAUAGUUGGAGAAACUGAAUCUCAGAAGUGUGGAAUCAGAAUCAGAAUUAUCAGCAUCACAUAGGAACUUUUUAGAAAUGCAGUUCUCAGUCCCAUCCCAGACCUACUGCAUUAGAAAUUCUGGGGUAGGGCCCAGGAAUCUUUAUUUUAAGAAGCAGUUUGGGUGAUUACUAUGCACACGAAGUUUUAGAAUGCAUACAUAGAUAUACAUACAUAUACAUACAUAAAUCCACAUAUGUAUAUAUAUACAUACACACACACACACACACAUACAUAUAUGUAUAUGAGAGAAAGAGAGAGGGAGAGACACAGAUCCUAAACUCUGGUGUGCAAAGAUAAUAUGACAUUAUUUCUCUAUAACCAAAUUAAAUUAUACUCCUAACCACCACUCAUUCAGGUUGGAAGUAAUUUCGAUGUCAGUUAGGAUUAGGUUCAGUUAUGAAUCAUGGAGACCCCCAAAAACGGUGGCCUCAUUAAUAGAGAGACUUUCAGGAAAAAAGCCAAGUUGCAAGUUUCUUUGAGGUGAAUUCUGUCUUCUGCUCUACUAUCCAAAUUCUCUGAAACAAGAGGACACAGAGGCCUGCCUACCUUUUUUAAUAGAGCAGGAAAAACUCCGGGAGGAACCAAAACAAGACUCCAGUAUACUAUUCUGCUGUAUCAACAAUGAUAUUUAAUCAUCCGCUGUGGUGAUCUUGGAGCCAAACCAAUGCCCAGAAGGUUUGGGGCCCACUCUGAGUAACUUGGAGUUCUUUAUGCAUCAGAUAGAGUUUUCCCCUUUCAACCAUUGUCAGCCCCGGUCAUUAAAACCCCCUGCAUCGGUUUUAGAAGCCAAAUGAUUUCUUUCACGUCCUUAUCGGUCUGUCUAGGAUUCUCUCGCUUGUUAUAGAUUUUUAUUUUCUUGAUGCAUUUCUUUGUAACUGGAACCCUCAAGCAAAAAAAAGGUGGGUGAAAGCACAUUUUAUGAAUUCAUGCUCAGGCCUCUGAUACUAAAGUCAAUUUCUAACUGAAAAAUUAGUCUCCAGGGGCCAGUAAUUGAGACUUCGAGAUUAAUGCUUUGUGCAAAAUUUAGUGCCUUUCCAGUCUACCCUGUUUUUGAUGGUCCCUUUUUUUUUCAUUCUUUCUAUUUUGUAGCUUAAGGGGUUCCCAUUGGUCUGGGCUGCUAGCGAUAAUGCUUACAUAGUAAUAUUUUUGAAAAUGCAGGUGAAAACAUUGGCAACUUUGAAAUGAAUUGUCAUACAUUGCCCAAUGUCUACUACUGUCUCUCAUGAGUUAUGUAACUUUUUUAGUGUAUUAGAUAAUUAUGUGUUUGUCAUAUAUCCAUUUAGUUGUAAGGUUUUUAAAAAGCUAUGUUCAGAAGACCAUUUCAUUUAUUCCUGUUUCUUUCCCCGUGUGACCUCUGUUCCAUUAUAUGAGUCUCCACCUUUUGUUUCAGAAUAAAAAAAAAAUCCCCAUCGGGGCGCCUGGGUGGCGCAGUCGGUUAAGCGUCCGACUUCAGCCAGGUCACGAUCUCGCGGUCCGUGAGUUCGAGCCCCGCGUCAGGCUCUGGGCUGAUGGCUCGGAGCCUGGAGCCUGUUUCCGAUUCUGCGUCUCCCUCUCUCUCUGCCCCUCCCCCGUUCAUGCUCUGUCUCUCUCUGUCCCAAAAAUAAAUAAACGCUGAAAAAAAAAAAAAAAUCCCCAGAAAAUGUAGACUUUCCUCCUAUCCCUGUUUACUUCUCCGCCAAAGAGUUCAAAAAAAAAAUUGGAAAAAUGGGAAUCCUAGCAAAUUAAAUAGUAUAUUACUUACACUAAUUUUUUAGGAAUAACUCGUACAAUUUGGAUAUCAAUCUCAUUCUUCGUUUCCAUGUACUUCCAUGCUCUAAUAUAACUUUUCCCUCAUUUUUCUUGCUUAGCUUUAAAGAAGAAUGAAAUUACUUGCAAUUUCACUCAGAGACAUCCGCUGUUGAAUAUUUUGUUUCACUUCCUUCUAAUCUCAAAGAAAGCUUUCGUUUUAGAAACGCUACCUUUAUUUUUUAACGUGUAUAUGUAUUUUGCUUCUAUCCAAAUGAAUUAUUUUUUCCCAUUUAUAAAAGCAAUACAUAUUAUUGCCAUAAAAUUAAACCCAAUAAGGUGCAUAAAGAAAAAAAUUGGUUGUGUUUUCUUACCAAAUCUUUAGACGCAUUUGCCCAAAAUUUCAGGCAAAUCUCUGUGGCUCUGGCAACCAUUGGUUGGCUGUUAUUGAAACUUUUCUGCCAAAUUACAGGGAAGGUGGAUAAUCCUCUGGGCCCCCAGGUCAAUUUGAAUGGACCCUUUGUUAGUUUCAAGAUAUUUAAAAUACAUGUUGUUUUGGAACAUCUUUUCUGAGUAGUAGGGUCAAAACUUACUUCCCUGUCUUUCCUAGAGCAAACUAGAACAGGGCGGUCUAGCUAAUUGAGUGUGAUAUUUAAAUUUUUCUAAUGUUUAUUUAUUUCUGAGAAAGAGAGAGACAGAGACAGAGACAGAGACAGAGUGUGAGAAGCGGAGGGGCAGAGAGAGGGAGACACAGAAUCUGAAAGCAGGCUCCAGGCUCUGACCUGUCAGCACAGAGCCCGAUGUGGGGCUCGAACCCAUGAGCCAUGAGAUCAUGACUUGAGCUGAAGUCAGAUGCCUAACUGACUGAACCAGCUAGGCACCCCUUAUGAGACUGAUUUACUGAGUACACUGAUUCAUUUAUUCAACAUUUAUUGAACAUCUAAACUGUGCCAGGCAUGGUAAAGGCAUUCGGGAGCAAGACACGGAACUUACAUUCUAAUGAAAUGAAAACUUUUUAUUACCUUUUUUGGCCCUGCCCAUUUGCUUGGCAUGUAGUAAGCACUCAAUAAAUUUCUUUUGUCACACUGCCUUGAAGUGACUUGUGUAGAGUAUUCUGGCAUCAGCUGACCCAGCUGAGACGCGGAGUGUGGCCAUGGUUCUCCCUGAAAUAACGAGAACAUUUGUUCCGCCCCGGUUCACUUCCUGCUCAAGGUCUAUUAAAAACAAACUCACCGUCAAGAUUAGUUCUCAACUGGGUAUGUUUCCAGGGGCAGGGGUAGAUAGCCAGCAGACGCAUCAUACAUGGAAACUCAUCUCAUCCCUUAAAUCUGACCUCCGAAUGUCUUUUAGAUCUGCCGAUUAGAUUCUUGCUAGAACACAAUAUCAGACUCCAUCCUCAAAGGAAAUAAAUUAAGCUGCGCCACACGAGGACAAAUGGUUGACAUUCUGCUCUGGCUAGCAUCUUGUGUGCAGCUGUGAACAGCUGUGUGAGUGCCAGUUAAGCUGUGAUGCUAUCACUGGGGAGAGAGAUAAAGGGCAAUUCAUUCACAAAGCACUAUUCAAAGGGCCUCACAGGUGUGUUCUAAGGAUUGGUUUUCUGCUAUCCCCUUUCCAUCUGAAAUUUAUCCUGAGAUAAGGUGAUAGAACAUAAUAUAGAAUUAUAGGCCUUCUCCCUCCGGGAAUGGUGUUUUAGGAAUACAUGCUGUGACAUUCAUAAGCAAACAUGAAAUAGGGAAACGCACUCUCCACUUGACAAAGAGGAUUAGCUUCUGACUCUCUGGAGCGAUUCUUGGACCAUUUAUUCAUUCCCUUAUGAAUAAGCCUCAGUGCCCCCCCCCCCCCCCCCCCCCCCCCCCCCCCGCCCCCGCGGCNCACCGCCCCCGGCGGCACCGCCGGUAGAGAAAGCACAAAUGUGGCAAAGAGAGUGGCCCUUUUAGAGAACAGCUUUAUUUAUCACCCAUAUUUGCAAUUCCACUCCCCUAAAAGAAGCCGUCAGCUGCUCAUCCUUUGACUACAGUCGAGGCCUUUGGUGAACAAGGAUGGGGGCAGAUGCUAACUGCCAAUGAGGGGGACAAAAUGAGGUGAGGAGAGGGCAUUUUGUAAAGAGAUUGAAAUGGCCUGUGGAUGCUUGUUUGAAAUAGACUGCACAUUGCUGCUUGAAGGGAAAAUGGUAUGUAUCAGCGACCCUCUUGAGAAAUGCAGUUAGAAGGUAAAACAGGAAAAUUAACACUGGGUACAAAUCCUAGGUCAGUGUUCCUAAAUGCUGGCCGGGGACAUGGGCCACCUUCGUGGACUCGGUUGCCUAGUAACCUUGUUAAAGCUGCAGCUUUCCUGGUUUCACUCAUGACUGCAGAAUCGCCAAAGGACUACCUGAGUUUUUGCAACCAGCUCCCCGAGAUGAGCCGAGGGUACAUGGCCCUGUUGGGGAGUGACUGGUAGAUCCCAGGCUAAACAAAUAAACAAACCAGCAAACAAAAAUAAAGCAGAUGGGGAGGGGGAAAUCACAAACCAAGCCAGAAAAAUGAGACAGCAGGGCUUCCUGCCCUGCUUUGUGGUCAUAAACCAAUAAGUAAUAGUUUGCAAUCAAUAAAUAGCAAUUAAUUGAAGGCUUACACUAUAUCCAGGACUGAUCUAUUGCCUUAAAUCUUUUCAUCUUUAAAUUGCAAGGAAAUUUAUGAGUGAGGUAGGAUCCAUGAAGCCCCGGGUACAUGAGACACAAGCAUUUUAAGGCGCUCAGGGAAGACCACACCACUGGAAGCUGCCAGGACCAGGCUUCAAACUCAGCAAGUCUGGCUCCAGAGGCGGUGGUUAAACUUUGACCAGUUACUGUCUUUCCUGUGCAAACGGCAGGGCUUGGGGAAAUGAAGUUGAAUAAGGCAGUGUUGUCCCUCAAGGAGCUCAUGGAAAUUUGUAACGUCACGUAGCAAGUGCAGUGUGUAAAGCACAAAGAGAGACUCGGCGGUCUUCGCAGGAUUACAGAUUAUAGAUGACCCAGUUUGGGGAGCGGGCUCUCUGGACCUGAGCAGAAAUUUGAAAGGAUGAGCAAGAGUGAGCCACAAAAAGACUGGAGGGAGGGAGGGUUCUCCCGGGGGAGGACACAGAAGGAGCCAAGCCCCAGAGAAAAGAUAUAGGGGUUCCAGGCUUCUCCCAGGGUGUUUUUCCAGAAGAAGGGUGAAUGGAUACAAGGUGGCAAGAAUGAGAACUCUGUUUGAUCAUGGAAAAUAAUUUCUAAUGAUCACUAUUUGAGAUUAACGUUAAUAAUUGUCACAAUCGUUUUUAGUAACUGACAUGAAUGACAGUUGUGGUGUUUCAUAACCUAUUGCUGUGUUGUCCUGAAAUUAUCCUAAAGCUUAGCUGCUUGAGAAAACAACCCCUCUACUGUGCUGUUGGGAGUCUAUGGUUCAGGAAUUUUGAGAGGACAUAAGCGGGAUGGCUUGAGUCUGCUUUCUAAAUCAAAAAAAGAUUAAUGUUUAUUUAUUUUUGAAAGAGAGAGAGAGAGAGAGAGAGAGGGAGGGAGCGCGCAAGCAGGGGAGGGGCAGCAAGAGGGAGACACAGAACCCAAAGCAGGCUCCGGAUCUGAGCUGUCAGCCCGGAGCAUGAUGUGAGGCUCGAACCCAUGAACUACAAGAUCAUGACCUGAACCGAAGUCGGAGGCUUAACCGACUGAGUCACCCAGAUGCCCCAAGUCUGCUUUCUGAUGUCCAAGGCCUUCACCUGGGGCUGGAAAUUCUUCUUCCAAGAAGGAUGGUCUACCAUCUUGGUGGGGUGAUUGGAAGGCUGGACUUAAAUGGGACUGUCGGCCAGAGCAUCGCCAUGUGCCCUCCUCAGCAUGGUGACCUUAGGAAAGUGGGGCUUCUUCUAAGGUGAGUCACAGUCCCAGGGAGUAAGAUGGAGGGUGAUACUUUCUGACCUAGCUUUGGAAUGACACCAAGUGUUACCCUACUAUAUUCUAUGAAUGAAAGCAGUCACAAGCACAUCCAGAUUCAAGAGGAAACAUAACCUGAGGCGUGUCAAAGAAUUUGGAGCCAAGUUUUAAAAUCACCUUAUGGUUAACAUUUACUGAGUGCUUUCUAAUGUGCCAGGCACUGUGCUAAAUGCUUUAGCAAGGAUAUCUCAUCUAAAGUUCAUCAUAGUACGGGGCACCUGGGUGGCUUAAUUGGUUGAGUGUCCAACUUUGGCUCAGAUCAUGAUUUCACAGCCUGUGGGUUCGAGCCCCAUGUCAGGCCCUGUUGCUGGCAGCUUGGAGCCUGGAGCCUCCUUGGGAUUCUAUGUCUCCCUCUCUCUCUGCCCCUCCCCAACUCACGCCCUGUCUGUCUCUCUCUCUCUCUCUCAAAAAUAAAUAAAUAAAUAAAUAAACAUAGGGCACCUGGGUGGCUUAGACCCAGCUUCAGCUCGGGUCAUGAUCUCACGGUCUGUGAGUUCAAGCUCUGCACUGGACUCCGCUGCUGACAGCUCGGAGCCUGGAGCCUGCUUUGGAUUCUUGUGUCUGCUUCUCUCUCUGCCCCUCCCCAACUCACAUUCUCUCUCUCUCAAAAAUAAAUAAACAUUAAAAAAAUUCAAAUAAUUAGACAUUAAAAAAAUAACAAAGUUCAUCAUAAUGGUAUGAAAUAUGUGCUCUGAUUAUGCCAGUUACAGAUAGGGGAUCACAGCCUUAGGGAGGAUGUUUAACUUGUCCAAGGUCACCAGGAAGUGGCCAUAUAUAUGAGAAAAUGAACUCAACUUCGUAGGGUUUAAAAGCAUUAAGCCUAAGCCGUAUCACCUUGGUAUUCUUCUUCGUAACUCAGCCCCAACUCUUGGCCCAACAUGCAUGGAAGGCUCACUGUUAAUGUUUGUGGGAGGGAAGAAAGUCUUAGCAACUAUACAUCUAAGGGGACUCAAACAGGGACUCUCUGGGGGCAACAUCAUGGUUGGCGACUUCUGUGCUCUCUGUUGCCCUUGUCAGAAGUGGACCCCUGAAGAAGCAAUGGCUGUGUGGACUGUGGGCCUGCUAUUUACAUUUCUCAUGUAAAUGUUCACACAAUUCUCUCCCUGGAAGCCUCAUCCCCAGAGGCCUUGGGCCUGAAUCCUGAAAUCAAAGAAACAGGACAAAUAUACUUUGGAAAAUGCUUCUGAAUUGAAGUUCUCUCAGAUCCAGGAAAAGUGUUACACACUGGCAGUAUUCAUUCCCAGGAAUAUGAAAAAAUACCUUUGACUACUUUUUUACAACUUAUACAUAUUGGAAGAGUAAUCUAUGGUAUUUAAACUCAAUUUUGUUUCAUGUACCCACUCGAUAUAUAUCGAACAAUACAUAUUGAAUACCUAUUAUGUGCCAGACAUGAUGCAGGAUUAUGAAGAUCCUAUGGGCAAGCAAGACAGAGAUGAUUUCUUCCCUCCUAGAGCUCGCAGUCUAGUGAAGGAGACGCAGAGAAACUAAGUACAGAACUAUAGCAGUAUAUAAUUGCUAAUUCUCAAAAGUGCCUUGAGGGAAAUUAAUACGGUGAUAAGAUAAAAAUAAGACAAGAGUAAGGUGGGAAAUCUGUAUGUAUGCUGGUUGAAUUAGGCCCCUCUGGAGACAUGAUAUUACUUAAUCAGAGAGCCAAAGUGAGAGAAGAAAAGAAAGGCUAUGAUCCUGUUUAUUUUUAUUCUGUUCUUUAGUCCCAACCUCCUUUCCUUUGAGUUCAGACCCUGUUCCAAAGGGAAUUCAGCUAAAAGAAUGUUGAUGGACGAAGAAACUAACUGGUCCUUAUUCCAGUAUCGAGUUCAUGCACACAGAUUCUUAAUAGGCAAGUGUAAAACCUGACAUUUAAGGGAUGACCUUAUUCCCCAGCUGCAUAGAAAUCUGAGCCCACCUCUAGCUAACAGUCUCAAAGUGUCGGUCCCUAGUGUGUUCACCAAGCCCCUGAGUCCUCACCCUGGUGGGCCAUUCUUCCUGCCUUCCACGGGCACCUUCAAACGACAAGAGAGUGCUGAGUGUUCAGGCUAGAAGAUAUGCUCCCCAAAAGCUUCAGGGAUUUUCCUUUCCAAGAUCAAACCAUAUUUAUCAAUACUGAGGGAUUGACAUUUAAGGAAACUUGGCCUUGGGGGUGGUGUUGCGAUGGGGAAUCCUACUAAUAAUUACCCCUUAAUAUAGUUAUUUAAAGUUAGGUAUUCACUGAUCUGGUAAAGGAGUCUCUAAUAUUUGAGACCCAACACCUAUGGCAGUUGCAAUAGGUGACACAGGGAUUCAGUGAGUUCGAGCCCUGCAUCAGGCUCUGUGCUGACAGCUCAGAGCCUGGAGCCUGCUUCAGAUUCCCUGUCUCUGUCUCACUCUCUAUCCCUCCCCCGCUCAUGCUCUGUCUCUCUCUCUCAAACUGUGAGAUCAUGACCUGAGCCAAAGUCGGAUGCUUAACCAACUGAGCCACCCAGGUGUUCCAAGAGCAGCUAAUAACCUAAUUCACACUCACUAAUCUCACUUAAUUCUUAUAACCACCCUAAUUAUUGUAUGACAUUCGAUAGGUGAAGAAGCAAUUGUAUAGGAAGUAAGACCUAUGUGGUUCACUAGAAUAGCCACCAGAUAUAUGUGGCUGUUUAAUUUAAAUUAUUUAAAAAUAAAUUAACACUCAGUGCCUCCGUCACACCAGCCACAUUUCAAGUAUUUAGUCGUACAUUUCCACCACUGUAGAAAGUUCUGUUGGAUAGCUCUGGAGACUAUAGGCCAGAGUUUCUCAACUUUGGCAAUAGUGACAUUUGGGGCCAGCUAAAUGCUGUGGGGAAGGGCUCUCUUGUACAUUAUGUUUAGCAGCCACUACCCACUGGUCACCAGUAGCACCCUCCCCUAGUUGCAGCAACCAAGAAGGUCUCCUGAGAGUGUCAAAUGUCCCCUUGAAGGGGAAAUAAAAUCAUCCAUGGUUGAGACAACUGUCCUAGACCCAGCCUAGGCUUUAUAGCCUAUGUGGGAACUUGGGUAAGUUGCUUUCAAUUCUUUCAGCUCAAUUUCCCUCAUUGGUAAAAUAUUUAAAAAACAGAACACAUUUCCAUAAGGUUUUUGUGAGUGUUAAAGGUAAAGCAUUGGUAGGUAAUAAAAGCACAUUAAAUGGUCUUUAGGAAGGUAAUCCACUAAUUCCCCCCCUUAACUGAGAGACAUCCAGAUUAGCUGAUAUGGGAUCUGGGAUCCUGGAAAUUCAACUUUCUGCUUGCUGCUCCAAAGUUCCAUCCAUGAACUUGGGCUUCCAUGUGUAGGUACCUCCAAGGCUGCCGACAAUGACAGAUAUGAGUGAUUUAUUUAGACAACAAAGUCUGGGGACUUGAAAACAAAAAACAAAAUGGGGCGCCCGGUGGCUCAGUUGGUUGAGCGUCUGACUCUGGGUUUCAGCUCAGGUCAUGAUCUCAGGGUCAUGGGAUUGAGCCCCGAGUCGGAUUCUACACUGAGUGUGGAGCCUGCUUAAGAUUCUCUCUCUCUCUCUCUCUCUGUCUCUCUCUUUCUGCCCUUUUCCCCUGCUCACACACUCUCUCUUUAUCCUCUCUCUCUAAAAACAAACAAACAAACAAAAUUCCAACCAAACAUAGAAAACCAUCUUUCAUUAUCUAGAGCCUGAAUUUUGUCAUGAUAGCUUUGAAAAUGUAUCGGACAGUGAGGCAAUCAAUUAAUGAGGAAGGUUUUUAAAGGUCUCUAUAAAAAUUGAAUCAAAUAUUUAGAUCAAUCACAGUGAAGAUGAUUAAAACACAUCAACGGACAGCUGCCAGUAAAUUAAUUGAAGUUUCAACUCAAAUGUCUAAAUAGGCACAUUCAGACAAUUGGCCCUAUCAGUGUAUCAGGUUUAGACUACCAUGUUAGUAGGAUGGAAAGAUAAUUAAAUGAAUUAUUUGAAGUUUGUGCUUAUUCUUGCCUUGAAAAAACCAAAUACAAGUGCUUUAAUGGGCUCACAGAGGAGACUUAUUUUUAUCCUUGAGAUUUUUUUUCCUGUGGUUUAUAGGAUUAAGCUGAGUGUAACUUUCUAAAUCUAAAACUGUCAUUAGAUUGGACAAUAUGAACCAAUAUUUGACCAUUUUUGACCCAUAAGAGAGGAAAUUCCAUAAGAUGUAAAACGAAUGCAUCGAAGAGAGGAGCAAACAUAGAGUAGUUCAUUUCUUCAAUUUAUGUUUCAAUAAUUGAUACCUGGUAGGUCAUCUCUCUAUCAGAAACAGAGAUCAGGUUCACCCAUUCACAUAAUAACCUAGCCAUUCGUCAUGCAUUUACAAUUGGGCCCCAGGCUAAGCAUUACCUCAUUAACCUCAUUUAAACUUAACAAAAACAAUGUGAAAAGGGUAUUAUUUAUUUCCAUUUUGAAGAUGGGAAGACAGGUUGACAAGGUUUGCUAACUUUUAGGUAAGAGGUAUAGCCAGAUUUCACAUUCAGGAGUGCAGAAUUUUAAAGCUUUUGUCCCCGGCCAUACUGUAGCUGCAGGUGAAUGGUGAAGAACAUACUCAUUCUCAGUGUUACAAAUCACGUCCUUAACUAGUACUCCUCCACAACACUUAACCUACUCACUGCAUCUGGACCACAUGGGACAUAGUAGGUAUCAUCUUUUAUGGUCUGACCCCUUUGGCCAUAUGAGUUCAUUAAAUCAGAUUAUGAAUGAGACUUCUUUCACACUUUUGUGAUGUAAAAUAUUUUCUUUUCAAGAUGCCAAUCGCCAAAAUCUUUUACAUUUUUUUUUUCUGGCUUCUUAUUCAUCAGAGAAAAAUUCUGACUGGCCAUUUUAAAAAAAGAAGUAGGUUCUUAACAAAUUAAUCCAUCCAGAAUACCACCGGGCCCAGGAUAAGAAAGAUACUGUCUCAAAGAAGGAACUCACUAAUUGAGAGUAACUGAAGGGAGAGACAAUUCUGAAUUAAUAAAAUGUCUUAAUUAAAAGCAUGAGUUAAAAGAAAGAAAGUCUUAAUAUCUUUUGAUAUCUGAUGGAUAAAUGAAUCAAUGAAGCUGGAGUGUGGAAAAUAUAAAACCCUGUGGUUUUAUGGAACCCUGUGGAAGUCUACUUAAGUCUAUUUUGAUGAACAAAUGAGGUCUAAGGAAAUGGAGUAUAGUUUUCCAGUUACUUGUAGGUCAAGGUGCUACUACGGUCUUGGGAAAAAAAGAAUUCUCAUAAGCUGAUAAACAUUCCCCUUGCAAUCCUUUCACACUGUACUACAUAUAAAUUGUAUGAUGUGUACUAUAUAUAUAUAUAUAUAUACACACACACACACAUAUAUCAAAUCUAUACUAUAUAUAUAAUCUGUAUACUAUCUAAUCUUAACUAUAUAUUAAUAUAUACGAAUACAAAUACUAAUACCAAAUUAUCCUAUAUACUGUAUAACCUAUCUGCCUCUCUAUUUAUAUAUAAUCUCACAAAGAUAAUGAACUCUUCAGACUCUAUUCAAAUAAUUAAAUUUUGAAUUGUUGGGGGUGGAAUUCAUGAAGUCUUUAUAAUUGAUGGAGUCAAACUUAAAAAAAAAAAAACACAACUAAAAAAGGACAACCAAGUAUGGUUUCUACUUGAACCGGUCACAUUAUGUUCCAUCAAAUUUAUUACUCAUCUCGUACCAAUCACACGUGAAAACCAACUCUGAUGUGAAGUGUUGGUAUUCAUUUCUGGUUUGGUAAAGCACUUAGUCCUACCUCCAAUAUCUGUCUAGAAGAAAAAGCCAUUUCACUGCUAUCCCACACUCAAGGAGGAGGGGGUGCACAAGGGUAUGGAUAGCAAAAAGGUCAUCUUAGAGGCUGCCCAGCACAGUGAAUUUCUUCUGUGCUAAUAUCUAUGUUCUGCGGAAUAUCUAGAUAUUGUCAUCUCUGCAAAGCAUGCCCUGAUAAUAUUAGAAAGAGAAAUAAAACAAGGAGUAGAAGUAUCUAAACCAUGUUUCAAUGCUUGUCCCUCACCACGGCCCCCGCAAUCUUUCUCCUAACUCUUAAAGAGAAUCAAUUCUGUUCUCAGAGUUGACAGCCCAGAGAGACGCACAUAUUGGUCAUGUCCACUGUGUGGCUUGAGAGGAGUCAGCGAGCGGGCUUCAGAGCAUUUUAAAAGAAGCUGUAUGAUUCCAAGGGUGUUAAACAUACAUUCUCAAGGGGGAAAUGCCACCCCCAAGGGGCCAACAAUUCAUUCUUCGGGGGCAAAUAGUUCUUAUUCUUUUUAUGUAGAAAGCACAGAUGUACAUACAGCACAUAAGCAGAUAUAUGGUAGAUCUGUGGCAUGAAACUUCUAUGGUGGGUGUGAUUAGGGAAAAAAUGUCUUCAAAAGCUACCGUAGAAGAACGAUGAGAAAAAAGGCUGAGAACAGCUUGAUGCAGGACAAGGCAGUAAAGAGUAUUCUGAGGUCAAGAAAGCUUCAGGGAGGGAGGGGCUGGGAUGCAGAUUUGGCAGGGAGGAGACAGUAUUCGGAACUUGGAAGAGGGCUUCCGAGGCACCUAGAGGGCUUUGGUUUUACUCCAUUCUGAUUUUACCCAAUUUCUACCUUCCGGGGAUUCCCCACAGUGUCUGACCCACUGAGAAUUCCUUUCUGGCUUUGGAGUACAACUAUGUUCAGAUUCACUUUAAGCAUGUUUUCUAAUGUUUCUGAGAGAUUUGGGGUUUGUGGGGAAGCUUAUAGCAAGGGUUUUGUUCACUACCUAGAAAUGUAAAGUAUUCAUUACCAUGUAAGCAAAGAUAGGCUCCACUUUCUCUCUCUUCUUCCUUCCUCCUACUCUCUCUGUUGGGUAGACGCAAAGUCUGUGAGUUGAAGGAGGAAAGAGGAAAGGUCUUGAACAUUGGCAGAAUGGUGUCACAGGAAACCUUGCCCUAUCAGCCACCAUGUGAGGGUCUGGUCCUGAGGCUUCUGGUGUGUCUAGAUUUCAUACUUCUUGUGUUUGAAAUGAAGACUUUGUAUAAAAUAAUACUUAAGGUUGAUUCCAGCUUCAAUAAUACAUUAGCCCAUAAAAUGUCAUCUGCAUUUACACAAUAAUGUGUUUAAAGUAUAGCUGUUGGAGUUGUACAUCUUUGGGUGAAGGUUUUGAUUCUCCUGUUGCAAUCCAAACACUCAGUAGAGUGUUGAGCUGAAUCUAUAAUUGCGACCUUUGUGUGAACUGCACAUCACCACAAUACAAGGGGAAUAGCCUCCACCGCCGAGUCUUUACAGAUUCAACAUAGGGGCCAAGGUUCAAGUCCUCUGGACUUGGAAGCCUCUGAAGACAUACUUAGCCAAAAUCACAAUCUUGCCUACUACAGUGAGCCACAUGAAAUUCCCAUUUUUGUAGUUCAAAAAUCGUUGAAUUUUGGCAAAUUUAGAGUUCAACCUGGAGCUUAACCAGCAGAUCAGUCUCCUUUAAUGAGGCGACCAUUUUUACUAAAUAAAAUCUUUACCUAUGUCAAGACACAAGAAAUAGCUGUCACUGAUUUAUUAUUUUUUUUAAGUUUUUAUUUUAAUCACCUGGUGCUCAUUACAACAAGCGCUUUCCUUAAUCCCCAUCACCUAAUUUUGCUCAUCGCUCCCCCCCUCCAAGCAUCAGAUUGUUCUCUAGAGUCAGGAGUCUGUUUCUUGGUUUGUCUCUUUGUUUCUCUCUCCCCCCCACCCUUUGCUCACUUGUUUUGUUUCUUAAAUUCCACAUAUGAGUGAGAUCAUGUUAUUUGUCUUUCACUGACUGACUUAUUUCAUUUAGCCUGGUACUGUCUAGCUCCAUCCAUGUUGUUGCAAAUGGCAAGAUUUCAUUCUUUUUGUGGCUGAAUAAUAUUCCGUUGUAAACAUAUGACACAUCUUUAUCCAUUCAUCAAUUGAUUGACAUUUGGUCUCCUUCCGUAGUUUGGCUAUUGUAAAUAAUGAUACAAUAAACAUAGGGGUGCAGGUAUCCCUUUGAAUUAGUGUUUUUGUAUUGGGGGGGUAAAUGCUUACUAGUGCAAUUGCUGGAUCAUAGGAUUUUAAGUUUUUGAGGAACAUCCAUACUGUUUUCCACAAUGGCUGCACCAGUUUGCAACCCCACUAACAGUGCAUGAGGGUUCCUUUUUCUCCAUAUUCUUGCCAACACCUGUUGUUUCUUGUGUUUUGGUUUUAGCCAUUCUGACCAGUAUAAGGUGAUAUCCCAUUGUGGUUUUGAUUUUCAUUUCCCUGAUGAUGAGUGAUGUUUAGAAUCUUUCCAUGAGUCCGUUGGCCAUCUGUAUGUCUUCUCUCGGAGAAAUGUCUGUUUACGUCUUCUGCCCGUUUUUAGACUGGAUUGGUUGCCUUUUGGGUGUUGGGUUUUGUAAGUUCUUUACAUAUUUUGCAUUAAAACCCUUUGUUGGAUAUGUCAUUUGCAAAUACUUUCUCCCAUUUUAUAGGUUGCUUUUUAGUUUUGUUGAUUGUUUCCUUCACUGUGCAGAAGGUUUUUAAUUUGCUAUAGUUCCAAAGCUAGAAAAAAAGUUGCUAUGGCUGACGUCAGAGAAGUUACUGAGUACACUCUCCUAUGGUUUUUAUGGUUUCAGGUCUCACAUUUAGGUCUUUAAUGCAUUCUGAAUUUAUUUUUGUGUAUGGUGUAAGAGAGUGGUCCACUUUAUUCUUUUGCAGUAUCUGUCCAGUUUUCCCAACACCAUUUGUUGACGACACUGUCUUUUACCCAUUGGAUAUUAUUUUCUGCUUUACCAAAUAUUAAUUGACCAUAUAAUUUUGAAUUCAUGUCUGGAUUUUCUGUUCUAUUCCAUUGAUCUACAUAUCUGGUUUUGUGCCAGUACAAUACUGUUUUGAUUACUACAGCUUUGUAUUAUAACUUGAAGUCCAGAAUUGUCAUGCUUCCAGCUUUGCUUUUCUUUUUCAAGACUGCUUUGGCUAUUUGAGGUCUUUUGUGGUUCCAUACAAAGUUUAGGAUUGUGUGUUCUAGCUCUGUGAAAAGUGCUGUUGGUAUUUUGAUAGGGAUCGCAUUAAAUAUGUAGGUUGCUUCGGGUAUUGUAACCAUUUUAACAAUAUUUGUUCUUCCAAUCCAUGAGCAUGGAAUGUCCCCAUUUCUUUGUGUCAUCAUCAGUUUUCAUCAGUGCCCCAGCUGUGUGGUUUUCAUAUAUGGCCUUUAUUAUGGUGAGGUAUGUUCCCUCUAAAUCUACUUUGUUGAGCGAUUUUAUCAUGAAUGGAUGUUAUAUUUUGUCAAACACUUUUCCUACAUCUAUUGAAAUGAUCACAUGGUUCUUAUCCUUUCUCUUAUUGACAUGAUGCAUCACGUUGAUUGACUUGUGAAUAUUGAACCACCCUUGCAACUCAGGAAUAAAUCCCACUUGAUCAUGGUGGGUGACUUUUUUUUAACAUAUCGUUGGAUUCAGUUUGUAUUAUGUUGAGGAUUUUUUGUUCUUUUUUUUAAAUUUUAAUGUUUAUUUAUUUUAGAGAGAGAGAGACAGAGUGCAAGCAGUGGAGAGGCAGAGAGAGGGAAACACAGAAUCCGAGGCAGGCUCCAGGCUCUGAGCUGUCAGCACAGAGUCUGAGGUGGGGCUCAAACCCAUGAGCUGUGAGAUCAUGACCUAAGCCGAAGUCAGAUGCUUACCCAAUUUAGCCACCCAGGCACCCCAAUAUUGGCCUGUAAUUCUUAAAAAAUUUUUUUUAAAUGUUUAUUUGAGAGAGAGAGAGAGAGAGAGAGAGAGAGAGAGCGAGCAUGAGAAGGGGAGGGGCAAAUAGAAAGGGAGACACAGAAUCUGAAGUAGGCUCCAGGCUCUGAGCUGUCAGCACAGAGCAUGACGUGGAGUUCAAACUCACAAACUAUGAGAUCAUGACCUGAGCUGAAAUCAGAUGCUUAACUGACUGAGCCACCCAGGCAUCCCUAUAGUUCUCUUUUUUUGUGGUGUCCUUAUCUGGCUUUGGUAUUAAGGUAAUGCUGGCCUCAUAAAAUGAAUUUAGAAGGUUUCCUUUCUCUUUUCCUUUUUUUUUUUUUAAUGUUUAUUUUUGAGAGACAGUGCAUGCACACACAAGCAGGGGAGGGGAAGAGAGAGUGGGAGACAGGAUCUGAAGCAGGCUCCCCACUGACAGCAGACAUCCUGAUGCGGGGCUCAAACUAACCCCAAGAUCAUGACCUGAGCCAAAAUCAGAUACUCAACCAGCUAAGCCACCGAGGUGACCCUCUUUUUUACUCCUUGGAAUAGUUUGAGAAAAGAGGUACUAAGUCUUCUUUAAAUGUUUGGUAGAAUUUGCCUGUGAAGCCAUCUGGUCCUGGACUUUUGGAUGUUGAAAGUUUUUUGAUAAUUGAUUCAAUUUCUUUGCUGGGAAUUGGUCUGUUGAAAUUUUCUAUUUCCUGUUUCAGUUUUGGUAAGUUGUGUGUUUCUAGGAAUUUAUACAUUUCUUCUAGGUUGUCCAAUUUGUUGGCAUAUAGUUUUUCAAAAUAUUCUAUUAAUUGUUUGUAUUUCUGUGGGUUUUGUUGCUAUUUCUCUUCUCUCGUUUGUAAUUUUAUUUAUUUGGGUCCUUUCUCUUUUUUUCUUAAUAAGCCUGGCUAGAGGUUUAUCAAUUUUAUUGAUUUUUUUUCCCAAAGAACCAGUUCCUGGUUUCAUUAAUCUCUUCUAUUGUUUUUUGGUUUUUUUUGUUUAUUUUUUGUGUGUGUGUGUGUGUGUGUGUGUGUGUGUGUGUGUACGUGUGUGUGUGUGUGUGUGUGCGUGUGUGUGUGUUAGGUUCUAUAUCAUUUAUUUCUGCUCUAAUCUUUAUUACUUCCUUCCUUCUGCUGGUUUUAGCAGCAAAAGGUGUUCUGCUUUUUCUAGCUCCUUUAGGUCUAAGGUUAGGUUGUUUAUUUGAGAUUUUUCUUCCUUGUUGAGGUAGGUCUAUAUUGCUAUAAACUUUCCUCUUAGCCACUUUUGCUGCAUCCCAAAGUUUUUGAACUGUUGUGUUUUCAUCUUCAUUUGUUUCCAUGUACUUUUUUAAUUUCUUCUUUUAUUUCUUGGUUGACCCGUUCAUUGUUUAGCAGCAUGUUAUUUAACCUCCAUGUAUUUGUGGUCUUUCCAGAUUUUUUACUGUGGUUGACUUCAAGUUUCAUAGCAUUGUGGUCAAAAAAGAUGCAUGGUAUGACUUUGUUCUCUUUGAAUUUGUUGAUGCUUGUUUUGUGGCCUGAUACAUAAUCUGUUCUGGAGAAUGUUCCAUGUACACUUGAAAAGAAUGUGUAGUCUGCUGUUAUAGGAUGGAAUGUCCUGAAUGUAUCUGUUAAAUCCACCUGGUCCACUGUGUCAUUCAAAGCCACUGUUUCCUUGUUGAUUUUCUGUUUAGAUAAUAUGUCCAUUGAUGUAAAUGGGGUGUUAAAAUCUCCUAUUAUCGUAUUAUUAAUGAUUAAUUCCUUUAUGUUGGUUAUUAACCGUUUUGCAUAUUUGGGUGCUCCCAAGUUGGAUGCAAAAAUAAUUUAUUGUUAUAUCUUCUUGUUGGAUUGUCGCCUUUAUUAUCAUAUAGUGUCCUUCUUUGUCUCUUGUUACUGUCUUUAUUUCAAAGUCUCUUUUGCUGUUAAAAAUAUUGCUACUCUGGUUUUCUUUUGACAUUCAUUUGCAUGAUAGACAUUUCUUCAUUCCCUCACUUUCAACCUGCAGGUGUCUAUAGGUCUAAAAUGAGUCUCUUGUAGGCAGCAUACAGAGGAGCCUUGUUUUUUUUAUCCAUUCUGUCACCUAUGUGUUUUGAUUGGAGGAUUUAGUCUAUUUACGCUUAAAGUAAUUAUUGAUAGACCUGUAUUUAUUGUCAAUUUAUUACUUAUUUUGUGUGUUUUUUUUCUGAAGAUUUUCUAUGAUCCUUUCUUAUCUUUCAUGAUUUUCUGGUUUUCUUUAGUAAUAUAUUUGGAUUUAUUUCUCUUUAUUCUUUGCAUAUCAAUUAGUGGUUUUCGAUUUGUGGUUACCAUUGGGUUUGUAUAUAACCUCUUCUGCAUAUAGCAGUGUAUAUUAAGUUGAUGGUCAUUUCAGUUUGAACCCAUUCUUUACUCCUGUUCUCCUCACAUUUUAGGUAUAUAGUGUCUAUUUUACAUCCUUUUGAGUUCCUUGACUGAUUUUUUACAGAAAUAUUCUUUUUUACUGUUUUGUGUUUCCUAUCUUUAUACUGUCACUUCAAGUCUCUCCUUUCCACUCAAAGAGCCCCCUUUAAUAUUUUUGUCUAUGGUGUAAGAGAGCAGUCCACUUCAUUCUUUUGCACAUAGCUGUCCAGUUGUCCUGACACCAUUUGUGCAAGCUACUUUUUCCCAUUUCAUAUUCUUUCCUCCUCUAUUUUUUUAUUUCAUUUUAUUUUAUUUUAUUUUAUUUUAUUUUUUUAAUUUUUUUUAACGUUUAUUAUUGAGAGAGAGAGAGACAGAGCAUGAGCACGGGAGGGACAGAGAGAGGGGGAGACGCAGAAUCUGAAGCAGGCUCCAGGCUCUGAGCUAUCAGCACGGAGCCUGACGCGGGGCUUGAACUCACAAACUGUGAGAUCGUGACCUGAGCCGAAGUCAGACGCUUAACCGACUGAGCUACCCAGGCACCCCAUCCUCCUCUAUUUUUUUAACCAUCGUUUUAUUUCCCACCCUUUUCCAAAAGAUCUUAAUGUGACCAGGAGUGCAAAGGAAUGGGAAUAUUCCAGAGCUGCUUUAAGAGAGACGAACCUAUAGCUUUCAAAGAAACGUCUAUUUCUUGUUGUGUUCCGUACGUCAUACAACAGCCCUGUGAAACUGAAUUAGGAAAUUCAGAGUCUUAAAAAAAAAAAGUGCUCUCUAGAAACCCUCUGUCAUCCUUUACAACCUAACCGAUCCCUUUUGGUCUUAAUGUGUUUCUAUGAGUUCUGACCUUUCUGGUAAUCAACAUGGAUAUGCCAUAUCCUGGAAACAGACUGGGAAUGUUGUUUGACAUGUGGAUUAGGCUGCAGUGACAGUGUGGUCUGUCAGAUAGUCCACAAAACACAGCUACCUGUAGAAAAUGAACUCCCAAGUAGCUAUAUCUUCUCUCCUAGUGAACACAGAACUGUCUCAUUUCUGAGCGAAAACACAGCAGAAAAGGAAGACUCGGCAUGCCGCUUCUCAGGCCGUAUCCUUAUUUCCAUGUCACUCCAGUCGACAAUUCCCAGGACAACACAAUCCACUAUCUCGACAAGCAAAUAAAAAGGUACAAGAAAUAAAGAAAUAAUCCUUCUCAGUAUCUUUUCUCAAGGUCUUUCUCCCAGAACAACUUUCUUCUCUCCAGAAGCCAGCUCCAAGGCCCUGGUUCAUUGGCAGUAUGUAUUUUCAGUUGGCAAAAAAUGUGAAAAGGAAUCAUGCUGAACUUAGCUUCCCCAAAACUGAAUUCAACUUGAUGUCAAACUCCUACUAGGGCUUGUAAAAGCUGCACUGGUGCCGGCAUCUGUAGUUAGAGAAAAGAGACAGCUGUAAAAAACAUCUUCUCACCCAAAGAUAAUUUGGGAAAGGUCAUUUUAUUACAUGAUUUAUUUAUAUUCUUUCUCCACGGUACACAGAGUUCUGAUGGGUACACAGAGCUGAGAGGAGGAGAAACAUUGAAAGAAACCCUUAAGGCCCACCAGUGGUAGGCAUCUUAUGGGCCAAGGAGACGUCUGGGGUACAUCCUUUAACUAAAAUAGCCUUCAAGUCAAUGCAGUCCUUCCGUGUCAGUCAAAUGAAAAGGAAAGUUCUACCAUAAGACCCAUGUUCUCCCCAAUUGUCUGAGGCAUCAUCAGUAAGAAACAUGAUUAGCAGAUCUUGCUUUUAUAGUCACCAAGAACAACCAAGAUAGUUUUCCCCUCUGAAAAGAAAAAAAAAUGUCAAGUUAAUCAAAUUUCCAAUGGUUCAUCUUCUUUACACAUUGUGUUGGCAUGUUAACGGGCAUAAAUUUUCUCUUCUGGAUUUCUUUGCCUGGAGAAGCAUGUGAUAAUUACAUUCUAAACAGACCUACAUAGUUAAUAUGGAAAGCUGAAUAUCUCUUUAAAUGCAAACAGAUGGGCAGUUUUGUUUAUCUUCACUUGGCUCUAUGACUGUGUCCUAAACACGCAGGCAGGAUUUUUUAAUACCAAGUUUAUAAUGGUGACAAGUAGGAUUUACUGGAGAAAUACUUUUUGACCAUAUAUUUGAUUUAACCUCCCCCUGAAAUGGAGUCCAAGCUAAACGUUUCUGGGUUUUGUAUUUUUGUUUUCUGUUUAAGCAUUACUCCUCUCUGUUUAUUGCCGGCAUGUCCCAGACGCUGGGGUCAGGUGUUUGAAAAUGAGAACCAAAUAGUUUUUAUUCUUGCCCUCAGAGUGUAGCCAGUACUGUGGCUUUGUUAAGCUUCUUGUUUCCCUUGCUAAAAAGUACUUUAAAGAAAUGCAGCGAAAGAGCCAAAGAGAAGGCGAAGGUAAAGAAUGUGACUUGCUUUCCAUGAUUUCCUUCAACCCAACCAGUUAGGCAUUCCUGUUUUUUGCUUUUACAAAUGUUUACAUAGGUAGCAACUUUCAGCGUCCUCUAGCCAAUUGUAAGUUUUCUGAUAGGGCAGACUUUAUCGUCCUUUCUUCAAAACUGGCUUACGGGGGAAAGCUGUGGUGAGGAUCGUAUUCUCUAAUAAUGUCUGUGGCUGUGUUUGACCGAUUUGCUUCUGAGACGAUGAAGUAUGAUGUCUCUAUGGAAUUCCAUUUGAAAGAGAUUUAAAAAUUAAACAUCAUGAAUAUUCAGUAAAGCUGCCUGGAAGUUUAGCUCUAAGUGACUUAAUCACUUUCUCUGCAGUUUUCGUUAAAGAAGCCAUUGUUGGAACUAGGAAAGGUGUUUUCUUUUGUUUUAUAUAGAAAACCCUUAAAGUUAAUUAGCAAUGCUAUGUGAACCAUUUCCUUGAAAUGUUGAAUUUUAAUGCCCCUCAAAAUACGAGUCACCCUAGCAAGGCCACGGCCCCGCUAUAGGAGCCAAGGUUAUUUCUUUUUUCUUUUUUUUUUUUUUAAUUUUUUUUUCAACGUUUUUUAUUUAUUUUUGGGACAGAGAGAGACAGAGCAUGAACGGGGGAGGGGCAGAGAGACAGGGAGACACAGAAUCGGAAACAGGCUCCAGGCUCCGAGCCAUCAGCCCAGAGCCUGACGCGGGGCUGGAACCCAUGGAGCGCGAGAUCGUGACCUGGCUGAAGUCGGACGCUUAACCGACUGCGCCACCCAGGCGCCCCCAAGGUUAUUUCUUAAUGCCAUCUCUCUGCUUGCAUGCACAUUAGUUUCCAAAGAACACAAGGCCAAUACAGAAUUGAUCAGUACUAAGUUCAUUUUGUUCUUUUUUUGUUCUGUGUUACAAAGAGAAUCUCAAAUUAUAAAACGUCCCAUUUAAAAUUAAGAGGACCAUCUCCAAAGUUAGAAAAGAAGUAAUAAUGUAGGAGAGGUAAUGUGUUCAGAAAAAUUACCCAAAAGUGACAUAAGGCAAAAACUUUACUAUUUGCUCCUUCAAAGUUGUAUCAGUUGUUCUAUCUAGCCCACCUUAAUACAUUAAAAAAAAAAACAAAAACAAAAACAAAAACAAACAAGAUAGCAACAAUCUCAAAAACUAACGGGAAAAUUAUUUAGAUUACUGAACGUAUGCAUACUUUGUAAAACAAGUAAGAAUGUCAAGACUGAGGCCACUGCUAUAGGCUCUGAGCUUUGAGUUGUCCAUUGCAUUAGUCAGACCACCUUUAAUUGAAUUAAAUUAAAUUAAAUUAAACUUGGCCACAAUGGGUCAAGUCCAAAGGCAGGAGGUCUUAUACCAAGUUGUUCCCUAUGGUGGGUAGUGAGAUUUCCCACCUAUAAUCCAUGCAUGACAUAGCAACUAAUUAAAAUCCAAUCAACUAGAGAUGUCACUAGUUAAUGAACAUUCAAGAAUAAUAACACAUUACAUGUAGUCAGCAUCUCUUAGAAGUCUCAGUACCCCAACUUUGGAAGGGAGAUAUUGUUAUUCUCAUUUUGCAAAUAGGAAUAUAGAUGCAUGGAGAGGCCAAACAGCUAUUUCACUGUAUAGCAUCCAGAGCUGGGAUUGAAAGUCAAGACUGUUGUGAGCUGGGAACGCCACUUAGUUUUAGUUACAGUUUCAAUAUGUACCAGUUGAAUAACCUCGAGGAAGUCACUUAACUUUUCUGAGCCUCAGUUUGUCCAUCUUUACUAAGGAGAAAACAAGCACUAACUCACUGUUGGGAGCAUUAAGGAGACCAUUCACUCACUUAAAGCAUUUUAGCACAGAGGCUAGCCCACAGUAAGUACUCGGUCAACCUACUCUGGACACAAAAAGAAAAAUGAGAUUCUAAUACAAAGUUGAUUUCCCAAGAGUCCUCCAAUGUGUUCAAGGAGAGAUACACAAACUACUGAGUGUUCAACUCAAUCGCCAUUCUCCACAAGGGUAAAUUACAGUGGGAACUCAUGUAGAAAAUGAUGAGUUAGAGGCAUAGGGUGGCAUAUGAGACAAAAAGAAACAUAUGAUGCAUCAUGUUUACUGUGAUUAACAAGGCAAGAAGGUGAACGUACACUUCAGAAAGCUCUUGAACGACAGCAGUGAGACAGUAAACCCAUUUCGUCAGUCUUCAGUUAGCUUAAAAAAUCAAUGCUCAUUCUGGUUUAUAUAAGUUAUAUAUGUUUCAAUAGGAAUUUUUUUUUUUAAAUACAAGGUGCUUAAAAACAACUCAAAAGUAAAAUUUCAAGACUCUUUGAGAACAUUCAGAAUUCCCUUUUUAACUUUCUUCUUCUGGACUGUAAUGAUUUAGGGUGAACUUUAUUUGACCUUCCAAUAAAGGCUUCAGUUAUUUGAGGGAACAAGAAAGAUGGGAAGAUGAAAGAAAUCGGGUCGCCCAAGUUGCCAGGGCUGGCAAAGUGAUUCCAAAUUCAGAAUCCUUGUGCCUUGAGCCCCUUUCAGAAACAGGCUCCUGGCAAAUCCAGGGCAGAACUCCAAGCCAUUGGCAGGCCAGUUUCAGUACAAAGCAAGCCAAAUGUAACAUAACUGCCUAGAUUCUGGUUCUUUGGAGGUGUUAACUCCAUCUAUGGAUUGUGAAAGUCCUUAGGAUUUAUCAGUGAGGGGCUUUUAAUGUAAGAGAGUUGAAAAUGGGCAGAUGCAGCCAGAAAUGCAUAAGCAAUGCAUUUUUCUUUUCCUUUUUCUUUUUAAUGCUUAUUUAUUUUUGAGACAGAGACAGAGUAUGAACAGGGAGGGGCAGAGAGAGAGAGGGAGACACAGAAUCUGAAACAGGCUCCAGGCUCUGAGCUGUCAGAACAGAGCCUGACGCGGGGCUCAAACCCAUGAACUGUGAGAUCAUGACCUGAGCUGAAGUCGGAUGCUUAACCAACAGAGCCACCCAGGCACCCCAGCAAUGCAUUUUUCUAUGAUACAAUGUAUCUGUCCCCUUCUGAACAAGGUACACGAGGGACCAUUAGAGGAUCCCCUUUUUUAAAAAUCUCAAUCUUUUCAUAAAUAGCUUAUCUGAAACAAAUCAAUACAAAUCCUCCUCGCAUCAUUUUAUCAUAAAGACCAUGUAUUUCCUUUCUUUUUUUUUUUAAAGGUCACACCGGUCUAUUUCCUUUAUGAGAGAUCUCUUUGGGAGGUUCACUGCUAACCAAUUAAAACCUAAUCACCUUGGUACACUAGAAUUUCUUUAUCAGAAGCCUUUCUUACCCAUUAAGAGUACUACAGUUUGGCAUUUGAGAACAGUUCAUUCUGGGCUGUCUGCAAAGAAGAAAGGGGAUGAGAACCAUUUUCAAGGGCUUUUCUCGUGACAUUUACUCCUCAGCUCUGCAGGAGAACACGUCAGCUCUCUCAGUCCACAGCUGCCUGUACGUCCGUCCUGACUGCAUUGCCCAGGGACUGUGUGCUCAGUUCUCAAAGGGGCCAUCAGUCUGAGAGCUGGAUGGGAGCCACCAGUGGGCAACGGUCUGGAAACAGACCAGUCCCUUCCUGUUCCUCAUAGCAAAAAAAGUCAAACAAGAUUGAUGGAGGGAAGGGUAGGAGAAACGAAAGUGUUAGGAAAAAUACUCCCAAAUUUGGAAAUAAGGCAAAAAGAAUACCACGAGCCGUUUCAAAGUCAUACUAACUGUUCUAAUUAGCCCCCUAAAGGUCAUUUGACGCUCCAGAACUGCGCUAAUAUAGUUGCCGAGAGCCACAUAUGGGCCCUUUAAGUUAAAUCCGAAUUAAAAUUAAAUAAAAAGCUUUUGUACAAUGAAGGAAAUCGUCAACAAAAUAAAAGGCAACCUACUGAAUGGGAGAAGUUAUUUGCAAAUGAUAUUGUAAUAAGGGGUUAAUAUCCAAAAUAUAUAAAGAACUUCUACAACUCAACACCAAAAAAAAAAAACAACAACAACAACAACCAAACAACAAAAAACAAAACCCUGAUUAAAAAUUGGUCAGAGGACCUCAAUAGACAUUUUUCAAAGAAGACAUACAGAUGGCCAACGUCUGUUAGCCAUGAAUGGAUGCUCAACAUCACCAAUCAUCAGAGAUAUGCGAAUAAAAACCACAAUGAGCUAUCACCUCAUGCCUGUCAGAAUGGCUAGCAUCAAAAAGAAAAGAAACAACAAAUGUUGGCAAAGAUGUGGAGGAAAAGGAACCCUCGUGCACUGUUGGUGGGAAUGUAAACGAGUGCAACCAUUGUGAAAAACAGCAUGGCGUUUCUACCAAAAAUUAAAAAUAGAAAUACUAUAUGAUCUAGUAAUUCCCCUGCUGGGUAUUUGCCCAAAGAAAAUGGAAUCAUGAAUUUGAAAAGUUAUAUGCACCCUUAUGUUUAGUGCAGCAUUACUUACAACAGCCAUGAUAUGGAAGCACCCAUAUAUUGAUGGAAGUGUCCGUCAACAGAUGAAUGGAUAAAGAAGAUAUGUAUAUGAAUGAUACACACACACACACACACACACACACACACACAAUGGUAGGAAUGAGAUCUUACCAUUUGCAACAACACAGAUGGAACUAGAGGGUAUUAUGCUAAGUGAAAUAAGUUAAAGAAAGACAAAUACUGUACGAUUUCACUUAUAUGUAGAAUCUAAAACACAACACAAAUGAACAAGGAAACAAAAAAGCCAAACAGUGGUAAAUACAGAGAACAGACUGGUGGUUGCCAAAAGGGAGGCAGGUGUGUCUGUGGGCAAAAUAGAUAAGAGAAUAAAGAUGUAAAAACUUCCAGAUAUAAAAUAAAUAAGUCACAGAGUUGAAAAGUACAGCAUAGGGAAUAGAGUCAAUAAUAUUGUAAUAAUGUUGUAUGAUGACAGACAGUGACUACAUUUACCGUAAACACUGAGUGAUGUAGAGAACUAUCUAAUCAAUAUAUGGUGCAUCUUAAACUAAUCUAAUAUUGUAUGUCAACUAUACUUCAAUAAAUAACUCAAUAAAAUUUAAAAGUCGUUUCUUCAGUUAUUCUAACCACAUUUCAAGAGUUCAAUGGCUACAAGAGGCUAGUGGCUGCAUACUGAACUGUGCAGAUAAAGAACAUUUCCAUCAUUGCAGAAAGUUCUAUUGGGUAGCUGUUCUAAGGAAAGGUAAAUUUGUGUUAAAAUUUACUAUUAAUUAGAGCUUAGACCAUAAAGUUGGAUGUCAACUGGUAGAAAACUGAUAAGUUGCAAAGAGUUUUUGUUUCUUAGAGAUGCAAAUAAUUUUUGCCCAGAAGAUAACUCCACAAGUUCUGGUUUUAUUACCCUGAAGGAAAUUAAUCAGUUUUGUAUAUACAUUAGUUAUUUUGUUCCAGCAUUGUUUAACUGAAUAAAUAUGUAUCAGUCUCUUACAUCCUCCUUUUGAACCAGUUUUGUCUUCCUGCUGUGUCUCUUGGUUACUGAAUUAGAGAAAUCCUUAACAUAUGCCCAUUAUAUAUUUUGGAGUAUUAUAUUUCUAACUUUUAGAGAACUGUAACAAAGGGAUUGAACAGAUGCACCUAGUGAGAAUUUGAUUUAAAUAGGGUCUAAAUUAAAUAUGGGGCAGAUUGUUCUCUUGGCAAAAUUUAUUGUAAGUGCUUCUCAGCUUUUCCAACAAUACAGUAGCACAGCAGAGAGAUUAGAGCCUACGCUUUGAGGAUCUUUGUCAAGGUCCAUAGAGGUCACUGCCAGGAUAAUACACAAGAAGGAUGUAGAAGCAAAAUAGAAGAGAAAAAGCUGAGGAAGAUUGAAACUUUCCCCCUUUUUUAUUUUGUGUAAUAUUGCAUGGUUUUAUUUUUAAUUAAUGAGUACACAGAACUACAUAAUUAAAAAUAAAAAUUAAAAAAUGCAUAAGCAGGGAGGCAAUUUAUCAUUAAAUCAGCACUCUACCACUUACUAGUGUGUCCUUAGGCAAGUGAUCUAAUUUCUCUGAGCCUUGGUUUACUCAUCUGUGAAAUGGAAAUAAUAACAAGUAGAUCAUAGGACCGGUGUGAUGAUCAGAUUAGAUGAAUUGUGACACAGAGUUAGGACUCAAUAAAUGUUAGCUAGAAUUAUUAUCACCCCUGGCAGUUUAGGAACAUUCCUUAGAGUUACUGAGAAAGCAACAUCUAAUACCUCUCAUCUGAUUUUGAAAAUUCAUGGGAAUACUGCUGCCUCAUCCAUAAUAUAUUUCAUUUUAAUUCGAUCAUAAUUUCACCUCACAUUCUUGAGUAAAGAUACUUCACUUUGAACUUGACUUUACCUGUUCUUGGUGAGCUCAGUGUAUCAUUAGGAGUAUGCAUACCCCGGAUGGGAAAACAUGGCAUCUAUGGUAGACAAUAGUUUCCCUGAAGACUCGUAGGAAAAACCAUUAUACCUAAUUUUAGUUGACUUUGAGAAAUCAAGAGUGUCAGAGGAAAGGUACAAAUACACAAAUAUACACAUGCCCCUACCACCACCAAUAGCACUACCCGAACAAUGCCCAAACAACCCAAAACUUAUUAGAACUUGCAAUUUGGACAAUUAUUUUUGGUGAAGGAAAAGAAGAAAGAACAAAGAUGUCACAUAUGACAUAUCACACCAACUUCCCUCCACCCCGUGCCCCAACCCCGUCCUUACUCAUUUCAUUUUCUCUUCCUGGUAGCUGAAUACGUAGAUUUGCAGAAAUUUACGUUCCAGAAUAGAGAGAAGCCCAGAGAAGGAAAGCUUAUAAGCAAGUGUGUUGGCAACAAAGAACCAAUCUUAAGAAGGUGGGAACCCAAAGUAGCCCAAUCUCCCUGGGAGAAUGGAAAUUCCUCCUCCUCCGCCCCAAAGGAGUCUAACCCAGGUUCUGUUGCCCUGCCUGUGGCAGAUGGUGAGAUGGUGAGAUGGUUAUGGGUGCCUGUGGAUUCCUCAAAGGGAAGUUAGGAGAGAAGGAAAGAUAGAUACUAAGUCUUUUGAUCUCAUGACAAUUAACCGUGAAGAUGUUUGUCGCAAGGAUUAAGCAAAAAGGAGUUUUUGCUAAAAGAGACCCCUUGUUCACAUUUAUCCAAUGCCCUUAAAGGAUUAUUUAAUAUAUUUUUAUUAAUAUUCAGUAUUUAUAAAAUUGAUAUUUAAUAUUAUUAUUUAAACAAUCAUUUCCUUUGGACUUAAACAGGCUUUAGCUGUAAGUGCCCUAUAAGAGGUUUCUGCCCCCCUGCAGCGUAUUACCUUGAGUAACUUUCAGGGACGGUCAGUCCUCACUUCCUAGGUAUCUUUGUGAACGGUGCUUAGUAGAGUACAUGAGGGCAUGGAAAGCCAGUAAGCAUUAGCUCCCAUUGUGAUGGCUACUGAACUAACCCUGGGGUCACCCUAAGAAGGCUAACUCUUAGUAUUUCUUAAACUUACUAAGGAAAAGCCAGUUGUGUGGUUUAUCAGGAUCCUGGCAAUAAAAAGGAUGCACCCCCAACCCUGAGGUUGGUUGUAAUGAGAAGGUGCUCAUGAUGGGAGGUGUGGAUGCAGAGAAACAAGAGGUGGCAAGGCACUAGACGACUAGCAAAACGAAGUAGUUAUGACUGUUUUUUUUAUGGCCUGAAUGCUGUAUGCCCCCAAAUGCAUACGUUAAAACCCUAACUCUCGACAAUGGUAUUAGGAGGUGGGGCCUUUAGGAGGUAAUUAGGUCACAAGGGUGGAGCUUUCAUGAGUGGGAUUGCUGCCUUUCUAAAAAAAUUUUUUUAAUGUUUAUUUUUGAAGGAGAGACAGAGCAUGAGUGCGGGAAGGGCAGAGAGAGAGGGAGACACAGAAUCUGAGCUGUCAGCACAGUGCCCAACGCGGGCCCAAACUCACAAACCGCUAGAUCAUGACCUCAGCCGAAGUUGGACACUUAACUGAGUCACCCAGGCGCCCCAUGGGAUUGCUGCCUUUCUAAGAGGAGACAGGAAAACUGAUUUCUCUCUCCACUCUCUGCCCUAGGAGGAUGCAAAGAAAAGAGGUCCAUCUGCCAACCAGGAAGUAUUCCCUCACCACACGCCAGAUCUGCCAGUGCCUUGAUCUUGGAUUUCCCAACCUCCAGAGCUGUGGGAAAAUAAAUUUCUUACUUAGGAUGUUUAGGCCAUCCAGUCUAUAGUCAUUUGUUAGAGCAGUCCAAGCUGACUAAGACAACUGUCCUUUGGGCUGAAGAGAUAAGUGGUAGCCUUAGUCACUGCCAGGGGGGAAAUGACAAAACACUAAGGGAGGAGGGAAGACAUACCCCGACUUCUUUCUCUCCUGCCCCCUGACUUCCUUGUCGGUAUCACUCUCUAGCCGAAUCCAACUUGAAGCUAGCUGGCCAAGGAGCCCCAAAUGCAGCCUAGAGGCGGCCCCCUGUGCCAGAGAUGGGGAAACAAGAAUGCAGGGGGAAGAGAGACAGAGAAUAACCAUGUUCUAAGACUGCAGUCACAUACAUGGUUAAUUUUCCUCUUCAUUCCUGAUGGUUGAAAUUCACUUUCCAGAAGAGGCCCACCCUGGCCUUCUGUCCCUAGCUCUGGCAACUUCCUUCUCUUCAUUAGUAAAUGCUGCCAUUAAAACAACAACCUAAGCAAGUCAGAGGAUAUACAAAGACAACUUGUGCUACUUAAUUUCAAAGCGCCAGCUCUUUGAACAGCAUUAAAGUCUGUUUCUCAUAGAGGGCAAAUUAGUUAAUUUCAAAUGUGCUCUGUGAAUAUCAAGAGACCACCCAAAUGUUUACUUAUUUUAGGCCCGUCCUCUUAGUAGGUUAAAAGAAUCCAUUUGCUCUGCGAGAAAGAAGGGGUCGGCAUUCAUGCAUAUAAAUUGUCUAAAUGAAGGGUCAGCUCUAUAUUAAAACAACAUUAAUUAUUCAUUUAGCAGAGGAGAAAAAUUUACCUAUCACAGAAAACCCUUAGGGUGACAUUCUUUUCUACAAGCCCGCUUCUAAACCAAAUAACAUCUCAAAUACUCCUCUUAUUCAGCCUCGCUUCCUGGAAAUGAGAAAAGGCAUGGAAAGAAAAACAACUCCGUGCUUUAUAGUCGCACGGUUGGUAUAAGCAAGUUCAUUUACACCAGGAGCUUAGAUCCAGAAUUCCAGAGCUGAAGAAAUGUGCGCUGAAAAAUCCCUUGACUGUUACUCUCUAAUAAAGCUCAAACUUUGGAAAAAAAUCAGUGGGGUCUGUUCCAGGCCUGGGAUUCUGGGGACUAGCAGAGGAGGACCCCAGAGGAGGUGUCUAACACCUGGCUGAGUUACAAGUCCCCCUUCCUCUCUCUGCCCCCACUCCCCCAGGGACUUUCUGGAAGCAGAACAAUCAUUGUCCAAACUCAACUCACAGUUGUCCACCAAGAAAACAGUCUCUUUUUCUGCCAACUGGAAUGUUUUAGAUUUGCAACAGCAGACUGAAGGCCAGUCCUGGGGACUUGAGGAAGAAGAGUAUCCAAAGAACACAUUUUUAUUUGCUAGAAAACAAGUACCUUGUUUAUCAUAACAAAGUCAGGGAUCUGUAUCUUUCUACUCUUUUUUUUUAAUUGUUUAUUUUUGAGAGAGACAGAGACACAGAGAGACAGAGCACGAGCAGGGGAGGGGCAGAGAGAGGGAGACACAGAAUCUGAAGCAAGCAGGCUCCAGACUCUGAGCUGCCAGCACAAAGCCCGAUGUGGGGCUCGAACCCACAAACUGUGAGAUCACCACCUGAGCCGAAGUCAGACGCUUAACCAACUGAGCCACCCAGGCGCUCCUCUUUCUAGUCUUGAUCUGGAUAAAUUCACUUUGCCCCUGCUCUCAAAAUAACUAUGGACUCCUACCAAUGGCUUAAAGAAUUUUUCUUGUUGUUCUGGUUUUGAUGAAUCAAACAGCUUAAGGUGUAGCCUGUUUUUGAGAGUUCCUGUGUGAUGAACUUGACAUUGCUGAAAGCCAGGGUUGUUAAAAUUUUCAGAGUAGGAGCAUCUACCUGGAGUCACCAUAGAAGCCUUGGGGAAGGCUACCAACAUACAAAGAUCUUCCCUCUUUGCUUGCUUGCAUGGUCUGAAAUUCAACCUUUAGAAGUGAUUUCUUUGGAUCUUUCAUUGUCUUGUUUUCUAGAAGACUCAUAUUCAAAUGCAAAUACCACUAAGAAAGAUACUGUUGAAGCUGUUGAGACCCUUGGCAGUUUGGGAAACGUGGUAUAAGGCACCAAGGCAUUCCCUUUGGCUUGAAAAGAGGGCGUUGAAAAGGUGCUAAAAAUGCACCUUCUUCAGAAUUUUUUUGAAGUUUUUUUCACCAUAGCACAAAGUUCUUUCAAACGACAGGCUUUAGGUUCAGAAGUUCCUGCUUAUUAGCAAUGUGGCCUUUGGCAAAUCUCUUAAAACUUCUAGGCCUCAGUUUCACCAUCAGUGAAACGGGCCAAUAACAUUCUAUUAAGUAUUUUUGUGGGUCUCACAUGAGAUAACUCGUAUCAAGUUACUAACAUGGCACUUAGAACAUAGUAGGUGUUCAGUAAGUGGAAAAUGGUGAUGACAAUCGCAUCUGCUCCCUACAAACAGAUGAAUCAGGAAAAACAUUUAAAUGUGUACAGAGUAGGGAAAAAUAAGGAAGAAGCAGAUGGUUGGAACAUUUCAAUGGCAGCUGGCUCUCUGUUUCACUCAUGCACUGCCUCUGUCUCUUGCUGGGAAGAGGGAGGUUUUAUAAAGGAACUGUCACUGCUUUCCGUAGAGCUGAUUUGACUCAGAGAAGGAGACACAGGGGAAACCAUAAAUAGAUGCAGCUGUCUGAUUCCUCAGGUCCAUCCCUGGGAGAAUAUUUACUCAGCUCCAAGGAAACAGUUUUAUUUGGCAGAUUAUGGUUUUAAAGUUUUUUUUGCAUCUGAAUGCUAACACUUCCUCUCUCUCCAGCUAACUGCUUUGUAACCUUUAUAAUGUGGCCUUGUAAAUAACCUUUUCUGCGGCUACCAGCCCGCUUGAAAUUUAACUAGCCAGAUGAAAGCCUAUCUCACACUGCAUCGCCUCCUAUAGUGAUGCAACAAUAGUCAGGGAAGACAGGGCAAAACAAAACAGAACAGGACGUAAUGGAUUGGGGGUCCAAUUGAGGCAUGCAGGUUUUAGUUUGAUGAUAAUCCUAAUAUGCUCAGUACAUGAGUUUGCAAUGGAAGGAAAAUGGCGUGGAUAAAGGUUUAGUCCUCAUGAAGAGGUCUUGAAAACCAUUCUGCUAAUUUUAAGUGAUGGGAAUCAUUUCAAGGGCACGUUUUCUUUGUGUACCAACCUGAUGGCCUGAUUUUCUGGUGGUAUGUUUAUCAUCCUAAAAAAGAAAACCCGUUUCAUUGAACAAGUAAUGCAUGUUUCCAUGGGCAUAUGUGAAAUCAUGUAGGGAGAAACAGGUGCAGAACUGAGCUCUGAUGUUCACCAGUCUGCCAGCUCUGCAGUUCCCAGUGGGCACUGGGACUUUCUGAAUUUCCUGCCAUUUUUUAGUUAGUCAAGUUCCAGCCUGUAGGGACAAUGCCCUUCUUUCAAGCUGAACACAGCACUUUGCCAAUUAGCCCCUGAUGCAACACUCUGGGGUUGUUAUGUCUCAAAGGUUGUCUGGAAAGGGUUCUAGAGGCUUCAGUUCCAGAAUGUGAGACUGCACCGUGGGCAUCCUCAUAUCCAUUUCCUCCUAUCCAUCUCUGUGUGAAUUUUAAGAUGCACCUAUAGGUUCCUCCACACUCAAAUGCAAAUGAAGAUAUUCUUGGCUCCUUAAAGUCAUCAAAUAUUCCCAGACAUGUUAGAAAUCCCUUUAGGCUCACCUAAGAUUCCAAAGGAUAUGGAUCUGCAGGGCUGCUAAUUGCCAUAUCUGUAUCCCCUGGGGAUGGCAAUUCCGUCUGCGCUCUCUAGACAAAGACCAGCAACUUUCUAGCCAAUAACCCCCCCCUCCCCUUGGUCAGAUGCUACUAAUAAUAUUGCCAGUCUCCAUCCUUCCUCCCCAUCCUAGUAAUGAAAUAAAAAAAAAACACAAGUAAAUGUUACAUCUUAGAAGAGGUUGGAAGUUGCUUAAAAACAGGUAGACUAUUUUGCUCUCAUUAUCCCGAAUCCUUAUUAAUAGCACCUCCUUCACUCUCACAAACUGUCACAAUUUCAGUGGUAAAAAAACAUGAUCGCCAUGUGUUCAGAGAUUACUUGAGAAACCAAAAUAUCCCCCAUAUCAGCGAAGGCAAGGGCUUGGUUGUUAUAACAAAGAAACCUCUAAAAUACAGUCGUUGAAAGAAUAGAGAGAUUUCUGUGCCAUCUAACAGUCCCAAGACAAAGUGUCUAGGAUGGCAGUCUGUUCCCCAACAGGAUCAUUGAGGAACCAAAGUUCCUUCCCUGUUGUUGUUCCGCCAUAUCUUAGAAGGUUGAAUUUGAAGUCAAAUUAGAUUCUCCAUAUUUGAAUCAGAGUAGUAGUGGGGGUUGGAGCUAGUGGGGGUUGGAGUGAAGGGGAGGAGGGGGGAGGGAGUGCAAAGGGGAGCAUGCCCAAAGAUCAAAGGCCUAGGAGUAAAGGCAGCGCACCUGACUCCUGCCCCCAUUUCUGUUUGCAAGAGCCUAGUUACACAGCUUAGGGUCACACAGCUAGUUGAGUGGUGGAAACUGGAUUUGAACCCAGGUAUCUCAAGCUGUGGUCUUUGAGAAAAAGACACAAACAAAUAAUUACAUUACACACAAAUAAACACAUCUAUAAUAAAUUAUAUAAUAGAAAACAGGUGCCAAUAAAAUACAUUGGAAUCUGAGAAAAGUGUGCCUAACCCCUUUCCCCCCACAUGAUCAUGGAAGUCUCCAGGGUGGGCCUAAAACUCUGUGUCUUAACAUAUGAGCAGGUGAUCUCUAAGCAGCCAAGAAGGUAGAAGGGCUAGAACGUCAAGCAUCACGGAGACAGGGAUUGGGUCAGUUUUGUUGUCUUCUGCCUCCGAAGCACCUGAAACGGUAUCUUGUAUACAGUAGGCACCUAAUAAAUAGUUCUGCUAUGAACAAUGGAAUUUCAGGCAAAGUGCACAGCAGGUAUAAGGGCUAGGCACCUGGCUUGCAUUGAGUCUCUUUGACUAAUACACAGCCAGUCUUUUGAGUUCAAGAGACAUUUUCCAGCUGCUUCUUUUUUAGAAAGCUUUUUCUUUUAAUUUUUUUUAACAUUUAUUCAUUGUUGAGAGACAGGGAAAUAGGAUGUGAGCAGGGGAGGGGCAGAGAGAGAGAGGGAGACGCAGAAUCCGAAGCAGGCUCCAGGCUCUGAGCUGUCAGCACUGAGUCUGAUGCAGGCCUCAAACCCACGAACCAUGAGAUCAUGACCUGAGCUGAAGUCAGACGCCGAACUGACUGAGCCAUCCAGGUGCCCCAAGAGACAUUUUCCAGCUGCUUCUCAUGGAAACCCUUGCAGAAAUCUUGACAUGAUUUUUAAAUUUCAACUGUCCAAUGGCCAGGUCCUGUACCCUGAGCCCUGGGAUUCAAGAGCCUUUCUAACAAUCCCCUUUUGAUAAGCCUGGCUUUGGCCUCUGUGGGCUGCCCCGAGGUGCAAACAAAACAGAGAUGUGAAACUUGGGAGGCAGGCUUCUGUUGCAGUGUUCUGCCAACUCUUUUGGAUGUUCUGGAUUCUGUUCCUCGUCUCUAAGGCACCAGCUCAGAUUCUGGCCAAAGAAGGCUGAAGCUCAUGGAGUGGCAGUUCCCAGGGGAGAGAAAAGGGGAUGGAUGAGAAACUAUUACUCAAAAAGCUCACAAAAGGGUGUUCAGGCAGGUGCACUGGGUGUCAGGAAGGCAGAGGGAGAGAUUGCUACCCUUUUUCUACAGAAAUUUGGAAAACGCUAUCAAGAAAAGAGUAUGAAAUUAACCUCAUGCCCACACUGAAAGAGAAGCAGUUAAAAUAUCAGAACAGACACUUAUGUUUUCUAGGGUUACAUAGAGGCACAGGCAAUGGAAUGAGGCCUGUGUGUCUGUGCUCUCACAUAAAGGAAUAGCAGGAACGUUUUGCAUCAACCUUAAUUAUUUGUCUACCAAUUCAUUUUCAAUAGCUGCAUUUGGGGGACACCUGGGUGGCUUAGUAAGUUGAGUGUCUCUCUCUUGGUAUAGGCUCAGGUCAUGAUCCCAGGGUCAUGGGAUCAAGCCCUACGUCAGGCUCAGUGCGGAGUGUGGAGGCUGCUUGAGAUUGUCUUUCUCUUCCUCUGCCCCUUCCCUGCUCGCAUUCUCUCUCUUCUCUCUCUCUCUCAAAAAAAUAGCUGCAUUUGUUCAAAAUUGGAUUUAACCAACUGUCAAGAUAUGUUUUCAUUGAAAAAGUUUUAUUGAUUUCAUUAAACAAGUAUGGUCAGGUGGUGCUAAAUGGGCUUUGGUGUGGACUGGAGGGCAGUCUUCUGGUGCAUUCUGGCUGCAUAACCUUAAAGGGGCUUAUGUUGCCUCAUCAGUAAAAUGAGGAUGAUAAUAGUACAUACUUCACUGGUCUCUUUGCAAAGGAGCCAGUGAAGUGAUUGCUAGGAAAUUCUUGGCAUCGUACCCACAGGAAAUGGCACCCACAUGGGCAAACCUCCAUACACAUUAGCUAUAAUUAUUAGUAUAAAAACAGACAAUGCAGAAAACCAUGAAAUUUAGAAAUCACCUGCAAUCCUACCACCCAGAGAAAAUCAAAGUUAACUCUGUCGUAUUACACUUGUGCUUCCGUAACAGAUAUACACCGCGGGCAUCUUUUUCCGCUAAGUUCUCUUGCUCUGCAGUCCAUAUCAUCCUUUCUAAUGACUGCAGAACAUUCCAUUGAUGCAAAUGUACCAGGAUGUAUUCUUGAUGAAGAAGAAAAUAAAGUUAAGCCCAGCAGACCACGAGUCCUCACUUCUAUGCCUGGCCAAAUCCUCAUCGUGCACAUUUCCUAUCACCAGCAAAAAAAAAAAAACCUCACUAUAAACUCAACGCCGCAGUCAGGAAGGAUCUGUGAACUGUGCCCCAAUUUCCUAAUCAGAGCUGACCUCGAGUGUUCCAGGAUAUCUCCCUUCGCUGGCAUACUCUGCUAUUGGCUUUCAAAAGAAUGAAGAGGAGAAGGGGUCAAAUCCCACCCACCUCCGCUCUAGGACUCCUGCCGACUCAGCAAACAGGGGCAGUUCUGAAAGUGCCCCUGGGUCUGGCCAAGCAGGCACUCAGGCCCCCUUGAGAGUCACAGCCUCCUGGGGACCUGACCGGGGAGGAGGGGCCCUUGUUUACACUGCAUCCCAGACCAAACAUCUGGGGAAAUUGUGACCCCUUUCUUUCCCGCUGCUGCCUUAAAAACUGAUUUGAUUAUCUCACACGAAGAAGAAAUUUCCUUUCUCACUCUUUGUUCUGCUCUCUCCUUUCCGUCUUCCCUUCUGCUUUUUCCCCCUUUUCUCCUCCCCUCCCUCCUUUCUUUUUUUUUUUUCUUCCCUGCUCAUCCCUUCUUUCCUCUUUCUCUCUUUUCUCCUUCCAGCUUCCAUUUGUUGAGGAAAGUUUAACAAAGUGAUACAUUCUUUAUUUUCCGAGCCAGAAGGAUUUUUUGUUUGUUUGUUUUUUUGGCCAAAGAUUUAUUUGCAACUGAAAGAACGAAUGAAAUAAAUGGGCCAAAGUCCUCUUUGUUAUUCAGGCAAAAAGUCCACGGAAAGUACAGAAAGGGCUGAACUUCAUGGUGACCUCAGCAAAUAUAUUUUUGGAAAAAGAGGCCUGGAGUGUGGUUUCUACUCCUGCCCAUGUGUCUCUGGUCCUCUGCCCCAGCCCUGUCAGUGGGAGAGUCCACUCCUACAAUCAGAGGAAAGGAAGGAGUGGUGUGGACAGGGGGUCCAAACCCCCAGCUGUAUGUCUUAUUCCAAUGUGACUAGUUCUGCGCUUCCUUGCGAAUGAAUCACUGAUCAACCUAAUGCAGGAGACAAAGACCUGUGGCCUGCAAUUAAAGCCCUCAUUUCAAUCCCUACUUAUUUUCUAGGAAGGCAAUAUGAAAUAAUAGGUAAAAGCACAUUUCACGAGUCUGCUAUUUAUACACUGUGUGCCUUCCAGAAUAUGACAGCCUUUCUAAGCCAAUGGGACCCAGGGACAAGGCUGUGCGUGUAGAGGCUUAUCAGCACGGUACCUUCCUUGCUCAGACAAUUUGUAGCCACCGGGGAUUAAUACGACUCAUUCAGUUAGCUGUGAAUCUAACUCAUCAAAUUAUCAUGUAGUCCACACUUUCCACGAGGAGCCCACACCUGUGUAGGAAAUACUCUUGUUGGAAUUGAAAUGCACCAUAUCUGCAAUUUUUGACUGGUCUACCAAAAAGCAAGUCUUGAAAGAGGAAGUAAAGUGAGGCCAGCACGACCUGGACCGCUGCAAGCUCCUCGCUGCCUGUGGCUGAGCUCUCUUUCCCAAACGUUCGUGAAGGGUGUGUUUAAUAAUGGAGUUCUGAAUGCUAUAUCCAUUGCCUUCUAGCUUUUAGAACCCACAUUUCUCUCAUUUUUGAAAACUGGAAUAACAUAUUCCUGUCUCCAAUUCCCUGGCCUUGCUCCCAGUCUCUGAUUUCUCUACGACUGCUGACAGUGGUUUUGUAAUCACAUCUGCAAACCCUUUCUAUAUUCUAGAAUUUAAUCCAACUUGAACUCAUUAAGUGUCUAGUUCCCUUUUAUUGUCUCUUGUGCUAUUUCAGGCUUCACUUUUCUCUUUAAAAGCAUGUUUCCUUAAAUAUUACAUAUUAUACGUAAUAUACACGUUCAUCUGAAGAUUUCACAAAUAUGGUUAAGCAAAAUGAUGAGGCCAGAAAUCAUCAGUAAUCCUAGCACGCGAAGAUGAUAAUGGUGCUUCCAGAUCUGCAAUGCUACCUUCUCUGUGUUUCUUAGGAGAAAUAGAUACACAUGCUGCUGGGUAAAUAAAGCAUGAAGGUUUCCCAAACAAUUCUUUUUCUACAACCUUAUUUUUAAUGUUAGCAUAGGGCUUCAGUAUAGUUAAUAUGAAAUAAUUCAUUUGAGCAUUUUGGCUUUUCAGCUACUUGCUAUGUUACCAAUGCCACAGUCACAGCUUUGGUAAAAGGAGGAGGUGCUCAGUAAAUAGUUGCUGAUGCCCUUAAGUAAGGAGGCUCCAGAGGCAUGACGAUGCAGACUUGGGAGUUAGAGACACUGUCCUGAAGCUUACUAUCCCCGUGUUAUAUGGCCGGCCCCAGGCCAAUCUCCAGAUUCAUCAGGGACUCAGUUUUCCUUCAGAGAGCUCUCUCCUGGUAAACGGGGGUGACAGACAGUGGCUCCUGGAAGGAGAUCUUGUGAAGGUUAAAUAUAAAUAUAAUGCUCGUACCACAGUGCUUGGUUCUUAAGGAAUAUCCAAAAAUAAUAGCUAUUGUUGUUAACAUUUUUUGGGUUAUAUGAUUCUGUAUGGUUGAAGGUCUACGUACUUUGAAAGCAAAGAUGUUUUUAGAAGUCAGUGGUUCUCUUCAUUUAAGAAAUUUACAUUUUGAGGGGCGCCUGGGUGGCUCAGUCAGUUAAGUGGCCGACUUCGGCUCAGGUCAUGAUCUCGCGGCCCGUGAGUUCGAGCCCCGCGUCGGGCUCUGUGCUGACCGCUCGGAGCCUGGAGUCUGUUUCGGGUUCUGUGUCUCCCUCUCUCUGACCCUCCCCCGUUCAUUCUCUGUCUCUCUGUCUCAAAAAUAAAUAAACGUUAAAAAAAUUUUUUUAAAAAAAGAAAUUUACAUUUUGAACUCCAUGCGAAGUAAAGGGAAUUCAACAGUGCCGUAUAAAUACGAUCUGCAUAAGCAUUCAUGUUCAAACACUCAUUUCAUAUGGACAGUCACUUCUGCUAUGAUGGGAUGUAUAUACGUUCCUAAAAAUUAUCAUGCUAUGCAAGUAAUCUGAAAAAUACCACAGGGCUCAUGGGACAUGGGGUUAUAGCAGCGCUUCUCUAUCACUCACAAAAUCUCAAAAUCCCAUACAAUUUUACCCCUGUCCUUAGGGGACAAUUAUAAUGUCUGGAAACAUUUUUAGUUGUCACACUGGUGGGCAGUGGUAAAGAGAAGGGGGUAGGGAAAGGCCAGGGAUGUUGGUAAACAUCCUGCAGGGCACAGAACACUUCCCACAGCACAGAAUUACCCAGGCCAGUAUACGAAAGCACCGAGAUUGAGAAACCCUAGGUUAGGGACACAACACUCGAAAAUUUGUCCAGGCCUCAUUAAAGAAAAAAAGGCUAGCUAUUUCAUAAAAACAGUCACACAGCAUAAAGAAAUGGUUAAGAAAUGGUUAAGAAAUGCAUAAAUACCGCGGCAUCGGGUGGCUCAGUGGCUCAGCAUCUGACUCUUGGUUUCGGCUCAGGUCACGAUCUCGCGGUUUCUGGAGUUCGAGCCCCACCUGGGGCUUCCCUCUGACAGGGCAGAGCCAACUCGGGAUUCUCUGUCUCAGUCUCUUCGCCCCUCCCCCAGUCAUGCUGUCUCUGUCUCUCUCAAAAUAAAUAAAUAAAUAAAUAAAUAAAUAAAUAAAUAAAUAAAUAAAUAAACAAACAAACUUAAAAAAAAACUCCAAAGACAUGCAUAAAUACUGCAGUAAAUAUUGCACUUCGCCUUGAAGAAGACCUGGCGUUUGCCUCUGGAAAUGGGCGUUGGAAGGGUUGCGGCCUGUGGGCUACUGCGCAGUGGGUAGAAGCAGCAUUGCGUACAAUGGGACAGACAGUUGUAGCACCAGACGCACAUAGUGUGGCUCAUAACACCCAGGGUGGCCCGAGGUGGAUGCUGAUGUCUGGGGGGAGGGGGGCAGGGAAAUGUAUUUCACCCCAGUCCGGUUCAGCAAGUGGCAGUUUUCCGCCCUCGCCUACUCUUUCCUGGGGGAUGAAAUCAUGCAUAAGCACACAUGCAAUUCAGUUAUGUCCGAAUCGUUCCUUAACGUAUCCGUGGAGUUGGAACAAAUCCACGUUCUCAAAACCGAUUUUAUAGCAGAAUUGACUAUACACACAUAAUUGCCCUUAAAUUGAUUUAACUAAAACUACACCUCACAGCAAGAGUGAUCCUCAAAAGUGUGACAGACUUCAUUACCACAAAGACUUUUAACCUAUAGAAAUUACCAAACAGGAAUGUUCAGAGAAGCAACGAGGACCCUGGUUAAAUAAAAUUCUUUCACAUGCGGUUGUAUAUAGCACAAGACUUUUCCAUGACCUGGCAAGCGGCCUGUGCUAUUUAUAACGAAGCCUACUUUAAAUCCUGUACGAUGCUGAGAUAUUUAAGGGUGAAAUUAUAUAUGUGGGAUUUAUUUGCUUCAAAAUAAUCCAGGUGGGAAGAGUGAGUAGUGGGGCUAAGAGGAGAAAUAAUUGGCCACGAGUUUAUAAAAGAAAUUAGGAGAUGGGAACGCGGGACUUGGUUAUAAGCUUCUCCCUACUUUUGAGCAAUAUGAAGAAAGAGAACAAUAGUUAAUUUAGAAAAUUGUACGCAGUGCCUUUGCAAACAGGUUCAUAUAACUAUUGAUUGUAAAAUGGUGACACUGCUGUUUGUGGGGCUCCCGUGUAGCUAUCGUACUGAAAUAUCAUGUUAAAAAAAAAUGGGAUGUAUGGAAGGUAUUUAAAGCACGCUUCGUUACCAGAGUUCCCAAAGGACCGGCUCUUCUAAGUAGAGUACGAUGAGUAGUAAAAUCAGGUGUCAAAAGGAGAAAAUUAACACUCACAUCCAGGUCAGUGACCAGGGCCAACUACUCAGUGUUGUUUCACAAGCUGAGAAUAGUAAAAGCGUGAACAGUGGAGGUGAGGUUGACCGUGUGAAUCCAGACUGAACAAAGGAGGAUACUGUGGUGGUUAAGAGCUUGGGUGGGCCUCACAGUCUGACCUCGCUGGGGCACAUGAAUCCAAUAACUUUGAGAAGUUUUGUUGCCCUUCAAGUUUAUGAAAACUGGAUACUUGUUAUAAUGAAAAAAAAAAGCACAAGUUUUAAAGAAACAACAACAGGGAUCACCGGAGAUGAUAAAGGCACAUCAGAAUAGACUUGCCGAAGCUCCAAAGCAAUGUUGAGGUACUCUUUGGAGCAUCUGAUGAAAACCAGAAAUAAUUUGCUCAGAAAAACGCACGUAUGAAUUCACACCAACAUUUGCGUGCAACGCCCAGAGAGUCACAGACCCCCGAACAUUCCUUCAGGCACUGGGUUAAGAACCUGGAUUAGGGGCCGGUGCCAACCGUUGGUCUAGAAGCCAGAGAGUGAAGACAAGUUAAAUGCGUUCCUGUCACUGCAGCUGUUCCUCCUGACCUAUUUCUCUUGCCAGAACAGUUUCCUCCACUCUCCCAGUUCUACCCCCUUCUUCAAAGUCCCUCACUUUCCGGACGCCUUCCUCAGCCAGGGCUAUCUGCAGAAUUUCUCCUCUGAACUCAGUACGGAACUUAUCAGUGCUACUAUUUUGGUCCUUAAUCAUAUGCUCUCUUUGGAUGUUUGUCUCUGGAUACCUGUGAGUGUGUGUGUGUGUGUGUGUGUGUGUGACCUAUAUAAGUAGAUUACAAGCAACUUGUGAGCAACACCAUGCAUCACACUUCCUGGUAUAUCCUCCCAGAACCAAUGAUGUACAGAACUAACAAAUAAACAGAUGCCGUAUGUAGCUUGGAAGGAGGCACUCAUGAAAUACUUACCGGACAAAUGAAUAUCUUACUCCUUCCCUCGCUCCUUUCUCUAAUACUUCAAACUUAGCACUGUUUGCUCCUUCUGUCGAGAGCACUCUUUCCCCAGGACUCCCUAGCAAACUCCCAUUUAUGAUUUGAAUCUCAGUUCAGAAUCUUCAGGGAAGUCCUCUGACCUCACUCUACCCCCUUCCUCCCCAGCUCCAUGGCAUCGCCGCUGGAAGAUCUCUGUCAUGUUCCUACAUGCAGCACGCCCCAUAUGGCAACGAUUCCCCAUGGGUGGUCUCCCCCCGCUGCUGGGAAUAGGUGAGGCAUGGUGCCUAUGUAGUACACGGAGGGACACGUUUACUUGCUUAUGCAUUUAUUUUAAUGUGCAUUUGUAACAAUGUAACUAAGACAUCAGACCCACAAUUUCACACUGUGUAUGAUGAGGGUGAGGCUAAGUAAAGAGGAAAAAAAGAGAGAGAGAAAGAGAGAGAGAGAGAAACAGAGAGGAGGUUUAAGGAAAAGUAGUGAGCAAGUGACAACCCGCUUGUUAGGUAUGGUUUUAUGGCAAAAUUUAUGGAGGUGAGGUAUGUUUAUUCAAUGUUUUUGAGCACCAGGCUGGCAUUUGGAAAAGGCAGGUAUGUCAUAACAUCCUGUCUCUGUGUCCAUCUCUCUUCCUAGGAGGCAGCCCCAGGAGGGCGGGGAUGGAACCUAAGGCAGCUCUACACCGUCCAGAGCUGGGGCUCAGGAGUUCUUUGGCUGAAUCGGGUCAAAGAGGACUGAACUAAAAAAUUCUGUCGCAGGGGCGCCUGGGUGGCUCAGUCGGUUGAGCGACCGACUUCGGCUCAGGUCACGAUCUCACAGUCUGUGGGUUUGAGCCCCGCGUCGGGCUCUGUGCUGACAGCUCAGAGCCUGGAGCCUGUUUCAGAUUCUGUGUCUCCCUCUUUCUCUGACCCUCCCCUGUUCAUGCUCUCUCUCUGUGUCAAAAAUAAAUAAAUGUUAAAAAAAAAUUUUAAAAAAAUUUAUAAAAAAAAAAUAUUCUGUCGCAGCACCAGCUUUGCCCUCCUCAAAGCGCUAUUUUGUCUGCUCCCUGGAACAGAGGGAAGGCACAAUGAUAGGCCAGAACACCACAGCUCUUUUUUCUCCCCCCGACAUGUCCCCAAGUAGACCAGACAGACCACUGUAGGAGCCCAUCCUAAUAAAAUCCCACCAGAUGCCUUCGUUUGCUUCAACCUUCUUCCUGCGUUUUCUAGGCAGCAUGAAAGCCUAGUUACGCUUCUGCAAAGAGCUUUCUUAACCAAGGACUCUCAGAGUCUCUUCACCGUGAGCACAAGUUUUACCCACCCGGGCGUUUGCUAACUCCACAGAACAAUUCUUAUUACCUUAGUAAUCAUGAGUUACUGAAAGAGAGGAAACGCAAAACACGAACGCUGCACCAAGGGAAAACUUGGUCAACUGGCACCCACCAGAAAAGCCCGGAGGGUGGGAAUGGAGUGGGGAGGCUUCCUCGGGCUCCUCCCCAGGGGGGCUGCUGCAACUUCCAAGCUGAAGGUCUUUGUGUAAGAGGUGAGGGGUGUGGUGGACCCAGAGACUUGUGGCUGGCUGGCGAACAAAGGAAGGAAAAGGGAAAGGCAAGGGUGCUUCCACUUUUCAAGGUAACAUAGUUGAACGAAUCCAAGAUUGAAUUGGCUGCAAUCACUGGUGAUUCAUUUUGAGAAUAUCACAAAGGGCCUCUUUCCCCCCAGUUUCCGCUGUAGGGAUUUCCCAGGCUAAGAGGGCAGCCCAGUUUGAGUCACCGGGUUGAAGAAACCUAGAAACGGUAACGUGAAACAGAUCAACUACACCCAUAAAGGACUGUCAACCCUGUGCCCGCAAGAAUUCUUUCAACACUAAUUUCUCUAUCAUCAAAUCUGGGUUUUUGUAAGUCUAUUUAUAAUGGGACUCCAGCUUUCUUUCUUUGCUCUGUAUCUUCUCCCUGUGAAUGGUCAGAGGGCCAUCUAAGAAAGAACUGACAAGUUGAAAUUAUCAUCAAUUAUGUUGGCUACGCAUUUCCAGGUAUCACAAUGAAGAGCUUUCCUUCUUUUUGGGGUGUGGCCAGGUAUCUCUAAUAGAGAGAUUUCACAGGACCUCAAUAUCAUUUCAUGUCUGUUCGACUGAAAAUAACAGCAUUUUUGAGUGCCGAGUGCAUUCUAGGCACUUAACAUUCAUUAUGUCCUUGAUUUCUCACAAGAAUCCCAUCAGAAAGGCAAUAUUUCAUUACUGAAUUGUCAAGAAAAGCUAAGGUCUAGAAAAGCUAAAUAAAUGAUUGGUCCACCAUCACCUAGAAAAUAAGUGGCAAAGCCAAGACAGAACCUCCGCUUUUACCUGUUCCCAAUUUUAUGUCUUCCCAUAAUGUCUUCUGAUGCCCUUCUAGAAACUCUAUAAAGACAGGACUUAACAAAAGCAAAAAGGAAUGUGAUUUAGUACGACAGUCAAGUAAAGUGUGACUCAUCACAAAUGUCCAUAACAUGACAUAUCUCUUGCUAUGAAAUAAUUCAACAACCUCACUCCGUUCGUGCAUACGUGCCAGUCAGCCCCCAUAAAUCCCCUGGGGCAUGUGCCCUAAUGUUCCCUAUUCAUCCCCCCGUCUGAUACCUUGCAACCACACGCGGACAUCACAAUAUUUAUUUUGUUAAUGGGUGGGAACAGAAGAAGUGGCCAUUUAUGGGGCAUGCGUUUUUUUUUUUUAAAUGAUUCCAUUCCUGGCAUUUGUGAACACCAAAAGCCCAGCGUUCAGCUCAUUUCCCUGAGGAUUCGAGGUUCUGAAAAGAAUGUUUUGGGAGACUGGGGACUCUUGUCGUUUCUACUUCUAGGAGUAUCUUCUCUCACUAUGAACUCAUUGAACAACCAGAGUCAGUAUAGGUGGCGAGAGAGCGAAAGAGCAGACAUCUCUUGAAGGCGCAGAAGAUGACAGAGACUAAGGGGAAGGCCAAUAUUCUCGGCCAGUGUUCAUGACUCUUUGCCACACCCAAAUCUGGUCGCCAUGAUAUGCCAUCCGCGGUAUUCACGCCAUGCCAUUGCUUUUGUUUUCUGAGUAUGGGUUUCAAUGCUUAGUGGUAACCCACAGGGUAUCAUCUUCUCAUUGCAUCUGGUGCCAUCUUCUCACCAACAGCCUCCUUAUUCGUGGACUGUGUCAAAUUCACUGCUCACUUUAGCAGUGAUCAAAAUCAAGCAUCAGGGCCUCACAGCUCCUAACUGACUCAGAGUUCCAGGAUCCGAGGCAAGCCCCACGCUGUCUCCUCACGAGUCCCAGUCACAUCUGUCAGGGUUGCUCUGUUGGAAAGAGCUCUGCCCGUAAACUUUUAACUGUGCGAUGUGCGGCCACACAGGCACUUCCAGUCCCACUUAUCCCCAGGCCAAAUAUCGGGGUAACGACUGCCCUUUGGUGAUGAUGUCCAGACCCUCUGAGGCCCGUUCUCACACUCGGCAGCAUUCUGUAGUAUGCUGGAAAAAACUGGAGCUGGACAAGCUUAUAAAAAACAAGGAAUGUGCCUCCUCCUUAAAGAACCCAUCACUCAGCAUACUCUCCCUGGGAGGUUUGCAUUCUUUAGAGUCCCCAACUUGCCAUGCAUAAUCCUGGGCCCGUAGCUUCUGUUUGAGUUGAACUGAAUCAAGAUAGGAAGGACACACACUGUUACGAUUCCCAUUUGCAGAUGGUGAAACUAAGACCGAUAGGUUCAAAUCAUUUGACUGGUGUUACAAACCUAACUGAACAUAUAACGAUCAGGCUGGCACCAGAUGCAAUUCAAACGUUAAAUAAGGAUUGUUUUAGUGGUCAUCGGAGGUAUACUUUUGGGGGGUGGACAAAGGUGAAUGCUGCAUACCUAAUGCAUCAGAAGCAGCAAAUGAAAGGGGGUGGGGUGACAACAGGGGGUGAGAAGGAGCUGUGGUAAGGCCCUCACAGUCAUGAACUAUUAAUGGCCAAGAAAGGGAAAGUUGUUUUUGCCACACGUGGUUGAAUAUGAGCUUUUCAGGGUGUGUGCUCACACCGUCGACUAACUGUGGGGAACUCAGAGGAAAAGACUUACGUUUCUCUUUGCCUUGGUUUCCUCAUUUCCUUAAAGUACAAACAAUACCACCUACCUCACAAGGUUGUUGUACGGAAGAAAUUAGAUAAUCUAGAUCAAGGUUUCUCAAUAGUGGCAUUAUUGAUGUCUGCAGCAGGAAAAUCCUCUGUUGGCCAAGGCAGUGCGGCUGCCCUGUGCAGUGGGGCAUGUUCAGCAGCCACACUGGCCCCCUGGCCCCCUACUAGAUGCCAAUACUGUAUCCCUCACCCUCAGUCAUGACAAUCAGAAACAUCUCCAGACAUUGCCAGAUGUCCCUAGAGAGGCAAAACUGCCCCCGGUUAAGAACCACAGAUUUAGCAGCGCCUGGGUGGCUCAGCCCAUUGAGCAUUGACUUCAGGUCAUGAUCUCGCGGUUCAUGAGUUGUAGCCCCACUCUGGGCUCUGUGCUGACAACUCAAAGUCUGGAGCCUGCUCCGGAUUCUGUGUCUCCCUCUCUCUGCCUCUACUCUGCUUGCACUCUGUCUCCCUCUCUCCAAAAUAAAUAAACAUUAAAAAAAAAAAAAAAGAAGAAGAAGAACCACUGAUCUAGAUAAAGUGUAGGGGUACGGCACACAUUUAAUAAAUCUUAUUAAUGAAUGUCCACCCUCCUACCUACUUUUCUUCCUGAGAUGUCUCUUCUGUGACCCCUCCCAAAUAUCUCCAGGUCUUCUGUUUCAAUAUUCGCAUUUAAAACAAUCUCUGGGGGAAGGGACGUGACAAAUGCAUUUACUUUGGGAGUGUUUUCAUUUCAAUCUGGGUAGAGCAACCUGAACCAAGGACACCACGUCAAAUGAGUUAAGUGUAAGCACUAGUGACCUGAGUGAGACCAGUAUUUCAGGGAAGUUUCCUUCCUGCCUUCUCAGAAGACAGUUUAUGCAAAGGGUUAUAUAUGUUGCCCACUUGUAAGAUACGAAUUAAUGGCUCCCAAAUGGUUCUGUGGAACUUCAGUUCUAAGUGGAUGGGAAUAAACCACAUAAUUAGAAAGUUCUGCGGUACAUGAACUUAAGAAAUUUUGGGUAGACCAAGAUUAAACAGAUCUCUUUACUUCUCGGGUCUUCUCGGGGUCUUUAACGUGCUGCUAUGCGCCAUAAUUACUCAUGAAGAGAUAUGUUUUGUAGCUUUUUUGAAACUCAUUUUUAUAUGGCACCAAUUUUUGUAGGUCAGGAGUCAGCAGACUAUAGCUGUGGGUCAAAUCUGGUCUACUGGCUAUUUUUAUAAGUAAAAUUUUAUUGGAAUACAGCCAACCUCAUUCAUUUACAUAUUCUCUAUGACUACUUUCACACUACAAUGGCAAUUUGAGUAGUGACAGAGACCGUAAGCCUAAAUUCUUCACUACCUGGCUUUGAAAAGAAGAAGUCGGUUAACCCCUUUUAUAGCCUGAAUGGUUUGUGAAAAACACUGCUUUGAAGAACCUCAGUGUUAGAGAGGAUUUAAAAGGUUACUGCUGCUUGUGGCAGUGUGACUUCACGGUGGCCAGCUCCUUCAACAUCAUCUGGGGAGCUUGUUAAGAAUGCGGAUUCUGGGCAUCCUGUCCUGACCCACCGAACUAGACGUCUAGGGGCAAAGUCCAGGAACCGAAGUUCAAUCAAAUCACCCACCAAUUCUUACGCACAACUGAGUGCUGCUGAUCUAACCUGAUUGCCACCCGGGUAACCGAAUCUCUCCUCAAGUGUCUUUGGCCUCCUUCCUACCUCGAAGGGUGGGGAACUCACUACCUUCCCCAAAGCCCAUUCUGUUCUUAGGCUGGGAAAAUGAUCAGAACGUUCUAUGUGCUGAAUAUAUAUAAGUCCUCUAGGAAGCCCACCCAUUGGCUUUCAUUUCCCUCCACUCCCACUUACAACUGUGGAGUGCAUGGAAGCAAGAAGGCAAAGGGCAAAGUUACCCAGAAAACCUACGUUUAUAAUUCCCUGGAUCUAGUAUUCCUCAGGAAGCCUUCUCUAGCUGCUCCACAUCCUGCCCUGUCCAGUGCGUUCAAAAAGCAUUGGAGGUUCCUCUGUGCAAUCUCCACGUGUCUGUGAUCCGGUAUUGUAGUGAAAGGUCCAGAUAUGUGACCAACUCAAAUAAACCUGAAGCCCGAGCCCAGUCUAUCACUCCAUAGCUGUGGGGCCUUGGGCAACCGACUUUGCCUUAGAUCUUCAUUUCCUUCUCUGUAAAAAGGGUGUGAUUAUAGCACCUACCUGGGGAUGGUUUUGAGGCUUUGAUAUUACAGGUACAACAGGGCUUAGCUCAGAACUGGUUUAUAGUAAAUGCUCGGUGUCAUCAAGGAGGGGAUGAGGUUGGUAUGUCCCUGGGUGGACGAUGACUUUCUCUAGGGAAGGGACCGUCCAUAACUUACCAUCCUUUGAAUGCCAGUGUGUAUCAUAUAAUAAAAAAGAAAGACUGAAGAGGGCAGAUAAAACAGUGGCCAAGAACAAUGAGAAUGAAAGAGCUGCCUAGUUUCAAAUCCCUUUACCACCUGUUGCCUCAUGUGUGGUCUGGAGGAAAGAGCUUGAUUUCUCUAUGUUUUAGUCUACUCCUGAGUGAAAGCACUACCUAGAGUGGUUGGGAAUGUUAAAUAAGAUAAUGCAGGCAAAGGACUUAGCACAUAACAAAAGUUCAGCAAGGGCUAUAAUUAUUAUUGCUAACACCAUUGUUAUUAAUAGUGUCCCCUCAGCAUGCGCCGGUGGGUGCUUAGAUAAGAGGCUUGCCUAGAAAACAUGUGUGUGCUCCUGAAGAGGUCUUGGCUCUUUUUUUUUCUACUUCUUAUCCUUAGAUCCCUUGGGAAGUACAUAGGCGGGGAGACAGCUUAAAUUUGGGACUAGGCUAACAGAGGCCCAGGCAAAUCCAUCCUAGAUUUAUAUACAGAGUAAAUCCUGUGGCUACACUAGGCUGUGCACAGUUAACAUUUCCCUCGGUGCCGUAAACCAGACGCCCCUCUCCUCCCCAACUGUUUGUAGCAUAUUAGGUGCAGAUUUCACUAAACUCCUAAACAAGGAAAUGACAGUACCCAAAGGAGAUGGAAGAAUGUCUUGUGUCCAAACCAAAUAAAGGAGAGACCAUAAAUACCAGGGCUCUGAGACAUCAACAUUCAUUCUCAGAAGGCCCUUCUUUCUGCUAAACCUGACUCUUUCAUCCCCCAGAGCCUUGCCCUUGCGUACCUCCCUCCGAGUUGAGGCUAAUGGCCAAAUAUGAGCACCUGGAGUUUUUAUCACACCUGCUUCUAAAGAGGUCAACAAAGUUGGAUAUUGAAUGUCCUACUGUCUGCUUUAUGAGCUGAACAUUGUAUUAGGCUCUGGGGGCAAAAGACAGACACACACAAUUCUUGCCCUUCUGGAGCUCAUAGUCCAGUCAAGGAUACAGACGUUAACCAAAGAAUUUGUGGUUUGCACAGUGAUGCAAGCAGAAGGAACAGGGCAAAGGCCCUGUGGCAGGAAGGAAGAAGGCAUGUCAGAGGAACGAGAGGGGGCCUGCUUGAUUAUAGGAGCAAACGGCAUGGUACAAAAUGAAGCUGGAGAAGAGAGGGAGGUCAGACCACAGCAACACGUAGCCGCUCUAACAAAUGCGGUCUUUCUGUGCCAAAAAGAACAAGAAGAAGCCACUGAAAUAUCAUAAGCAGUAGAUUGAUGGGAUUUGCAUUUCAAAAAGAUCAGAAGAGUACUAGAUUGAACAGAUCCAUUAGGAAGCACGAGAUGGGUGCUGACACUGGCCAGUGCUGAUAGACAGCAAAGGGGAAGACAGGCAGGACGGACCCAAGAGGUGGAACUGAGAUGAGGAAACAAUACCUUAGAUCGCAAACUAGGAAAUGUAUAGCUCCAUUCUCCUGAAAAAAAAUAAUAACACGGGGAUUUAUAAGCCUUCAAAAGUAGAAAAGGAAAGGCGAUUCAGUCUUAUUGGGCAACACUAAUGAUAUUUACAAAUCUAUCCUGCUCCAUUACAAACUUUAAAAACUCUAUGCAUGAUUUUGAUAAGGGUGCCAAGACCAUUCAGUGGGGGAAAGAACAGUCUUUAGAAUGAAUGGUGCUAGGAAAACUGGACAGCUACAUGCAAGAGAAGGAAAUUGCACCCUUACAUAAGACCAAAUACAAGUAUUAACUCAAAAUGGAUCAAAGCCCCAAAUGGAAGAGCUGAAACUACAAACUCUUAGAAGAAAACAAAAGGCAAAAAUCUUCACAACAUUGGAUUUGGCAAUGAUUCCUCGGAUAGGACACUGAAGGAACAGCCAAAAAUAUGGACAAAUUUGACUUAGUGAAAAUUAGAUAAUUGUGCCCAUCAAAAGACACUGUCAACAGAAUAAAUACGCAAUCCACGGAAUAGGAGAAAUAUUGGCAAAUCACAUAUUUGAUAAAAGAUUAAUAUGCAAAAUGUGUAGAGAACUCCUAAAACUCAACAACAAAAAUGAUUUAAAAAUGGGCAAAGGACUUGAAUACUCGCUGCUCCAAAGAGCUACAAAUGGCCCACAAGUACAUGAACAGAUGUUCAAUAUCACUAAUCGUUAGAGAAAUGCAAACUGAAACUCCAGGGAGAUGCCACCUCGCAGCCAUCAGGAAGGCCGCCUCCCCAAAAAUCAGAAAAUAAUGUGCUGCUGAGGACAAAGAGGAGUUGGAACCCUGGUGCCCUGUUGGUGGGAAUGUAAAUGCAGCCACUGUGGAAAACAGUACAGCAUUGCCUCAAAAAAUCAAAAGUGGCCCACCAUAUGAUCCACCAAUUCUACUUCUGGUUAUAUACCCAAAAGAAUUGAAAGCAGAGUUUUGAAGGCGUAUUUGUUUUUUUUUUUUUUUUAAUUUUUUUUUCAACGUUUUUUAUUUAUUUUUGGGACAGAGAGAGACAGAGCAUGAAUGGGGGAGGGGCAGAGAGAGAGGGAGACACAGAAUCGGAAACAGGCUCCAGGCUCCGAGCCAUCAGCCCAGAGCCUGACGCGGGGCUCGAACUCACGGACCGCGAGAUCGUGACCUGGCUGAAAUCGGACGCUCAACCGACUGCGCCACCCAGGCGCCCCUUGAAGGCGUAUUUGUACACCAAUGUUCACAGCAGCAUUAUUCAUAAGAGCUAAAAUAUGGAAUCAAGCCACUGUCCACUGACAGAGGAGUAGAUAAACGAAACGUGGUUUAUCUCUACAACUGAAUGUCAUUUAGUCCUAAGGACGAACGAAAUUCUGACACAGGUUACAACGUGGAGACAACUUGGGGGACAUUAUUCUCAACGAAAUAUAGUAUUCACCAAAAGACAAAUACUGUGUGGUUCCACUUCGAAGAGGUACUUAGAAUCAUCAAAAUCAUAGAACCAAGAAAGCAGAAAGGUGGUUGCAAAGGCCUGGGGUUGAAGGGGAGACAGAGUGUUAUUGUUCAGUGAGCACAGAGAUUCAGUUUCACGAAACGAACAGAGUUCUAGAGAUGGGUGGUGGUGAUGGCAGCACAAUAUUGUGAAUGUAUUGAAUACCACUGAACUUUGUACUUAAAAAUGGAUAAAAUGGUAAAUUUUAUGUUAGGCAAAAAUCAGGGGGAAAACUGGCACAAAUUCAAGGAUUCACUGUGAAGGGCACAAAUGCAGCUUCACAGCGUAUGCUCCGGUUAGUUGCAAUAUGUAAUUCCAUAAUCAACAUUCCAAGUUAGAAAUAAAACUAUUUAUAGCAAUAUAGAUCACUUUACACUUAGCAUCGGAGUCAGAAGAGAGUGGGUUCAAAUCCCAGCUCAGUCACUUCCUGGAAAUUGACUAGUAAUAUCUCCGUCCUGACCCUCAGUUUUCUCAUCAGUCCAAUGGAAAGGAUGAACCCUGCCUCGUAGGGUUAUUAUGAGGCUUGAAGGAUAUGACAUAAGGAUUAAAUGUGGAUCAUGUGUAUACACUGCCUAGUCCUGAGCUAGUUAUAUAUAUAUAUGUCCAUAUAUAUAUAUUUUAGCUCUUGUCUCCAUCGAUGACACACUGCCUGGCAGGAACAGACACAACAGGAAGAAUGAAGGUUGAUUUCUUUCAAGACAGGAAAGUCGUACCAUGUCUCCAUCCUUCAACAGGGGCUGGUGGAUUUAGUUAGAAUCAUAGUAGAGAAACCUCUUAGAAGUAAAAGGGUAGGGCAGUUUCAAACAUUUUCAGAUCACAAAGAAAUACAUUAUAGGCUCUGAGCCAGUUACAAACUCUGCUGUUUUCCAUUUGAUCUGAUUGUAUUUCAUUUAAAAAAAAAAAACAACAACAAUCUGGUCACGACUCAACCAAAGUGAGGUGUUUUUUUUGUUUUGUUUUUUGGGUUUUUUUUUUUGACCCUGGGGUCAUGACUCACAGUUUGAAAAACACCUGGUUAGGGAAUUCACAGUGUGCGUCCUUCCGGGAAGCCUUCCUGGAACACCCUCACCCUGUGGAGGCUGUUCCCACACUUGAAUUUCCUUGGCUUCAAUGAUUCCAGGCUAUGCCUCACCAUUUAUUCAUAAUGCUUCUCUUGCUUCCCUAGAUAGACUCCCCGUGGGUGUAGCCUUCCAAAUCGACCCUCCUAGCCUCCUCCAUUACUUCAUAUCCAGGAGACCUAAUUUAAGAAGCUGGGACAGUUUAAUGUAUAUUGAAGGUAGCACAGGUAGGGGCAGAUGGCCAGGAGACUAGCAUCUGGUCCAGUUAACCUGCUCUGGCCAAGCACUGGCUCUGUGCCUUGCACUGCGCAAAGCUCAGGAAGAGGACGGCUUUCUUCCAGAUUCCCAGGGCCCUCGAGGCUAGGCAUGUGCUCAGAUUGUGGGAACAGAGCACACAAGCUUCAGCGUAAAGCCUCGGAGGGCUCCUGAACAGGGACACCUGGCACGAUGAGACCUUUGCCCUGUGCAGAAACAGCUUCCUUAGCAAUAAACAGAGCAAGACUCCGUCGCCUGAAGGCAGGGCAAUGGCGCAGAUGGCCUUGCGGGGCCUCAGCUUUGGGAAAUAACCGUUUGCACUGGAAGCUCCCCCUCCCGUGUGAAACGCACGGAGAAGGGCAACUCUGCGCAGGCGCUUCCUUCCAGCAGGCUGGGAAAAGGAGCUGCUCUGAUUUCUGCUUGACUGUUUAGGCUCGGGAUGGACGCUCAAGACCGAAGCAGCUGAGAAACCAUCCCGUCGCCGAAUUGACUGCAGCCCCACUAGCGUGGAGAACAGCGUGGCUGUUGAAGAGGCAGACAGCUGUGGAUUUCCAAAUUGCCUCCCCCACUUCCAAGCCGUUUGACAAUGAAGAUAUAUAUAUAUAUAUAUAUAUAUAUAUAUAUAUAUGUAUAUAUACAUGUAUUUUUAUAUAUAUGUAAUAUACAUGUAUAUUUACAUAUAUAUAUAUAUAUAUAUACAUAUAUUUUUUUUUUACGUCUCUGAGCUUCUCUUUCCACACUGUAAAAUGGACUAAUAAUAAUGCUCUAGAAUAGGGCUGUCAGGAGCAUGAAAUGAGACUCAUAUACGUAAAGCCCCUCAUAUAGUCCCAGGCACAUUGUAAAUCUUUAGUAAAUGGGAGCCAGAGUUAUUAUUUUUCAACACUCCAUACAGCAUAAUUGAGGGGGAAAAAGGCAGUCACCUGAAACAGCUCUUCCUCCUUUCAGCCAAAAGGACAUAUUUUCCUAGUGAGAAAACGUGGAUGCUGGCCCCCCCCCCAAUGCUCCUGGAACAGCAAGAGAUUUUAUCUCGGGAGCCUCUGUGUGAUGCUAAUGUACAAACAUGACUUAGCUGAUGAUCACUUGUGAGCAUUGCAGAUAGAAGGAUGCCUCUGGCAUUGGCCACCUGUCCCGUGGGGGGACCUCCCAGGCUCAGGAGACUUCAGCCAGCCUCUGAGCUUUUCAGAAGCAGGUUUUAGUAGAUACUCUUUGGAGGCCUCCCCGCUCCUCCCCUGGUUUUCCCCACACCUGUCAGAAACCCGACUCCCUCCUCUGGGAAAACACACCCCUGGCCUGCUCCCUGUACUGACUCCCAAGGGCCUUCAUCCUCCGGUGAAACUGUCCCUGAGGACUCCAGCCUCUAUCAACCCUUCUUUUCGUUGAGGUCUUACAGUGAAAAUCUAGCAUCUAGAGCAAUGCUGUCUCACAAGAAUAGAAUGUGAAAAUAGAAUUUUACAUUUUUUAGGAGUAACAUUAAAGAAAUUAAAAAACAAUAAGGUGAAAUUGACUUUAAGAAAAUAUUUUGAAGUCUGCUGCGUGUUUCACGUUUACAGCAUAUUUCAGUUUGGACUAGCCACCUUUUGUGCGCUUCGUAGCCAUGUGCAACAAGGAGAUUUUGAAGACUGAAUGCUCCCCUCAGAAAAAAAGUAAAAUAUUUCGUUAAUAUUUUUUCAUAUUGAUUACAUGUUGCAAUGAUAAUAUUUUGGAUAAAGUGAGCUAGAUAAAAUAUAUUAUUUCCAUUGGACACUCCUUGGCUCUUUUUUUUUAAGAUUUUAAAAAGUUUAUUCAUUUUUGAGAGAGCAUAAGUCGGAUAAGGGCAGAAAGAGAGAGGGAGACACAGAAUCUGAAGCAGAGGCUCAAGACUCUGAGCCGUCAGCGUGGACCCCAACACAAGGCUCGAACUCACCAACCGUGAGAUGGCCUGAGCAUUCCACAAGCCCCCACUCCCUGGCCCUUAAGGGCCACUUCCGGCUCCUUUUACUAGAAAGCAAAGGCUUUCCCCCACCCCCUUGUACCAUGUACUUCCCACACCUGGGUCUGCCCCCAAGCCGACAAGUGGACAGAGAGAAAGAAAAAAUGCACAUUUACCCACCCCCAACUCUUCAAACGUAGUUCCUCUGGUCAGAGAGAAGGUUGGGGAGCCUGCCUAAACUCUGCUGCUGUUGCCACUGACCAGGACUACAGCUGACAGGUCUGAAGCUUGCCCACGGGCCGGAGGAGAAGGGGGAAGAAAAAACAAAAGAAAAGACAUAGAUUGCCCCCACUCUCUCUGAUCCUUAGGGUCCCAUUUACAUUCCUUGGACUAGAAGCAGGGGCUCUUCUUGGGGUUCUUUCUCCCUGUAACCACAUGCUGUUUCAGGAUUCAUAUUGCCCUUGAGCCCGGACCAGAAAAGGUGGGAGUAAAAACCUAGGAAAUUCAUGGUCUCAAUUUUACUUAGAGUUCUGGCUUCUUUUUUUUUUUAUUUUUAAUUUUUUUUUUCAACUCUUAUUUAUUUUUGGGACAGAGAGAGACAGAGCAUGAACGGGGGAGGGGCAGAGAGAGAGGGAGACACAGAAUCGGAAACAGGCUCCAGGCUCUGAGCCAUCAGCCCAGAGCCCGACGCGGGGCUCGAACUCACGGACCGUGAGAUCGUGACCUGGCUGAAGUCGGACGCUCAACCGACUGCGCCACCCAGGCGCCCCAGUUCUGGCUUCUUUUUCUAAUCCACCUGCUACCACUUACUUUUCAGAUUCCUCAGAUAGAAGCUGUGUGCAUUUUGUCUAGGGUUUUUUGCCUGCAUUCAGUGGGAAAAAUAAGGUAGAGUGUGUUUAUGUCAUUUUAACAAGAUCCAGAAUCCUCAAGAAACAUGUGUUGCAGUGUGUUGUAUUGCAUUCAGUCUCUAUGACACUUGAUCAUACACAAAUGGCAUCUAUAGAAACUUAGAUUGGAUUAAUUAGGAUAUCAUAUUCUAGACCAUGCCAAGUAUCCACUAUACUCACACACUUAGAAUGGAACAGACUGCUUUUUGCAUUGAGAACAAACACAAAGGGAUUUCAACACUUGUCCUUGAGUCAGGAAUGAAUGAAGGAUAAUCGGUGACUUUUUUCUUUGUGAAAAGUUUAAACAUCUAUUACCCCACAUUACUGACUGUCACAUAUGUGUUUAGUUAGAGACUGUAUAUUACCUCCAUGUUUUCAGACCACAGUUUUGUAAACAUCUGACUUGAUAAGGCAGCUGUUUUAUUUAUUUGGAAUCUCUGAUCAUCACUCAUAGUAGCCUUAAACUUCCUUUUAUGGUAGACAAUAGAGUUUGGAAUUAAGUAAUUAGGCAUGUAUUGCCGAGAAGAAGGACAUCCAUUUAUAUGGAUCAACUAAUUUCCCAAAGUAUUGUCCACUUAACCAAAAAGGAAGUGAUCCACACCUCUAAAAAUCAUUAGAGGGCCAGUCAUUACUUCGGACACAUGACGUGCUCACAUACUCACACAGAACUGAUAAUGCACUGAUAAGGCGAGCCAAAUUCCAGAAAAUGUUGUGAAAUAAUUGGGUGGUUAAGAACAUCACAAAACGGCAGAGUUAUUGGAAAUGAUAUCGUGGAUAUCUGCAUAGUAAUAUGUACAGCACAAAAUGUUUUUAUUUAGUUGGUUAUUCCUUCUUGUAGCCAUCAUUUAUUAAGUGUCUAUGAUGUGUCAUCUGUUUCCUAGACCCUCUCGUAUGCAUAAUUUGUGAGUAACCCCAGGUAUGUUCUGCUUAAACCAAACCUUACACAUAAAGUCUGAACUGACAGAACAGGUAUACAGAGAAGUAUAUAAAGAUAAGUUAUUGAGUUCUUAAAACAACAAACUUCAAAUUCUUUCCAUUUACACGUAUUAAAGCUACACACAUUUUGGGGGACUAGAGACUAAGUAUAAGGGGCAAAAGCCAGGGCUUUGGAAUCAGAAGCACCUAGAUUCAAAUCCUUAAAAUUAGUUUAAACCUCGACCUAGUCAUCUCUGACUUUCAUGAGAUAACAGUAUCUAUGUCAAAGGAUUGUGGUCAAGUGUGUAUGAUAUAAUGCAGCUCAAGUUCAUAGCACAAACAAACAUGUGGUAAGCUCCCAAUAUCUGUUUAACUACUAUAUAAACUAUAAAGUUUAUUUGUAUGAUAUAUAAAGCAAAUUAUUUAUCAAUGGUUUAUAUAUAUAUAUAUUUUUUUCAAAUAUAUGAAUUAGUUCUAUUACCUAUAAGUUUAGAAGAAUGAUUACAUGUAGAAAUAAGACAGGGAAUAUGCCGGAAUAAAAUACUUUAAUUUUCAUGUUUUCACAACUCCUGUCCUCUAAAUGAUAUCAAUUUAAUACUUAUCUCAUUUUCUUGGGCUAUUUUUAUGUUUCUCACUUACUAAGCAACCAUAGGGUAUGUUUGAGGAUCUACGGAACCCACGUGAGACAUCAUCCUUGCUCUCUUGGAGUUCACUUGCUAAAAAGACAAGAGGUACUUGAAAAGGUAAAUCUUUUGGAAUGAGGAUUAUUUGUGUUGCUAAACUUUGUGCGGGGGAAAGAAGGCAAGUUCACUCACUCUUCUCUUUAUGUUUCCCUCACUGGGUGGUGGCUUUAAUAAGAUAAGAAUACUUAAAUGGUUAUUUUCUUGUGCUUUCAAGUGGGGGUUGAGUCUUUGAGUGGAGUGAGCAGAAUACAGAGAUGAUUGCACACUGAGAUAGUCUAGGAAGUCGAGAAUCAUUUAAACAGUAAUAUAAUUUGUUAAGUACCUCCUGGGGCCUAGGCUCUUUGCUAGAUGUUUUCACACUUAACCCACACCAUAAGGAUGCGGUAUUACCUCCAUUCCAUUUCUGUGGUCGGUGAAUCUUAGAAAUGCUUAGUAACAUGUGCAAAGUAAAGGAAGCAAAGCCCAGUGUAAACCCAGGAGGGUCUGGGUUUUUUUUGUUGUUGUUGUUGUUUUGUUUUGAUAUCAGUCCUUAGCUCAAGUCAAGAAUAGGUAAUGCCUUAAAAUGCAGAUGUCUGUUCCUCUUGAAUACCUUCCCUUAUCCUUUCUUCAAUGGGUACAAUUCUAAUGAUUAAUGUGCGACGCUGGGACCCUACCCGGCUCACUUCUGUCUGUGUCGGACGUUGCUUAAUUAAUCACAGGGCUUUUGUCCACAGAAACUGGACUUCACUUCAGAAUCCUUCUGAACACAGCAUCCCAAAGCAGUCAAUCUCAACCAACUGACCAAAAUUAAUACUAAAAAUCUGUUUGAUGUGUCUCCCAUGACACCCUGCUAAUGACUUUACUAAUAGCACAUAUAAGACUACGUUUAAAUCAUUCGCUUCCCUUUUAGUUUUAAUCGUAAGGCUUCGGUGACAGGUCCAUUCAUCUUCCCAAAUCUAGCCCCUGUCCACAGUCUGCCACAUAACACAAUAGGCACCAAGUAGAAGUUUUGUUGGAUCCAAUGUAAGAAAAUACUUUCUGUUUAAACCUCUAGGACUACUAGGGGCGCCUGGGUGGCUCAGUCGGUUGAGUGUCCGACUUCGGCUCAGGUCAUGAUCUCGUGGUUCGUGAGUUCGAGCCCCGCACCGGGCUCUGUGCUAACAGCUCGGAGCCUGGAGCCUACUUCAGAUUCUGUGUCUCCCUCUCUCUGUGGCCCUUCCCCCCUGUCUCUCUGUCUUUCUCUCUCUCUCUGUCUGUCUCUGUCUCUCUCUCUCAAAAAUAAAUAGGGGCGCCUGGGUGGCGCAGUCGGUUAAGCGUCCGACUUCAGCCAGGUCACGAUCUCGCGGUCUGUGAGUUCGAGCCCCGCGUCGGGCUCUGGGCUGAUGGCCCAGAGCCUGGAGCCUGUUUCCGAUUCUGUGUCUCCCUCUCUCUCUGCCCCUCCCCUGUUCAUGCUCUGUCUCUCUCUGUCCCAAAAAUAAAUAAACGUUGCAAAAAAAAAAAAAUUAAAAAAAUAAAUAAAUAAAUAAACAUUAAAAAAACAAACAAACAAACAAACCUCUGACUACCAAAAUGCUGAACAUGUUAUUGGCUAAUAAUUAGAAUUGCUAACAUUUAUCAAGAAUUUAUUAUUUGCCACAGAUGGAACUAAGUACUUCACAUAUAUUAAUUUUUAAAUAGUGUUUAAACAAGGAUUCCAUGAGAUAGUUACAUUAUCCCCAUUUUAUAAAUAGUGAUCCUCCAGGUCAGAGGGCUUAAAUGAUUUGCACCAGGUCACAGGCCCAAACCCACAUGUUCUGACCCCCAAACCAAACACUUAACCACUACACUGGUUACAGCAAAAGCCCAUAUAGGAUAUAAUUUUCCAUCAUACUCUUAACCACUACACUGGUUACAAAGCCCAUAUAGGAUAUAAUUUUCCAUCUCAUGGCAUAUUUAUAUAACUGUAUUGCUGCCCAUUACUGGCCUUCCAGAACUCAGCCAGGUGGUCCCUGAGCUUUAUUUCAAAAUUUUGCCAGAAAAUUAACAUCUUUCCCUGCUCUUCAUUGGGUUCCUCCCGCCAAAACAACAACAAUCCCCCCAAACUUGUGAAUUAACCGACGAGAAAUAGAUUAAGGUCCCGGAGAAGUCUCUCCCUCCUUUUCCAGUUCCUUAUCCCCCAAACCAUUUUCGGGUCUACUCUGUGCUGGCCACCGUGGCAGGUGCCAUAGGGUACAAAGUUGAAUAAGACUUCCUUCCCCACAUGAGCAUACUCACAGUCUAGUACAGAAGAAGCUGCAUAAUAACCAUGGGCUGUUAUUCAGAAAGGCAGGGAAUGCUCUGGGUGCAUGAGGAAGAGCCACUCCGCUUUGCCUGAGAAUCUUGGAUGGUGGCAGAGAAUCACCCGGGACACAAAGGAAGGAAGGGCACGCCGCAGAAAGAAUAUAUACAACAUUGUGUUUCAGAGUCUAAAUCCAGGCAUUCCAGGGACAUAACUGUCGAUUUCAAGUCUCUGUAGGUCCCUCCUGUCCCUGGCAACAUGAUUUGGGAUCUUGUAAAUCGAACUCCAGUAGAUGUGCCCUGGAGGUCUAGAGUUCCCGGCAUUGAGGCGACCUCUGUACAUAUGUUUCCUACACCGACACAUGGAAAUAUUCUUCUAUUUAUUUAUUAUUUCAAUGCGGUGGUUGAUCAUGGUGGUUGAAGGGUUAUCACGAGUUUUUGAGGAUUUUAGUGCACCUUUUACAUACCCUGAGGGUCCACCUUCUGAAAUCAAUGAACGCCUCAUGAGCAUAUUCUUCCAGAACUGAGACCUUCAAAAAGAGGCACAUAAGUUCCCCAGUUUCCUAUGAAAGACAUUAUUCAAGUGUCCUCAAGUGACAGAUGGUCUAAUAAUUUGCAAAUACGUGCUCCUCACACUCUGAGGUCAGCUCUGUUUUACUUAAGAGCUUUCACUCACACGAGUACCAUCUGGAGCCCACAUCCUCUAUCUUGGGCUUCAAAUAAAUCCUGAUUUACCUCAGAAAUAUUUGCCAAGAGUCUGCUUGCUAGAAAAAUUACCAGUUUCUCUUCUUUGAGGACUGCCUUUGCAGUAUAUGAAACCUACCUGGUAGGCGUCCAUUGGAAUACUCUUUAAAAUGCUACAAGAAGAUACCUGUUGAGACAAAGAUUUGGGGAACUGAAGCUAAAUCUUCUUUUUCUUUUUCUUUUUGGUAUGUGUGGCGGGGGGUAGUCUGCCAAGAUUAAAUCAUUUUCUUUUAGCUGAAGCAUCCUAAUCCAAAUUAAAGCUGCAUGUGCUACAUCAUCAUCCCGAAUGAAUACUGCUGAGGUUUCUUUGCCAAGCAUCUUUUCAGCUAGCAGAAUUUGUAAGUCUGGGGCACAUUUUGAUCCGAUGAUGUUAUGUACGUAGAAGAAUGAAUGAGUGCUUGAGGAUGAACUUCAAACCGUGAAGGAAUCAUGUGCUAUUGUGUUCUUUGAAAAACCUGAAGAAUGCUUUUGUGGGGUCCACAAAAAGCUGGUGGAACAUUUGUGGCUAACGUUUGUGGAACGUUUGUGGCUAACACCUGGCAAAGGGAACCUGGGGGCUGGUGCUGAGGUCUUCUCUCCGGGGCAAAAACCAAGGUGCAUAUAAGAUUUUAUCAAUAAUUCCAAGGUGUCAUCCAAACCCAGGCCUGGGUCCACAGCACUCUGGAAAAUGCCUUAAGCAUUGGAGCUAAACCACUGAGAAAGGCAAGGAAGCUCAUCUAGCUACUCUAUUUUUGUGCCAGUCAUUAAACCCACAGACGCUCUGAGCACUGGCCAGCUUGCCGGGACUGGAAAUGAACCACUCCUGUCCUUUCACACUGACUUCCGCCUGAGAGCAGGAAGGCAUCCCUUUCCUCUCCAAAGUGGACCCGGAUGCAGCAGAUUCAACUGGUUUUAACUUUUUUUCAAACUUGAUUAAUAGUCAUUUGAGUCAAUUCCGGGUAGGAGGUCGGUCCUGCACACAUAAUUUUUUUUUUUUUUUUUUUUUUUUGUAUAUAGGGAAGUGAGUAAUUCUUAAGUUUUAGGGCAGGAAGAAAAUCUGGAACUUUACCAAGUUUAUUACAUUUGGGGGGAACAAUUAUAAAAGGCUUUUUAAAAUAAAUUUAGAAAAUCACCCACAAUUCCAUUAUCUAACAAUAGUGUUUUUGCCACUUCCAUGUUUAAAAAUCUAGUCUUCUCAAUAUUAAAACUAUAAAAAUGGGAUGAUGGCACCUAAUAUUUUGCAGAAUACAUUUCAUUAUUAAAAACUUUUGAUCAUUUUUUGAUACCCUUAAUUCCUAAAUAUAUUCAAAAAGUUGACAUGCAGCGUCACCUAGUAAUCCACAGAAUCCUCUUUGGAAACGCUGUAAAAAAUCAAACCAGAAAAUGUCUCAAGAAAGUUAACAGAGAAAGCUCUAGUAAGGAAAAAACUGGGUUUGAAUCCCAGUUCUCCCACUAACCAGCCAAAGAAGCAUGAACAAUGCAUAAAUAAUUCAAGUCAUAACCCUUUAGUGACCACCUGCUAUGUGACAGGGACUUUGUUAAGGGUCUUGCCUGUGUUAAUUUCACUCGAUCCCGGAACCCCAUAUGGCUAGUGCUAUUAGUAUUCCUACUUUGCGGAUGAGGAUAUAGAGGCUAAGGAAUGUUUCCUGCAUAAGAUCACAAAGCGAAUCAACACCAACUCGAUCUGGCCUGUGUCCACUCCACCAGACUGAGUUUCCCUGAUGCUCCUCCUCUGACUCUUGGAGACCUGGUCCCCGCCCCACCUCCUUCCCCACCGCUGUGAGUUCCCCUAACACUGGGCUAUUUCUCACUCCCAGCCUUAGCACCAACUCUAACACUCAACCCUCCCCUUCACCUUUAUGUUUCCCUCUCCAUGCCACUUGCUCCAGGAAGCCUUCCUGAUACUUGGUUAUACACUCUCUUCAUUAUAUAUUCUCUUCAUUCAUAGGCACAUGUUCAUUAAGAACACUUAUGGGGGUUAAUUCUUUUGGUAACUAUGAGCUCACCUUCCAUCUCCCCUGCUAGACUGAGGCUCCAAGGUGCCCUCACAUCUGUAUUAUUUACCCCCACAAUGUGAGUAAGUGACUCAUUCUGAAGUCUUUAACUGGCAAGGUGGUCAGUUCCUAUUAGCUCUUUUCUAAACCCGUGGCUUUCAGCAUGACAAAAGAAAAGUAUAAAAGAUGAAAGAAAUUGCUCAGUUAACUUGCAGGACUUUGGGUGAGUAACCUUGAGACGCUGGGGAUUUUGAAAGCCGGGUCCAUCCUCUGUUUCUUUUUGAACAGAAGCUUGAAUCUGCACACACCAUUUUUGCCGAGAGAGAACAUGAAUGGCUAUGGAGGAAGUGCAUUUACACUGCAGCCACAUGAAGCUUUAAGCCCACGGAACUGUCACUAAACAAAAAUUUGAUCGCGGCCACCGAGCUUCUCCCACUAUAAUUAAGACUGGAAUAAGAGGUCCUAGAGUGGUUGUGCUAAGGCUCAAUUUCUCCUGUGAGGGGCACCCCUGCCUCAGUUUCCAUGGCCAAAUAAAUAAAGGAGAUGCUGCAUCAAAACUGGUCUUGAAAAUUCACAGGGCACGUUAGCACAUUAGUCAGACUGGGAGGUCCUGCGGGGAGAAAAAAAAAAAAAAAAAAACACAACUAUGUAACUUUGUUCAGUUCCUGAGUUUAUUUGGCCAUGUUUAGUCAUAGAAUGCUGCCUUUGAUUAGACUAUGCCAGAAGCAGACCCUGAGAUAAGGAUUUAAGCACAAGAAGGUUUAUUUGGGAGGUGAAUUUGUAAAAAGCACCAGAAGGGGAGAAAGGGAGUGAGACUGGGGAGGGAAGGAGGCUGAUGCAGGGUGCGUGAAUGAGCAAGUUUACCCCUGUAGGCAACUCAAAGGCAGCCUCGCUGGGGACCCAUGGAAGAGGCUCAAACAGGUGACCCGUCUCAGCAGUGAGGAAACUGGAUUUUAUUCACCCAUUCUCAUCAGUUGUACACCGAGGGCUGCUUUGGGGGCCACUAGCUUCCUGUAUGGUAGCGGGAGCAUGAUGUCAGGCAAAGAGUAGCAGGUGUUUACAACAGAGCCCCGGGUGACAUGCACAGGGACUGUGAGGGCUGAGGGGAGGUGGGUGGGACCAUGUCUGCUGCACCAGUGUCCCUCUCCGCCUUUUCUUUUUUCACACAGGACACCCAUUCACACCUGGUGGACGUGGUAGGUGAGGACCAAAAUGUGGAAAACAAAAUUCCAAAAUUUGAAAUUCAAGCAGUUCGAUGAGUUCCCAGAAGCUAUCCUGCAGCUGAACACACGGAGUGAAUGCUAUGCUGUAGUUUGCAAAACCCCAAAGGAAAUUCCUGUGAAUGCCACCAAAUACCAAACAUAUAAAUCUCAAGACUCAGCAGAAAUAGCCUUGGAAAAUCGUAACUUAUGGGAUGCUACAUCAAAAAGCCUUCUAGGGAUCCAAACUUAGAAUGGGGUUCUAACCCAGGCUGUCUGUGAAAGCGAAAAACCCUAUUUCCCACAGCCAAGAGCACCUUGUCCUACCGAUGUAUGGUGACAGCAGGCUACGUCCACAACAAGCUAGGGCUUGUCAUGUAGAGAUACAGACAAAGCCGAAGAGCUCCGGGGAACCCCACUCUUAUGGACUGUCUUACAGCCAAGCAAAGUCAGACAAUACAAUAUCAAGAAACCAAUAGAGAAAAUAGCCAUCGAUGGUGGUACAGACUAUGAAGGCAUUAAAAUGGAUAAUGGGAGAAAGAGCAGCUGGGGGGAGAAUCACUUUAGGCCGAGUGAUCUGGAAUGGCAUCCUUAAGGAGGUAAAAUACGACCUGUCACCUCCUUGCUUCAGUGGGAGAGAAAGAGGGGAUUUUAGGAGGAUGAAAUAGCAAGUUCAAAAGCCCUGAGGUGGGAAUAUGAUUGGAGUAUUUAAGGACUCAAAACAGGGGCCUGGAGUGUCCUGAGGGAAGGGUAGAGUGCUAACAGUAAGGUUGACAAGGAAGGCUACAGUUGUAGUGUUGUGAGUAGAAAUUUGGUGUAUUUUCCCAUCCUUUUCAUUGUUCUUAAGGAAAAGAAAACUCUCCAAAAGCAUCAGGGAACAUUUGCCGAGUACCAAAUGAUGCUCCCAUGGUCUAGAUCCAAUUCUAUCUCCAGGCAGCCAUCUUUUUUUUGUUUUUUUUUCAAGACAGAGCACCAACUGGGGACAGGGGUGGAGAGGUGGAGAGAGAGAGAGAGAAAGAGAGAGAGAGAGAGAGAGAGAGAGAGAGCAAGCACAUCCCAAGCAGUAUCCACACUCAGUGCAGAGCCCAACACAGGGCACAAUCCCACGACCCUGGGAUCAUGAACUCAGCCGAAAUCAAGAGUUGGGCGCUCAACUGACUGAGCCACUCAGGUGUCCCCAGACAGCCAUAUCAAUAAUCUCAUCUCAUUCUUCAGCAUCUCCCACCAAGAUCUCAAGUGGCCUCAGAGAUUAAAAACCUGACUCUAAAAGCUGAAUGCUGACCUACCCUUCAAAAGUCUUACAGCCCAGUCCCAAAAAAGCAAUAAUGCAAAGAAACAGGGCACAGUGUUGCUAGGACUCACUUUUUGCUGGAAAGAUGUCUGCUGAGUAUACACCAUCUGAUCUCACCAAGGGCUUCAACCGAACCUUCGAGGCAUACCCCAGGGGUGUCCCUUCCGGAUUGCCAUUCACUGUCUCUACAGGAAGGAUCCCCAGGGGCGCAGUCACAAGACCCCCUCAGGCUGUCCCCUGAGGAUGCUAUUGGAUAGGCUGUCUCAGGAGUGCACUUGGCCUUGUAUGGCAAGAGAAGGUUGCUUCUUCACCCUCUGGCAAAGCCUAGGCCAGGAGAUGAGGGGAAAGAAGAGGCUAGGUCUUGGCCUUUAGGGACAGGGACAUCACAAGAGAGGGCUCUGUCACCCUGCAGGAGCCUGGACAAACCUCAAUUUUCUUUCACUGGCAUUUACUGGGCACCUGAUGUAUGCGGAGCAGGGCGCUCCUGCAGAAGUGAGUCAAGCACAGACCCUGCCCUCAAGGUGUUUGUUGUCCUGUAAAGAAAGAAACACUGGCCACUCCUGGUAGUAGCAAGCAGAAUGGAAUCAGGGUCCAAAGGGACAUUCGCACAGAGAACUUGAGGACAGUCAGGGGAAGGGAAAUUCAUAAGCUCCCUGGCUUUCUUUGGCUUUGAUGGCAGUUAACUGGGCUGACCAGGUAUGUGUAGGACUUUAUGGCUCCCUUGUCACACUGAUGAGGCAGGCUUUUUUGGGUGAGGAUGAGGCGACACUAUGUCAGGCAACGGAGCACUAUUGUCCAGAGACACGGGGAAGUGAGCAGGAGGAAAACAGCUCAUGGAGACCUGGAACAACGUCCCCUGUUCCUCAUAAUGAGAGCCACUCUAAGAUGUCUUCUCAGAAGAGAGUUCUCUCUCCCACUCUCACUACCCCCACCUUUUGCUUCUGCUGUUGCCCCUACAUCUGGGUCCUCUCAAGAUCUUUUUAACAGGCUCCUAGACCGACAGUCUGUUGGGUGUGAAGGUUACACUUAACCUUGGGCAGGUUGCUUCAUCUCUGUGUGCCUCGGUUUCCUCAUCCGUAACAGGUGGAUAUUAAUAGUACCUACCUCAAAUGGAAUCUGUGAGGGUUAAAUGAAUUAAUACACAGAGACAGAAUGGUGCUGUCUCUGUCGUCAGGCUAAGGUGCUUAUCUCUGGUUCCCUAACUGUGGCCAGGGUAACACGCUCUCGUGGACGAAACGGCUAUUUACCAGUUACAUUUACUUGGAAGGCAGCUGGGAAUAUUAGACGUGUUAAGGUUUCCUGGAUGCUUAGAACCUCUUAGAUUCCUCUCUUCUAUAUCACAGUAUAUUUCAAAACAAAUUUUAAAACUUAAAUGCUAUCAGAAACGAAUACAGGAUCAUUAAAAACCAGUUAGGAAAAAAAAAAAAAGUCUAGCAAAAAGCAGAUGAGCAUCAGAGUAGAGGUGGAAGGAGUCACUCUCCUGACGCUACAGUAAUCCUCCUAAUUCCAUGUGGUCUGCAUGGAGCUGACCCCACUGCAGGGGUGGGCCCAUGGACCAGGCUGUCUCUCCCUUAGGACUUCUGCUGUACCUAGUGAAUGAUGCUCUUUUCUCCCGGGACCCUUAAGAGAUAAGGUUGAAUAUGUUUGAAGAUUCUGACGGUGAAGAAUAGAGAAGCAAGCACAUUCCAGCUUUCUGGAUGAAAAGAAAGAAGGGUGGGAAAUGAAAGAUCUCCAAUGACAGUUUGAGGACCUGCGUCCAGUGGGGCCCCAAAUGAUAACUUCUAUUUAUUGGCCAAAAAGUUAUAUGAGCGAAUAUGUUUCUUUCAUAUAUUUUUUUCACUUCAACUUGUUUUGGCUGAGAUUCUGUUACUUGUCAAUGAAAUAAUUUUGACCAACCAUCCAGAAAUAACCACAUUUGCACUUGUGUAUAUUUCCUUCCAGUCUUUUUUUUUUUCCCUCGCUCAAUCUCUCUGCAUAGUUUUUUUUUUUUUUUAAAUGGAAGUGGAUCUUGAUCUACAAAUUUUAGUACUUUUUUUUUCCCUUCCUGAUCCUGUUAUAAAAUUUAGUGCCUUUGAUUAGCAUCUAAGUCUUUUGGGGAGAGGGCAGAAGAAUUUCUGCUGCCCCCACCCUUCCAUGUCACCCUUCUGAUCCCUGGAAGGUAUUUCAGAGGCCAAGGGGCUAUCCCGUGACAUCCACAGAUUGGCAGUUCCUUCCACGCUCAGUUCUAUACCGCUGAGCUGGAGACCAUCAGCUUUGAUAGAAACUUUGGCCUUAGGUCAGCUUGGACUCCUGCCUGGUCUUUCAAAGCACUUUCCUUUUAAAGCCUCCAAACCCAGCAUUUUCCAUAAACAUCUUGCUGCUUUUUUUUUUUUUUUAAGUGGAGAGAAAUUCAAGGGUGAGCAUAUUGUAUAUUAAUGGUGGUCGAGAGACAUGCAACAUGGACAGGAGUUUCAGGAAUCCAAAAAGGGAUGCACAGCAUGCAUUUGACUGGCAAGCAACCAUUCGGAGGAUAAUUAAAAAUUGAAAAUGCUGUAAUCACAUGGUAGGAAUUAUACCUGCGAUUCCUAAAGAAAAUCUGAGGUGAAGCAGCCUUUGCUUUAUAAUUAGCAUGAUGAAAUAAUACAGGCUACAGAACAUUUGCUAGCAAUUAUGGCUUGUUUGCUCUGCUUAUAGCUCAAAAGCAACAGCAACGUUUGUUUUGCUAAUCUCUCCUCCGGAUUUGUGAAUUAUUUGUUUUUAUUAUCUUAAAGAUAAACUGGAAAGAAAAAUCCAACACAGGGGGAAUUUUUAUAAGACAGAACACUCGAGUUGUCUUUGGAUGUGGACACCACACUUAAUUUAAUAAAAACCAAAGCAGACCAUGUUGGAAGCUCUAACGGAGGAAUGUGUUUAUAAUGAGGGAAGUGCCACAGGUCAGAAAACAAACAUGGGCUUUGAAACUGUGGAUAAUGGUCAUACCCGUGAUUCCUUAUUCUGCCGGGUGAUUCUGAACAAGUCAUAUCACCUUCCUGGAUGCUGACUGCCCUCCUCUGCCUAGUGAUAGCAAUCAUACCUGCCCAUCUCAGAGGCUAUGAAGAAUGCAGGAGAUAGCAUGCUUUUGAUUAUGAAGAGUGCUUUUAUAAAUCCAAAACGAUAACACUAUUAUAGUGUUCCGAUACUGUUCUCUAGAACUUACAGAGGGCUCGCACAUCUAACAGAUGCUGCGGUUAUAAUUCCUACCCUUCUUCCCCACCUUGUAGAUCACAGAUGUCAGCUACUUGAGUAGAGAUACUGUUUGAGGGUCAGACAGUCAGGGAUUUUAACCUCAGCGUGGGCUGUGUGACCUUAGGCGAGUUAGUGAUCUCUCCGGUCUUGGAAACAUCCUGUGUGCGGUGGAGAUAAAGAAACGCGUGCCUAAGGGUGCCUGGGUGGCUCAGUCGGUUAAGCGUCUGACUUCGGGUCAGGUCAUGAUCUCGCGGUUCAUGAGUAUGAGCCCCACAUCCGCCUCUGUGUUGACAGCUUGGAACCUGGAGCCUGCUUCGGAUUCUGUGCCUCCCUCUUUCUCUGCCCCUCCCAGACUCACACUCUGUCUCUUUCUCUCUCUCCCUGUCUCUCUGUCUUUCAAAAAUAAAUAAACAUUAAAAGAAAAAUUAAAAAAAAGAAAGAAAGAAAGAAACACCUGCCUAACUACCUGAAACCUUUCUGGUAGAUAGCAGGUACACAUAACUAAUUACGGUAAGCAGUAACACUCAAGUAUUAGGGUCAAAUAGGCUGAUAAAUGGGUACAGCAAAAUUAUAACAACAUCAUAACAGCUGUCGUGUUUUGACCACCUUCUCUGCCUUGAGUGCCCUUCUAAAACUUUCACAUGUAUUAACUAAAUGAUGCUCACAGCACUUCUAUGAUGAAAGGACUGUCAUUCUCAAUUUAUAGAUGAGUAAACUGAGGCCCGCAGGGAUGAAAUGUCUUACCCAAGACCAUCCAGCUAAUAAGUGGCCCAGCUGGGAUAUGGCGCAGGAAGUCUGGUCCCAGAGUCUGCACCUGUAACUUUCAUACUGCACUGUCUCUCUAAUUGCUAACAUUUAUUGAGUGCUUACUAUGUGAACAUUGUUCUACCACUUUUCUAAGUGGGUUGCAAUGAUUAACUCCUAAUAUUCUGAGCAAGCCUUUAUUAGAGUUAUUGUUUAGUUUUCAAAAAAUGACGCCUAGUUAAAUUUGAUUGUCAGAUAAAUGACAAAUAGUUUUUAUUAUAAGUAUGGCCCAGGCAAUAUUUGGGAGGUACUUAUACUAAGAAAAUAUUGUUUACCUGAAAUUAAAAUUAAAAUUUUACUGGGCAUUCAAUAUUUUAUCUGGCCAUCCUACAUGGGGUAGGUGGAAACUAAUCUAGUUCCUUGUGUUGAGCAGACUUCAGGAAACAGUAAUUUCUACCAUCAUUGGUAUUUUCAGGUUAUUCUGACAUCUGUUUAAAUUGUUCCCCUAGCCAACUAAAAUGAGAAGCUAUAUGCAUACAAAGAGUAAUAAUUAUGAUAUACUAAUAAAACCUUAAAAUAAUGGUGCCUCUGUAACUUGUAGAAACUAUCCAAAUGGAGUCUCAUGACAAUCCUGUAAAUAUUAUCUCUAUUUAAUAAUGAGAAAAUGGAGUCUCAGAGCUAUUAAAUAAUUUGCCAAUAAUUAUUGGCACACAAAUAAAAAAGCUAAAUACAACAUUACACUGUGGUUCCUAGGAUAUGAGAGCCGUGCCAUUGUAUCUCAGGGUUUAUAAUGACGAAAGUUAGUGGGAGUUUGGAUUCUAGCCCCAAUUUCCAUUAAUGGCAGGACACAUCUAAAAACUCAAGGCACAGUCAGCUCUAUAAAACGAGUCAGCAGCAAAAGAAAAGGCAGAUGGAAAAAAAUAACAUCUUCAAAAUCACUAUUAAAUGGUCCAAAAGAUCAUCUCACAUACUUUUUCCUUGCCCCUAGUGAGAUUUCUAUGGUGCCACAACCCUCAGGGAUAUGUCUGGAGAGUAUCCAUUUAUUUUGAAGUUUUAAUGUUUCAGGUGCUUUGAUAAGAACUUUACUACCUCCUCAAGUAACCAAGAGGUAAAAUUCUCAUUGCAUAUAUGGAAAAACCGACAUUCUGGAAAUUGUCAUCUGCAAAAGGUUUAGCUUCUGGCUUAAAAGUAACAGAGCUGAGCCUGCACCCCAGUCUUAUAUGACUUCACAACCUCUUCUUCUGAAAGAUACAUGAUACACGUGCUGCCAUGAACUAUCCCAUGCCCACUGCAGACAUUACUAGUCGAUCACGGUGUUCUUUCUCUUUGAGCCUGGAAAUGACCACAGAAUCCUUCUACUAACAUUACUCUGGGCAGCCACUACAGGUCAACGGCAGCAGACAUUCAAUGUUAUGCCGAGUAACCACCGCUGCAACACCUCCUUCUGACGCACACCUCCGUCUUAAUGGUUACGGUGAAACAAGAGUCAACUCUGCCCUCUACGUGAUGGAUGCUACCUUAAGGAGACUGUUUGGUAACUUUCAGAAAUGGAAUUCGACUGAGAUGUGAUGGUUCAGAGGAUGCAGUCCAACCGCUACUUAUACAGAGAGAGAGGAUACCAUGUGAAGAGCCCGGGGCUCUCUGCCACCAAGCCAGUUGUGAAGCCACCAUUUCCAAAGUCUUGAUGCUGCUGUGAUGGUCUGUUGCUUUCCACAGGAGGAAAACUGCACUCUACUCCUGCCAAGAAGGAAGUUUAAAACCCCACCUCCUCUCUGAGGAGUUAGAUUUCACUCUCAGACAGCAUGCUCUCACAGGCUAGUGACUGGUUUGAAGCUGAGAGUGCCCUCGGAUUGUGACACGGUACAGAUUGAGGAGGGAAACAGGCCACUCCCCUGGCUUCCCAGUCUAGAAACCAAGCCCACUUAGUUCACCUCUUUGUGCCCCCAGUUCCUCCCAUUAUCCCCCCCACCCCCAGCCCACAUAUAAUGAUGCUUUUCUUCUUUCCCUUUCUUGGGGAAGGAUUUAAGAGCUGUAUGGACACACCCGAUUCAUUGUUAGUGAAAGUUCAGGAAGAGACCGUGAACCCAGUUAGGAAUGAGCAGAAUCAAAAUGAGAGUAGGAGGGAAGGAAAAAGGGAACAUUACCCUUGCAAUAUGCCUACUGGUAAGAUACUAUAACUCAGAGAUCUCACGAUUGGGACCCCCAAAUUGUAUUUAGGCCCCAUCCUCCUCACCCUCAUCGUUGUCAAAACCGGCACAGAGCAAGUUUAUCAGGGUCAAAAUAACCUCCAGCAUAGGGAAAGUCUCUGCAGAGUCCACAAAUAAAGCAAAGACAUGACAAGCUUGGAAAGGUGGCCCGAGGGUGUGGUAAGUUGCAGGGGGUGCACAUGAGGAGAAAGGAAAACAAAUGAAGGUCUAGAGCAGGAAGCCAGCGCAGGGAGGCACCAAGUUUGAAGGGAAUGUGUAAUGUGCACCACUAUGAAGAGUGAGAGAGAGAUAGAUUGGUAAACCCUGACAUGGGGAGUGACUAGGAGCUUAGACUCCGAAGCCUAGCUCUGAAGACUGAACACAGACUGAAUCACCUCCUGCCAGCUCUGGGGCCUCAGACAAGUCACCUGUAAUUUCUAGGACUCGAUUUCCCAAUCCGGCAACAGGAACAUAAAUAGCACUUGUCCGAUGGUGCAGUUCUGAGAAUCGUGGUGAGAUCAUUUGUAUACAGUGCUUAGCACAGAGUCUGGUACCUAAAUAAUUCAGCACAUGUAAGUUGUCCCCAUAUCUAAAUAUGCCCACAAUACCUUAUUCAGACUUUUUAAAGUUGUAUAAUACUAUUUAUUAAAUUAUCCCAUUUCCCUAAAGCAUUUUCUUUAUACAUGUAGAUGUGCACAAAAGGAGAAAAAAAAUAAAGCUUUGAAAGCUAUGGACCAAACCCUGUUAACCGUGAGGACACGACGAUUGUUUUUUUCUGCUUUAUAUAUCGCUGUAUCUUUUGGUAUUUAUCUGAACUAGAAGCAUGUAUUAUUUUUAUAAGAAAACACAGAGAAAACUCUUAAAAAUACAAAGCAAAGGACUUCUGACCCUGAAGCUUGGGGUUUAAUUUGAGUUCUAAAAGGGACCAAGGUGGCUACAGCAACCUCAACAAAGGAACAGAUGUCCCCCGUCAAGGUAAGCCUUAGUCACGAGAGAGGACAAGUACUUGGCCAGAGUGUAAAUGAAAAGGAUGAAAGGGCUUCGUGAUGCAAAAUGGGACAAAACGCACAGGCUGUGAGGCUGCAACACAACACCUCGUAGUUCCCACGCCAGCAGACGAUGUGACCCACCCUCCACCGUUUUUAAUGGAGUAAGGUGCUUUGCGUCGUCUUCAAUGAAGGUAAAGUUUAUUCCUCUGCCUACAGCUGUGUCCGGACUGCACGUGAGGUGGAUGAAGUUUGGAAAAAGAGCAAUGCAUCUUGAAGAGAAAUUGUAGAGCCUAUUUGCCAAGUGAAGAAGGCUUUGUAUGGCCACCUUUGACUGAACUACUCUGAGAAUUUAAAAAUAAUUGUGGGGCACCUAGGUGGCUCAGUCGGUUAAGCCUCCAACUUUGGCUCAGGUCAUGAUCCUACGGUUCGUGGGUUUGAGCCGUGUUGGGCUCUGUGCUGACAGCUCAGAGCCUGGAGCCUGCUCCGGAUUCUGUCUCCCUCUCUCUCUGCCCCUCCCCUGCUCCCUCUCUGUCGGUCUCCCUCUCUAAAAACUAAAGAAACAUUUAAAAAAAAUUAGGGGGGAGCACCUGCGGGGGGCUCAGCCGGUUAGGUGUCAGACUUUGGCUCUGGUCAUGACCUCGCAGUUGGAGUUUGAGCCCCGUGUCAGGCUCUGGGCUAGCAGCUCAGACUGGAGCCUGCUCUGGAUUCUGGGUCUCCCUCUGUCUCUGCCCCUCCCCUGCUCGCACUGUGUCUGUCUCUCUCUCAAAAAUAAAUACACAUUAAAAAAAUAUAAAAAAAACUUUUUUGAAAACAACUGUGAAAAUAUAAAGACAGGCCUGCUGAUUGGAUUGAGGUUUUUGGAACUGGCAAUUAACCCAAGAAGCUGAUUUUAAUUGAAUGGAGAGGUAAUAAACAUUUGAUUGUAUUACUCUAGCUGCAAUCCAUAUUCCAAGUAUGAUUUUUCAGCCAAUAUUUCAUGAGUGAAAAUAACCUUCUUGCCUUUCUACCUUUUGGAGAAGGUGUUGACAAGGCACGAAGCAUCUGAAAUCACCUCCAUUGUAUUUCAGCUUCUGUCUGGGUCAACGAAACCAUAGGCUUUGUGUUCUUAAAUAACUCUGGGGUAGGAAGGUCCUCUUCCCAGGUGGCUUGUCCACACAGCUACAAGCUGGUGCUGGCAGAGGCCUCGGUUCCUUUCCACGCGUGCCUUUUCACGAGGCUACUCGUGAAUCCUCUAGCACGGUGGCUGGAUUUGGUCAAAGCAAGUUAUCCAAGAGACUAAGGCAGGUGCUGCAAUGCCUUUUAUGACCUACCCUCAAAGUCAUAAGCUACUAGCCUUGGACGUUAGCUCAGGCCAGUCCUGAUUCAAUAUGGGAGGCAAAUACGAAAAGGGGUAAAUAAAAGGAGAUGAGGAGUUUGGGGAGGGGGCAUCUUUUAGAAUGGCUUCCAGAUGGCUUCCAAUACAUAGUGACAGUUUUUAGAACCCAUCGGAAGCAAUAUUGAACAGAGAUUGCAGAGGUUAUCAAAGCCUGGGUUAAGGGCUGGAAGUUUUGAAUAAUCAAAAGAUCCAACUGUGAGGCAGGAGAUGAACAAUUUGGCCUCUAAAGUGUAUGUGAGCUCUAGUUCGGACCCAUUUCCUAGUUACCUGUAAGCUUGAGACCCUCUACUCUAGAAUUAAAUGGACAGCAGUGAAUAACUGGUUCCUUCAAUAAAAUAUUUACUGAGGGUCUGCUAUGUGUCAGACACAGAGCUAGGUCCUCUAGCUACCCCUGCCUAACAGUGCCAGCCCCAAGUAUAAACACUUACCUGAUAAAUGAAUUAUAUUUUUUCACAAGAAAAAUCAUAGGAUGCCAUGGGGAGCGAAAUGAGCCAGGCACCGUCAAGGAAGUGAUAGUAAACUCAGAAAUGAUGAGCAGGAAAGAUCUAGAGGAGGGAGAACGAGGAGGGAGUUGUUGGUGGAGGGAACGGCAUGUACGAAGGCCAUGAGGUGGGAACAUGAUAAAGUACUAUGAAUCCUGAACUUCCUGGCCUACACUCAGGAAGUUACUGAUAACUGAUUCACUCGACUCACUGCUUGAUUACUGGGAGGAAAGUCUUCAUCAUUUGAUACCAAAUUAUUUCUUCUUUCAGUUCUAGAUAAAGAUACGUAAGCUGUUUUCCAGACCCCCAAAGCACUGAGGCAAUGUUGUGAGGCACAUAUUAGGAGGAGAUAACUGCUCUUCUAGCUUAUAGAAUAGGAAAAAAAUAUACCUGAAUUAGCAAAGAAAACAUAACUGGGAAUUUAAUUGCUAAAGGCCCCGGUUCCUCCCAAUGCCUGAAAUUAAAAAUGAACAGCUUAAGAAAUGAGUGAAGUGGGUAUUUAAAUCUCAUGACCACUGACAUCAUAGGCAUCAUUGAACACAGGCAAAUCAUUACAAAGGGACUCUCAGCUAUUUGUAUGGAUGGUCAGGACCAUCCCUUUUCUGGGCUCUGAAAUGACCUCAGGUAUAAAAAAAAUCGUAAAUGAACAAAAGCAUAACCAUGUCAUGGUCCCUUUAAGAUAAAACUGGCAGCGUUUCACUAGAAAUUACUGACUGUUCCAGAAACGACAUUCUGUGUUCUGCAGUAAGGAGGAGAGCUUUUUUGUGUGUGUUUUCUUCCCUCCCAUUUGGUUACAACAAUGAGUCACCAUUACCUGCAAAGCUAGACAUGUAGAUUUGCUUCUGGUGCCAGAAAGGCAAGACAUUAGUUGGCUGGGAUUUAAAAUGAGAAGGGUAAAAAUGUUUAAUUUACCAGAUUUAAUUAAACAUGAAAGCUUCCAGGAAGGGAAACAUGCUCCCCAUCCCCCAUUCCCCACUUCUAAAAAAGUCUCUACUGAUCUUCAUUCCAAAGAGGCUACAUACAUUACAGAGCUAAUUUUUAAUGAUUUGUGUAAAGCAUCAAUUUGCCCCAAAUUAGAAAAACUGUGUAAUGACGACCGGUACAGACAGAACUCCCAAGUUUUAUCUGACAAAACCACACCUCUGAAGGAAACUUAUUUAAACGCGUUUAUAUAAAGGCUGUCUCUUCUGCCCACCUAUCUUUGGCCUCCAUGAGGUACAAAAAGGUGAGGUAGUGGAAAUAUAAGCUCAUACAUUUCCUAAGAAUAUGAUGAUUAUGUACAAUGUACAGCAGGCCUGAGUCGCCUCUUAAGACAACGUCUCUCCCCAGCCCUUUCCCCCCAAAUGAGGUCUUCCCAGGCAAGAAACCUGACUCUUAUUUUCAUAAUGCUUCAGGCAUGCAUAGCAAAGAGCAGCUCUUUCUGCCCCUGUACUUGAGACAAGACUCCUGCAUCUGAGUUGCGAAGUUAGGAUUUCAUCUCCGUGUCUUUGCGAAACUGAAUAGUCAGAAAGAAAACAAGAGUCGACUCAUUCUAUACCUUUGCAAAAAUAAAGGAAGGAGUGAAUAAUGAACGUGAGCAUAUACUUUUAAAAAUAUCUCCCUGGGAAGCUGAUAUAGAUACGGAUAUGUAUGAAUUUCAAGAUAUCCACUGGGUUCUCUGGGCACGGAUGGCUUGCCUUAUAACUAGCCCCAAGAUCUCUUUCGUGUCUGCAUAUUCACCUCAAAUUAUGUUUCAAGUCCUGAAGGCCAAUUUUCUCAGUUUUAAUGAAAUAUAUCCAAAUGUGACUCCCACGACUAAGUGACAGUGGAAGGGUAUACUUUUGGAUGCUGGAGGUGGUGGUGAAGGACAAUAAGCUGACAGCUUUAUAACAUAAAGCAGAAAAGGGGGGUGUUGAACCCCAAAUCAAGAGGAAGCAUAUUUUUUGAGUGUAAGAACCGAGUCUCUUACAAAAAAAAGGAGACAUUGUGACUGUAAGUGGGAUUUUUUUCCCCCAGUUUCUCUAAAGGGAUUUUUCAGGAGCACAUUGUUCAACAGAAAGCAUUACCUAGAUGAGACUGUCCAGACCAGAAUUGUUUUUAAUGCUAUUUUCUGCACUGUUAACACUCAACAAAUAAGCAGCCAUAUUCCAACGGUGAUCAGUCAAGUACAUUCAUUGCUCUAGUAUCUCUGCAUUCAUGGUGGCUUUCUUGAAUGCAGAUAGUCGUAAUGGAUAAAGGUAGACACUCUUAAAGAGCCAUUCAUGUCUGAGUCUCCUUAUACAUUUCCUUUAUACUCUCUGCAAAAAGACUUCUAUUCUCUUUUUGCUUUUCUGUUAAAAUUCUCUAAUAUCUUUGUUUGUUUUUUUUGUUUGUUUGUUUUCAACGUUUAUUUAUUUUUGGGACAGAGAGAGACAGAGCAUGAACGGGGGAGGGGCAGAGAGAGAGGGAGACACAGAAUUGGAAACAGGCUCCAGGCUCUGAGCCAUCAGCCCAGAGCCUGACGUGGGGCUCGAACUCACGGACCGCAAGAUCGUGACCUGGCUGAAGUCGGACGCUUAACCGACUGCGCCACCCAGGCGCCCCAUCUAAUAUCUUUGAUAUUCAGUACCAGCUUCUUCACCUUUACUUUUACAGAAAUUUUUAUAAUUGCUCAAGUUCAUUCACCUAGAGAAGACAGGGGCAUCCAGAAAGACGCCAUGAACUUGCCAUUUGGUCUACUAAACACAUAGCCCUUCAUCAAAAAAGAAUCUCUUUUAAUUUGGGAACUAUCACUUCACCAGCUUUCGGUUCUGAUGGGAAUUAGUUUAACCCAUCCACCUGCUGAAAUGAGAAGCAUGUGACCCAGCCGGACCAGUCAUCCUGCCUCCUCUGUGUGACUGGCCAGAUAAAUCCACAUAUGAUCAACGUCAGCCAGUAAGAGUCCUGUUGGGGGUUGACCCGUGGCGGCACCCCGUUGACUCUGAUGAAGAUGCACCUGGGAAGAAGCGAACCUGGAAGCUUCCAUCAAACCUGCCUCCGGGCAUCAGAGGAAGCUGACUGAGGAAAUGGAGCCCGUCCAUACUCCAAAAGAAAGAACCGAGAAAGGGAGAGAGGAGACUUUGAGUCCUAUCUCUGUCAUUGUUCACGAAGCUGUUCCUUCAGAUAUGUGAGCCACCCAUGAUUCUCCCAACUAAUCACCCUCUGUAACUCCUCUGGUAGUUCAGGUUGGGUUUCUGUAACUUCCUGACGAUGGAAGGUUCUAAUAGUUGUAACAGCAUAUCCAGAAGCAUCUUGCACAGUGGUGUGCACAAAAUAGGUACCUAAAGUAUGUGAGUAAAUUAAAGGGUAGAUAUUUAUUUAUUUAUUUAUUCAUUCAUUCAUUUUAAUAUAUGAAAUUUAUCAUCAAAUUGAUUUCCAUACAACACCCGGUGCUCAUCCCAAAGGGCAGAUUUUUUUUUAAACAAAUGAACUGUAGAAAGCAGAAGAGGGACUUCUAAAUCGCACAACUAUUUGAAUUUUCUUGUUGUUAUUGGCACUAAUAGUGACAUUGUGUCAGACCUACUGACAGUUCAGGUGUUCCUGUGCGAAGUGAUUAAAAUAGACCAAUGCCAUCCCGUGGAAAUACAACUGGAGGCACACGUAUAAUUUUAAAUCUUCUAGGAGUCAGUUUAAAAACAAACAGGUGAAAUUAAUCAUAAUAUACUAUUCUAUUUAACCAAAUAUGUAAAAAAUGUGUAAUUCCAACAUAUAAUCAAUAUAAAAACUACUAACGGGAUAUUUUAAUAUUGUGUGUGUGUGUGUGUGUGUGUGUGUGUGUGUGUGUCCUAAGUCUUAAAAAUCCGGUAUGUCUUUUACUCUUAGAGUGUAUUUCUAUUUGGACUAGCCCCGGUUCAAGUGCGCAGUAGUAACACAUGGCUUGUGGCUACUAGAGUGGACAAUUCGCUGGUUGUAAUUCUUAUUCUACCACCAACUAGUUCUAUGACGUUCAGAAACCUAUCUGCUUUAUUUGGGCCUCAGUUUCUUCAUCUGUAAUAUGGGGAUAAUGAUAAUCAUCCCUUCAUCAUAGGAUGGAUAAAGAGAGCAAGGUAAGUAGGUUGGAUGAAAUUCCCGCCACACGGAGCUGUGUUCUAGUGGGGAGCAUAGACAACUUACUGCUAUAAAUACAGGGAAACAGCAGAAUGUCAGACAGUGCCAGAAGACAAAAGGUUACAGAGAAGGCAAGUAACUCUUCGGGGGAUGGAGAGAAAGAGCGUGCUUGGAGAGAUGUAUCAGAAGGGGCCUCUCCAGGAAGGGGAUCGGUCACCUGAGAGCUCCAUAGUGAAACACAGCCAGCCGCACCACCAUCCACGGUAGGAGGCCAGGACCUGUGUUCCAGGAGCCUCAACACCGUCUUGCAGAAAGACAACCCAGAAACAGGUCGCACAGAGAGGACUCCCGUACUGUAACCCACGUGCCUGCAGCCGGCACCCGGUCAUGUUUUCAGUUUCGGUGGGAUGAAAUGCUGGCAACGGCCGCUUAGGGUCUCGCAGGCUUUUCUCGGGCAGCUGCUACAACUGUGCCACGCGCCGUGAGAAAGAAUUAAAGAGAGAAAACCCUAUUGACAGAGGAGGUGUGGGCCUCGGUGGUAUGAAAAAAAAUCAGGACCAGGUAAUCUCAGGCAACUCUGGGUUUGGAAAAGACCGGUACAGGUGCCAUGGGGCAGCCCCGACAGAUCUUCCCCUUGAGUGUGGAGUUUCGGGACGGUCCUGAGCUUGUGAGGUCCUGCAGAGACAUACUCUCUGGGCGGCGUGCCUCUUACAUUGCUGCUGCCGAGGGCCAAAUUGUCCUGGCUCGGGGCUGGGCCCACUGCUGGCUGCCUUGUUUUUAUUCCCACAGCCUGUUUCUCUUUGAAAGCAAAUUGCUCCCCAGGCUGUUUAUGACAUGUCUGAGGCAGCUGGUCUGGUAGCCUCUGGAGUGUUCCGGGUAUGCCCUACAGGUAAGGGAGCUUAAGAAGGCUAGCUGCUUCUCACAUCAACACGGGCUCCAGAAAAGGGUCUGUGCCAAGACCUUGCUCAGCACCUAAUAUACCUCAAUUCCUUUCAUCCUCCCUCAAACAAUCCCGAGAGAGGUCUUACUACCUACAUUUUGCAGCAAAGGAAACUGAGGCUCAUAAAGGUUAAGUCAUUUCCUCAAAACCACACAGCAAUUAAGUUGUGACUCCAAACUCUUUGAUAUUUCCCCUGUUCUGGGCUAAAUGGCAACAGUUUAGGCUGGAGAGAGGGGAAGUGCCGGGCAGGUCAUGUGGUAAUCUAUGGGUCUUUCAUAAGUAGGAAACUCAAGCAAGGGAAGAACUUGAACUUGAUUCUACUCAGUCUCUGACUUCACACACCCAGGUCACUAUGUGUCGAUUUCUCAUUUUGUUCUCGAGUCAGCUCCAAAGACAACAGAUAAUGCGUAGAAAAGAUGCACUUUAAGGGCAUAGGGAGUGCAUCGCUGGGAACGGAAUCUAGAGAAAGGAAGAAGGAAUUUGGAUCGCUACUGCAAAGCCAGAUGUUGAAUUCAUUAAUAGAUGCCUUUAGGAGCGUUUUUAGAAGCAAAGGAUCAUAAGAUUGAGACCAAAAUUCAGAUGAGAAAUAGAAAGCAAAAACAGAUUGCAUUAUUCAUCCUCAAAAGGUCAUCCUUCCCACCUGCGGCAGCAAGUGCAGUUUAAAUUUGGUUACGUCAUAUGGGAUCUAUACAUAGACCCACAGAAGCCUUGAAACCUACUCUACCUCUUGUCAUCCCCGCUUACUGACGCUGCCUCCUUGUCAGAUUCAGUGCUUUCUUUUUCCUUGACAUCCUUGGUUAUAUUUGAUCUCCCUGACACUCUUGUCACUCCCCCUCCUCAUUCCUGUGUCCUCUCUUGCCACCUGUGAGAUCGUAUGUGCCACGGUUCUAUUUACUGUAUAAAAAAUAAGCCCCAAACCGAGGGGCUCAAAACAACGCACGCUUAUUUCAUGAUUUUUGAGGGUCAGGAAGCCAGGCACAGCUUAACAAGGUCCUCUCUUUCGGGGUCUCUCUCAGGCCACAGUCACGGUGCCAGAGGGAGCCCAAGACCUCCCCAUGAGGGUACAAUCUGCUUCCAAACUCAUUCAGUGGUUGUUGGCAGGCAGAUUGCCCAUGGGUAGUUGGAUUGAGGGCUUCAGUCGGCAUUGGUCGACCAUUGGAAGCAGCCCUCAGUUCCUUGCUAGGUGAGCAUCUCCAGAGGGAACUUCAUCAGAGCAAACAAGAGAGCAACAGCAAGCAGAAAUCAGUCUUCUGUGAUCCAAUCCCGGAAGUGACAUCUCAUGACUUUUGCUGUAUUCUAGUGGUUAGAAGGAGGUCAAGAGAGCCAGCCCUUGCUCAAGGGGAGGGGACUGCGCAGGAGGUGGGGACGAAUGGUGGCCAUCUUACAAACCUGCCUAUCACAAAAAUCUCGUGCAACAUUUCUAUUUGGUACCAUACCUGAUAUAUCUAAAUGUCAAGUAAAUGAUGGCUGUGUUUGACAUUACAUUCUCCUGCUCUCCUACCUCUUCCACUGCCCUAGAGCUCACCCCAAGAGGAUGGAACAAUUAUUGUGGCAUUAAAUAUAAGAAAACUUAAGUUUCCAGCCCCCACACCUCUCCACAUACAUACUUUUUCCCCGUUGGGAAGCCAGCUUAAUCUUUCCAAAACCCAAAUCUGAUCAUGUCCCUUCCUGCUUAAAACCUUUCAGGGGGUCCCCAACAUCCUUAACAUACCCUUAUCAUGGCUUUGGAGGCCCUACAUGUUAGACCCAGAUGAACCCCUCCAAUCUCGUUUCUCUCCACAUCCCCUCUCUCCUUUUAUGUUGCAGCCAUACUUACCUUCUUUUAGCUCUACAAACAUACAAGGAUUUCUCUCCUCUCUCCCAGCCUGUGCUAAAUACACUCUCUCACUUCAAGCCUUUGUACGCUAAGAAAAGGGGGGGAGUUCCUUAUCUAGAACCUCCAUGAGGGCAGAGAUCAUGCCUAUUAGAUUAUGAGCCCAUCCUUAGGACCCAGCACAGGGCCUGGUGGCAGACAACAGCCACAGAGGAAAGACUGUGCCCCAUGGAAGAUGGUGGCAGAGUUUCAAUUUGCCCUGACAGCACCCCACAGGCAGAGGGGCUAUGGACCUGCCGCAUCCAGGGUUUACUUUCCGGCACCUGCCUCUUCUACUCUACCUCAUUCCAGGAUGCCUUCUUGGAGAACAGAAAAAGGUGACAUCAUAUCUUCCAGGCGCUGUGUUUCUAGGGCAGGGAAAUACAUGAAGACACAUUUGUAUCAAGUAUUAUAUUGUGAAUUCCUGACAUACGUUUUUGAACGAAUGAAGGACGUAAGGCAUCCACAUACAAAGAACACGCGUCCAUCUUGCAGACGACGUCAGCUAGCAUUCAUUACAUACUUACGACAUGUCCAGCAGGCUGCAAGGGGGUUCACAGGCAGCAACAGCAGCAAUCCCUCCUUUAUUGUUUACAGCACUGUGAGCGGACAUAAUUAUUCCUGUUUCAUGAACGAGGAAUAUGAGGCUCAGGGAGGCACAGUUACUUGUCUGCCAUCAUGCAGAUAAGAAGCAAGCUGAAUUGGGACAUGAUAAUGACAAUGACAGCUGCUGUUAAGUAAACCUUUACCAUAAGCCAAGCUUUCACCAGUACUUGAUAUGAGUCCUCUUACUUAAUGCUCCUAGCAACCCAUUAGAAUGGGGACUACCUUUAUCACUAAAUUAGAAAUGAAGAAACAGGCUCAGGAAACUUAAGAAGGCUGCCUCUGAUUACACAGCUCGAAAGAGGCUGCAUUGGAAUUUACUUUUUUCAGUGCAUAUUUUAUUACAGUGAUAUUUUAACAGAUAAUUUCACUUCCAGAUAUGGAACAUAUUAGUAUGUUAAGACAACAGGCUGAUAACAGUAGCCAAGGUUAGCCCUUUUCCCGUAAGAAAAAAAUGGUGGUAUAAAUACUUAAGAAGCUCAAAAUCAUCACUUUAAGAAAAAUGUAUCUUACAGUGAGUUUUAGUUCUACUUGAUAGGAAAACCAAAUGAACUUAAAGCCGGACAUCAAUAGGCUACUCACCGGCAUGUUAUUCAAGAAAAGAAAAACAUAUUAAUACACAAAAAUAAUGAAACGUUUGUAUUUCUUGCGUUUUCAUUUCCUAUUGUCCUAAAAACAAUUACUCAAAUGUAAUUCAGGAUUUUAUUUCUCCAGCCUGGCUGCUCACUUGCAUUCUGGAAUGUGAUAGCACAGACGUUAACUAUUCAGAAUAUCAUGACCUACUGUUUGUGGCUUUCUAGUGUUGUGUCAUGCUCCUACCCAGCCCUGGGAUUUGAACCCAGGACCAUCUGGUGCCCCAGAUCAUGCUGUUAUCACCACACAAACUACCUACGCAGGCCACAGUAUGAACCACAAACCAUGGGGAAAAUUUGUUCCUCAAAUACAAGACGUUUGAAAGCUAUUGUGUGCUUGUGCAAGAAAAGGCCACAAACUCUCUAGAUUCCAAAAAUAAUUACCCCAGGCUCCUUUGAGUCCCUUCUGGGUAACUCAUCGGGAAGAUUUCCCAAUGGUCCAAUGGUUUUAAAAGCAGACCGAUAAUCAGAAUCAGCUGGAAGGUCCUUAAGAUACAUAUUCCCAGGGGCCACCACAGACCCACAGACUCACAAUCUCCAGGCCCAGGGAUUAGGAAUCUGAUUCCAGAGGCCCCUCAAAGAUUGUGAUGCCCAGCCCGAUGAGAGCCGCCGGUUUCCCCGAGCCCGUGUUCCCUAGAAGAACACCACCCCAUGGGACUUCCAUGCCUGCCACCUCUUUCUUCACAAACUCUGAAGGAGGGUGCUUUACUGCCAGCUGGUGAUUAAGAAUAAGCAAGCUCAGCCUGAAAAUGCAUAUUCUUUUCCAGGCAGAACUUAUAAACUCCCUUUUCCAACAUUAAAAAUAAGAUGAUGAUGACAAUGGUAUCUAAAGUCACUUAUGGGGCAUCUACCAUGCACUUUAUAUAUGGCAUCUCUAAUCUCAGCAACUCUACAGGGCAUAUUUUAUUCUCCCCAAUUUUCACGUAAGGAAACCAAGGCUCAGAGAGGUUAAUUAAUUCGUCUAAAUGUGUCCUUCCAGCAAAUGACAGAAACAGGUCAUUUUAACUCCAGAGCCCAAGUUCCUUCCCUUCCCCUCUAGCUGUGUCACCUUGGGUAGAUACUUAACCUGUCAACGCCUUAAUUUCUCCCCCUGUGUAAAGAAGAAAGCAGAAGUACCUAACUCACAGGUUAGAUUAAAAGACACGAUAAACAUAGCACUCAGAGCACGGUAAUAUCAGAUAUUACAGUAGUUGGGUUUUAUACCAGGGUUUCUCAAGCACGUCUUGGAAUGCACACAUCCUCUCUAAAUAGUGUGUUAAGGACGCUGUGAUGUUCCACUGAGGAACCCAGUUUCACUCUACCUCUAGCUGGAAGAUAUAUGUAUUUCAAUCACUUAGCCUCCACCUAAUACUUUGGUCCAACCAAGAAGGAAAGGGACCUUUCACAUGCGAUUUGGAAUGGCAUUGCUUGCAUGAUCUCACCGUCCACCAGCACUUGGAAAAGGCCCUACUAGAAGAACAUACCAGUAAGAAGUACUUGCUUUGAUACUGGCUGCUAAUCCCAUGGCCCAGCUUGACAUUGUCUCUUAGCAACGUCCUGUCCUUUUCCCCUUUUCAUUCUUGUGCCUCUAACGACACUUCCUUUUCUCCGGUUUCUCUUCAGCCUCGGGCUUUCACGGCCCCUUAAGCCUCGUUUACACAGGGAGAAGCAGGAGCGAAAGGCCCCGUGCACAUAUUUAUGUUAAUAGUACUGAGGGGAGGAACAGCCUGUUCUGGGGGCUGCUUUCCAACUGUCACAUAAAUCAGUCAGAAAAAAAAAAAAAGUUACUACUUUCACAAAGACACUGCCAGAGUGGUCUUGGCAAUGCAUCAUCCCCCUGAACCCCGCCUUCUCAAGUGCCUUCAGUAACGUCUCCCUCAGUUGUCAGGAAGAGAGGAUGAAGGAUUUCAGAGAUGCGAAGGAUUUCCAAGUCAGAAGGGACCUUUGAGAUCAUCCAGUGCUAAAUCACAUGGAAACUUCUGGUAAAUACCUGUGCCUGGGGCCUUUCCCCACAGAUUCUGGUGCUGUUCUUUGGCCAUGAGGCACAGACAAGAUUUUCAAAGCUUUCCAGGUGACUCUAAUGUACAACGAGGGCUUGUGGUAUUGAUGUAGUGAUAGCCCCAUGAAGAGAGGACCAGACCUCCCUCAGAUCAUGCAGGGAGUUAGUGAUAUCGGCAGAGCCCUGACACCCUGUCACAUUUUCUCCCAUGAUGUUAUGCCGUAGCUAAGUUCUGGUGUUAACCUGCAGAAACACUAGAUGGUGGUUUUACUAGAGUUGUGCAUCCAAAUCACUGGACGGGCUCCUUCAUUAAAAAAAAAUUUUUUUUUAAGUUUAUUUAGUUUGAGAGAGAACGAGAGAGCGAGUGCACACGCAUGCAAGCAAUGAACGGAGGAGGGGCAGAGAGAGAGAAUCCCAAGCAGACUCCACACUGUUAGCUCAGAGCCCGAUGUGGGGCUCAAAGUCAUGAGCCACGAGAUCAUGACCUGAGUGGAAAUCAAGAAUCGGAUGUUUAACCAACUGAGUCAUCCAAGAGCCCCAGAAGCUCUUUUAAACUCACUUUCACCCACCUUGUUCUACCCGGACCAAUUGAAUCAGAAUUUCUUGGUGAAACCCCAGCACACAGAUUCUGAAAAAGCCUGUGGUGGCAAUUUAGAUGUGCAUCCCAGUCCAAGAACUAGCCUGCUGGAGAGACCACCCAUUUUGGAGUUAGAAAAACUUGGGUUCAUAUCUCUGGUCCAUGAAAUACUAACUGUGGUUCCUUGGACAAGUUACAUGACCUCUUUCAGCCUCAGUUUCUUCAUCUGCCAAAUGGGACCACAUAGGUAAUUCCAUUCGUCACUUUUAUAGUUCAAGAGUCAUUUCUCCUAGAAAGUCACAAGUGAGCUUUCAGAGGAAGCCAUUCACCCAGCUUUCCAGGAAAUGCUCUCUUAGAGAACACACUAAACUUCUCCUUUGUAACACUGAGCAUAACUCAGUGAUCAAGUAGUAUGAGGCUUAAUACAUGGUUUUUGAAUGAAUGAAUAAGCAAUCAACAACGAUUCAACGCAUGUAUAAUGGAUUACUCGCUCUUCGUCCCCACCACCAGAGAUGAGCUAAGAAGGCGAGCUGUCUUGUUCACUGCUGCGUCCACGGUGCCUAGUGUAAGGCAGGCUGAACAAAUGACUGAUAUAUAUGAAGCACCUGGCACAUAUCCACAGUAAAUGGAACAUGUAAUAAAUAUUACCUGUUGUAACAAUUAUCUUCAGAUAGGCCCCGUGUUUUACCCAAAGGCUCACAACAGAGCUGAGACUUGAACUCAGUCCUCUGGACCGCCAGGCUCAUUUUCAAUCCAUGAGGUCAAUCUGCCUUAAGGUUUUCCUACUGGGAGGAGGGAAUCUAGGAAAAAGUGGCAGGCUGUCUGUGCCCACUAGAAUAAGCUGGAAACCCAACGGGUUCUUGCACGCUUCCAGCCUCCACUGUGCAAUCCACGCAUGCCCACAUAUUUGCAGACAAUAGUGACUGUUAGCAUAAGCAUCUUGAUUCUUUCUCGAGAAUGCUUUGGAUCAUAAACUCCUUAAGGGCAGUAACCAUGGUUUUGGCUUCCACCACAGGCUACACCCAUGGGAACUCCGCUGUUCGCUCAUGACAGAUUGGUGGCAGCACCACUGUGUUGAUCCCAGCACCUUACACAUGGUGGGUCCAGAUACCUGUGAUGAUUUCUGGGGUGCCUGGGUGACUCAGUCCAACUCUUGAUUUCAGCUCAGGUCAUGAUCUUGCAGUUGUGAGAUCGAGCCCCACAUUGGGCUCCGUGCUAAACACGGAACCUGCUUGGGAUUCUCUCUCCCUGCCUCUCGCUGGCCCUCCCGUGGGUUGUGCACACACACACUUUCUCCCUCCCUCCCGCACCCCUCCCUCAAAACAAACAAACAAACAUUAAAAAAAAAUGAACACCGGCGGUGAUUUCUGAUUUCCCCACUAGUCAUCAUGCUGUCUGUGAUUAGGGGGAAGCUGGUGAGUGGAGGGGCCCAAGGAAGAGACGACAUUCACAUUAUUGGCUGCAUAAGCACACACUGUAGAAGGGAGUUCAGAAUAAGGCUAGGGGUGGAUGUUUCUGAGAAUAACUCUGGGUGAUUCCAUGUCUCUCUGUAUAUAUCACAUGGAAAUCAAGAGCUUUUCAAAUGUUCAUUUUAUGUGCUCCAGAUGUUAUGCCAAGUACUUUAAAGACAGAAUAUCAUUUAAUUCUGACUCCGAGUGGUUGAAAUCAUCACUGUCAGCAUUUUACGGAGGAGAACACUGAGGCUGAGAAUAAUUUGCUAAAGGCUACAAACACCAGGAUGAGCCAAGACCAGCCCUGGAAACAGACCUAAGUGAUGGUUCCAAGACCAUAAUUCAUUCGUCAAAUGUUUACUGAGCGGUACUAUGUGCCAUGUUGUUUUCUAGUUGCAAAGUAUGUGUUACAGAUGAAAGUCAAAGUCCUUGUGGGACUUAGGUUCUGUCUAGGGGAGACAAACCAUAAAUAACGAACCUAAACAUUAACUAAAUUAUGUGAUCUGUUAGAAAGUGAUGGUACUAUGGGAAAAAUAGGGUAGUGCAAAAUGGUGGGGAGUAGGUUGGAGAUGAGUGUGGAGGACAGGGUGGGAGCGUCUGUGAUAUAGGUUUGCAAUUUUAAAUAUGGUGACUGAGAGAGGCCUCAGCGACAAAGCCACAUUUGAGGAAAGAAGGAAAACUUCAAAAAGCUCUAAACUAUAUUAUGUUCAUUCUGCCCACCCCACUAAAAUGAAUGGAUGGAUGAAUGAGUGAAGUACCACUGAUUAGCACCUGCUAUGUCUCAGGUUCUGUGCUAAGUGCUUUUUCCACAACUUCUCAUCAAGUCCUUACAAUGACCAUAUAAUAACGAUAUCACCUCUGUUUUUCUGAUGAGAAAAUUGAGACCCAGAAAGGAUAAAAGAUACUGUUCAGAAUUAUUUAAUGAGUGAUGGGGCUGGGAUUUCAACUCAGCUCUUCAACUCCAAAGCCCAUGCUCUUCUUACUACAGGAUGCUGAUGAAGAGUAUGGGGUGGUUGGGGGCUGUGAACACAGAGACACAGCAUGGACCCACCUCUGACUUGAGAAAGCCACCCUGCAUCAUGCCCCACAAGGGCAGGGCAGCUGUGAGGCUGGGUGCCCCCCUGGUGAGCCAAGUGCGCACAGGUGUAGGUAGCGUGGCUGACGUACGGUGUGCCCUACAUGCCAUGUCUCCCACAUAGGUCCUCUUUUCUCCCCUACCUGGUGUGAAAUAUGUUUCUUCAGUAGUUACAGCAGAUAGAUGUAAAGAAGCAGUUCUUGAAGAGCUAUACCGUUUGCCAAUAUCAAAAAGCUUAUGGUUUCUGGAAGCUCUCCAGGAGGGCUGCUCUUUGACCAAGGACCAGUAGCACCCUGGACACUGUAGGCCAGAGGCUAAGAUCUUUCUAGGAUGCUUUUGAAGGGAGCUUUCAUAAACUUGCCGGGGUCUUGUUCUUGACCAGACAAGUGUGGCUCUCAUGAAUGAUCUCCCCCAUGUCUGGGGCCUCUUUUCCAUACACUACACUUUCUCUUUCCUAGGAACACUAGGAGCUCCACUGUCUAAGAAGACUUUACUUGAAUGCAGGUCGGCCCAGCCUACGAUGUAUUCUGUCUCCCUCCAGCCUCAUGAGGCUAGCAAUCCAGUCAUACCAAAUGACCUCCAUUUGGAAGCAUGCAAGCAAAAGGGGUGGGUCGCCUGAGUGACACUGGUCACUCAAUAAUGGACCUACUGAGACAAUGAGGCAUGCACAUGAAGUGACUGGUGUGUGAGUGCUUUGCACAUCAGGAAUGCCACAGAAUAUACUUUGGAGAUAAUAAGGAAGAGGAGAAGGAUGCUAGAAUUUUCUCACGAAUGCCCAGAGUUUCACAACCUUGGUCCAUCCUUUGACCCCAAGCCAACCCAAAAGCAUAGAUUCUGUCCUUUGUACCCACUGUGCAUACAUAUGUUGAAUAUUUAUAUAUAUAACAAUGACAACUAGUAUUAACCAAUUUUUAUGUUUUGAAAGCAUGGAUUCAUGGGCAUUUAGGUGCUACAUCUCAUUUAAGUGAUAAAACAACACAGUUAGUGGGAUGUAGUGAUUUAAAUACCUUUUUUGCAAAGGAAGAAAAUGAGGCCAUAGAAGCUCAUUGACUUUCCAAGGUCAGAGCUGGAGAAUGAUGGGAGUAUAACGUGGGGCCCUGAGUCACAUCCUCAUGUUUCUUUCCUGACAAGGAAAGGCUGUUAGGUACCAGAUUAAUUUGCAGCAAGAGCAGUAUGAUCACACUCCACUUGUCUCUCUUCUUCCUGUGUCUCUGUUUGCACGGGGUCCCUAUUCUUUCAUCCCUUCCCUUCCUGUUUCUCUCCCUCCACCCACCUUCUUUCCUCCCUCUCUCUUUUUCUAUGUCUUGGCUUGGAUUUAAAUUUAUACCAGGCUGAAAUGUACAGAAAAGCUCCAUUACCAGGUGGUCUCACCUACAUCUUCCUAUGGCAGAGACCCCAAGAGGGACAUUGCAAUGAGACCUUAGUACAUUAAUCCGGAGCUCUGAGCUGGUGGCAUGCCCGCGUGCCUCAGAGGAGGCAAAAUUCUCAUUAGAAGCAGCAUCAAUGAUGGCAUCCCGUAACAGUGUGGGCUCACACAGAGGGAGAGAAGAUCCAGGUUACCUAAAGUCAAGGCUAAAGCCCUAGGCCCUCAGGGCCCUUCCUCAUGACUCCUUUACACCAUCACACUUUGAUAUAUUUGCCUGUCCAACAUGUGUCUCUCCACUUGACUGAGGUAUGUAGGGCAUGAGGACCAUACGAACUGUGUCUGCCUGGUUAGCACUGUCCCUUUGGUUCACAGCACAGUGUCAGGCAUUGUGUGAGCCCUUAGAAAUAUGUGGGGAAUAAAUAAAUGAAUGAAUAAUGAAGGAAUGAUGGAAUAACAAGAGCUUAAUAUGUCAUUCUCUUUAGGACCACUUGUCUUUUGAAAGAAGAUUCUAAUCAAGGAUGCCUCUUAAGCCCAUUAGAAUUUUCACAAGGAAGGGGUUCCACCUGGGAGGCCAUCCUGGAGUGGAUGCCUGGAGUGGAGCGUGAUAAGAAGUGCAUCUAUCCAGCAUUUCUCAAAUGGUACCUAACAGAUGCCUUCAUAUGAAAUCAGUCUCAUCACCAAAACUAAGAGUGGCUGGACCUCAAUGAACAGGGACUUUGAGGAAGUGGAGGGGGAAAAAAGGCAGCUGGGUUUGACUUCAUUCCACCCAGAUGUCCUUUCUGUGAGCCUCUGAUUAUUCUAUCCUGAAUCUGAAGGAAACGUGUAGAGAUCUUGAGUCACAACCUAGAAGGCCAAAUUCUUAUGGGACAAUAAAAAUCUGAACCAAAUGCUGGCCCUGCUGGGUCCGUCUGUUAUUGGAAUUAAGUCCCCCUUUUCAUUUUAUUCAAACUGAAGAAACUUUCUGGCAGGGUGUCAGGUUUCAAACAGAAAUGUCAGCCAAGGGCUCAUGAGGCCAAGAUCCGAGCAAACUUGAAUCAAUUUAUGCUUUGGGUAAAACUUCAUAUGGAAUUUAGUGGUCUGGUGGGUCCAUUUGUUAAAUAUUCUUCAUUUGCAUGUCCUGGACUAAAACCCUGCAAGGAGCUGUGUAUAAAAUCAGCAUCAGAGGCCAAAGUAACCUCUUUUACCCAAAGUGAGGGUACAUCUGUAGAUGAGUGUGAAGGGCAUACUAGAGUGAUUUUCUUCCCCAAUACGAAAGCAGAAAAGAACUUGAACAUGUGCUAAGCUUGAUUCAAAUCAUGAUCUGAUACAGCCAAAAUUAACCCUAUUCAUAAUAACAAUAAUAACCUUUACUGAAUGUUUAUUAUAUGCCAGGUUCUAUACUAUGCACCCAACAUUUACUGGUCCAUUAAUCCUCGUGAUGAUUCUACAAAGUAGGUUUUAUUCCUUGCUCUAUUUGAUGGCAAACGAAACAGAGGAGCAGAACUUCCGAAAUGUGCCCAGCUUGCAAGCCAGCAAAGAUCAGGAUUGAAAGCUGGACAGUUUGCCUCCAGAACCUGUGCCCUUAAUGUUGGUCAGGGACCGGUGGGGUAAUGAAUCCCAUAGGCAGAAAUAUAAAUAUGAUGCUUACAGCAGGUUUAGUUAGAAUCUCAUACCCCAUGGGGCAUUUUUAGAACCCCAUUUUGAUGGCAGAGAUAGGUAAGCCACACAGUAGAACUGGGUUUUUCCCUUGAGUUGCUGGUAUAAAGAGAAGCACUAGGAUAAUUAACUGAAAAAUCCAGUCUUUGAACACUUUUGCUUUGUACCAAUAUUCUGGACAGAUCAGGAUUCCCCUUGUUCCCUGAGAUGUUGAAGAAAUGUUUAAAUCACCCCUUUGCACUCUUAGCAUUGGAUGGAGAUACAGCCAGGGACUGUCUAGGAUCCUGUGGCUGUGAAGAUCAGAAUGAAGAACAACACGGCCAUAAGGAGAUGCCCUGAUGGGGGACUGGCUGGCCUCACCCAUCCACUAAAUAAUUCACAAUUACACACUUGCUCUUUGCAGCAGGCUUGAAUCAAACUCAAACCUAAUCAGCAAACAGAUGACAAGAUGCCCGACUGCAGUAAUAUGGAUGAAAAUGCAAAUUAAAUUCUAUUUUCCACAUAUCAUUUUGGCAAACAUUUCUAAGUUUGAUAAUAUCAAUCACAGCAAUGGUGAGCGAAAACAAGUCCUUUCUCCUGAUGAAAGUGUGAAUUGCAAGAGCCAUCUUGGAAAGCAUUUUGGAAGUAUUAAAAAUGUAUACCACCUGUGACCUAGCAAUUCUGUUUUAUACAUAUUCAUAAGAAUGUUCAUUACAUUAUCAUUCAUGGUAUCAAAAAGUUAAAGAUAGCUGAAUGUAAUACAUCCAAACCACAGAAUGUUAUACAGCUCAUAAAAAGACAGAUAUUUAUGUACUGACAAUAAAAAAUGCUUAAGACACAGUGUUAAUUUGAAAAAUCCACGCAGCAUGAUAUUAUCCAAUGAUAUUAUCACACACACACACACACACACACACACACACACACACACACACACACCAAUGCAUAGGAGAAAGGAAUGAAAAAUAUACACCAAGCUCAGAGAUGAGAUUACCCCUGGGGAAGCCCAAAGAAUAGACAGCAAUGGUCACAGGUACUGUCAUCAUUCAAUCAUUCAACAAAUAUUGUCUAGUGUCUUCUGUGUUCAGCAUUGAUGCUACUUUGUGAUCAACAAAACACAAAAAUCCUUGCAACCAUGAUACCUGUGUCCUGGCAUUGCUGUUUUGUUAUGUUUAUAGAACAAGAAUGUACUCAUAAUACUUGUGUAAUUGAAGAUAAGUAAAAACAAAAGCAAAUUUAAAAGCACAUUUUUCUAUUAACAAAAUGUCAAGUGCCUGUUUUGGCUUUUGAGAGCCUUUUCAAACAGUUCCAACCAUAAAUGUGUAUCGGUGACUGCCAUGUGGCUAAUGAAAUUCCUCCAAGGACCCCCUUGGAUGGUUGGCACAGAUGGGGCACAGUGACAAUUUCUUAUUGCACAAUGGCAGGCAGAAAGUUGGUCCGAUCCUUCAUUAACAUUUGUGGGAGCAUCAUUAGACACAAGUAGCACAAAGUGGACAUUGGGUGCUAAAACCCAACCUGAUUAUACAUAUAUUCACCAAAAUACAUGUACAGGAUGGUCUUAGCACCACUAUUCAUAGUAACCCCAAACUGGAAACUGUCUAUCAACAGUUGAAAAAAUGAAUAAUGUACUAUAUUCAACAAAGAAAUAUUACACAAAGACGAAAAUGUAUGCAUGAUAACUAUAUGUAACAAUGUGGAAGAAUCUUACCAACACAGUGUUGAAUGAAUGAAUCCUAGUAGAAGAGUAAGACACCACCUAAUUCCAUUUAUUUAUAUGACAUUCAAUAGCAAGCAACAAUACAUGACACCGGAAAACAGGAUAGUGGUUAUCCUUGGGAGGGAGUAGUAGCUAGGGUGCAUUAUGAAGACUCUGGAGUGUGCUAGAGCUAUUCAACUUCUUGCUCUGGGUGCUGGUUAUUUGGUACGCAUCAUUUAUGAAAUAUGUAAAACUGAGUUUUACGGUUAUAAUCUGUGGCUUUUUUUAUAAAUAUAUUCUACGUCCAUGAAUAGUUUACAAAAAAACAAGGGGUGCCUGUGUGGCUUAGUCGGUUGAGCUUCUGAAUUUUGGCUCAGGUCAUGAUUUCAUGGGUUCGUGGGUUAGAGCCCCACGUCUGGCUCUGUGCUGACAGCUCAGAGCCUGGAGCCUGCUUCAGAUUCUGUGUCUCCCUCUCUCUCUGCCCCUCCCCUGCUCGUGCUCUGUCUCUCUGUCUCUCUCUCAAAAAUAAACAUUAAAAACAAUUUAAAAAAAUAGUUUACAAAAGACAAAAUUAAAACCUAAAACCCUAAAAUCUAACCUGUUUCUUGAAUCUCAUCUUGGGCAAGUCACACGCCUCCUCGGGGCUUCAGUUUUAGCAUCUAGAGAAUGGAAGGAUUUGCUAGCUGAUCUGUAUAGGCCCUUCCAAAUGCAUAGUUCUGUUGUAUUACUUCUUCAAUUCCAAUACUCAAUUUCUGAAGCAAUAGGAAAAGAAGAGAGAAAGUAAGCCUUGGAUCACUUGCUAUCAGAAUUUGUAGAAGGCUUACAAAGUCACAUGUAUCCCAUUUUCAAGGCAUUUGUUGUAAAUUAAAGACACAAUUAAUGAACAAGAGAGGUUCUGUCUUCCAGGAAAAUGUACGGAGUUCAUUCUUUCCCAAAGUGCUCAUGGGAUAAGUGUGAAUAUGCCAAAUACUGCUUUCUGCCAAGCCUCUUCCUAUCAUGCCAAUUCACAAACCCUGCGAUGGGGGAGUCAGCAAUUGCAGAGGUGGGGCUGUUCCUGGUAGGAAGGAGGCAGCUACCAUGCUCACAACCUACUGCUGUUUGAAUAGGCACUUCCUCUAUGAGGGGAGUUGGUUCGUAAUUUUCCUCUUUCCGCUACUGGAAGUCCUUGAAUGGCAACAUCACAGCUUGUACCCAUUCACAACAGGAAAGUUUGACAUCCGCAGACACUCUUGGCACGAGAUGAGGAAAAGUCCGGUCCUGUGUGUCAGCUUCUAUAUUAGAACCAGGAAAGUAAUUUCUAUAGUGUAGACCAUGCUGUAAUCUUCACACAAAAUGUUGGGCUCUAAGGACUCUAGGGAGUGUUUUCCUAGUUGUAGCCACAACUCACUGACAUUUGCAAGGCAGGACCCCAAGGAGGGCAACGGUUUAAGGACCCAAACAGACACCCUUUAUUAACUCUAACCCCAAGGAAAGGUGAUUUGGAAGUGGGAAACAACUUCUAUGGAGUGUGCUCAUUGUAGGGAUGUUACCCUGUUCAGGAGAACUGAGUCUCAUAUAAAAGGUGGGUUCUCACAGGAAUACUAAAGUUAGCAGCUGAAAAGAGGCAAGCACAAAAUCUGACAGGGGGCUUGGGCAUGUAAAUCAGCUCUUCUCAAAUGAUCACAGGUGAAGGCCAGUUUUGUUGUUUCCUUUAAUUUUGUUUGGUUAAUUAUUUCUACAAAUUAUUUCACUGUUAUUAUUUUAUUGUUUCUAAUCUAAUCUAGUCAAUACAUUUUUCAAAAAUAUAAUAAAAAGGAACGAUUAAAAACAGAAUAAGGAGACAGGCAAAAUAGAAGCCCCAAGUUCUGAUUACUAGUUUCAACAGACAUUAUUCUGUCAGGUGGCUGGAAAGGCUCAUAAAUGCUUCUUCUUGAUCUGGGUGCUGGUCAGGUAAAUGUGUUUAGUUUAUGAGAAUUGUUUGAGCUGCGUGCAACGUCUCUAUGUAUCCACUGUUAAUCCAUGGCGGUCUGGGGAUCUCUGGACCAUGGCUCACUGGAUGCUUUCUCACACUUCCAAGAGCAUUCUUCUUUGGGAAUAAAGAGAAUGAACACAAUGGCCAAUGGCCAAUGGCCAAGUAGGGGAAAGAAUAUUGUGAUAACAAAGGUGACUCAAGAGGAUGGAAGAACAGGUAGGAAAGUAAAUUUCUCUCAGAAAGCAAGGUUUUAAUGAUGAAGCAAUUUUGGGUAAUGAUGGGAGAAACCUGUUGCUGUCAUAAAAAAAGGACGAAAGAGCAUCAGUAAACGGCCAGAUUAAUUCUGUACAAGGACGCACAGAGAUCUCUGCUCACUGUGUUGGAUAAAUCCAGGUGCUAAUCGGCAAAUAUGCACCACGUGACAUACUAAAGUUCUUGUCCAGGUCAACCCUGGGACACUGGGCAGGUCAAGCAUCACUUCUGUCUGCUCAUUUCCUACUCAAAGAUUGCAGAUGGAAAACCAAUUUUUACAAAACCAUUUUUCCUGUUUCACCAAAGACCAGAUAUAGAGUUCAUGUCGAUAUCCUCACAGAUAGUGAUUCUUGAAAGCAAAUUUAGAAUGAGGGAAAAUUACCACAAAACAUUAGGAGAAUAAAUUGUAAAACUAUUUAAAGUCACAGGGAUUAUUUCUCACUGAAGCAAGCCAACCCUUCUCGUAUCGUUCUGGUAUCUUGGACAAGAGACUGACUUAAGUAGGUAAGACACAAGACUGAAAUCCUACAGGCAUUUGAGUUUCUAGUCCAAGGCAGCUGUUGGGUGAUAUCACCCAGUGCGAGAACAGCCAUGUGUGGAGAGAAUUAGCAGAUGAAAAGCAAGUAAACUCGAUAUGGGGUGUAUAAACGUGCUUUCUCCGUCUCUUUCAAUUCUCCUUAUAGAUAGACACACCUAAAAGUGAAGUUACAUAUGUAGAUGUUUAUACAAAGCAUAAAGGACACAGAAAGGGCCUGAGACAUAGAAAACAGUGGAGGAAGAUAAACAUUUCAUGAUUCAGAUCAUGUUGCUGCCCCAAUUCAUAGAGUCUCUAAGGGAAUAGCGAUUCAACUCUUUCUAUUGAACUCUCAGCUUCCUUCUAAGGAAGAAAGAGUUUGCUAUGAGCAAAGGAAGUGCCAAAAAAAAAUGCCAAUUUGUGUCACACUAACAACUUUCUUAAGGCUGAAUGUGGAGUUCGUAAACUCUUGGCUAUAGUGAGUGCAGACGGCCUUGGGUUCUUCAGAAGGACUGUGGGAAAUCUGAGAGGAGAUCAAAUUAGACACCCACUGAUCAGAAAAUGUUCUGACAUCAGAGUUUUAUUUGCAACAAGUGGCGGGGUUAACUCUUCCAUGGCACCUGAGGUGAACUCAGAAAAAUGGAAUCCCUGAAACCAUGUUUGGGAAUGAUUUCACUGAAGACAGACAGAGAGAGACAGCAACUGCUGGAGGGAGGACAGGACAGCAAGCAAACCAAAGUGAGACUCUGUAAUCGAGACGACCUGUGGGGAAAAAUGGAAAAAGAACAGUCCAACUUGCCUGCCUCAGACAAAACAACCUUCAAAGGCUACCUUCCUCCUAGUUGGUGGGGUACAGUCACUUAGAAUAACUACCAGUGCAUGAUACAUAUUUAAAACUCUCCUUUCUGGGUUUAUAAUUUUCAUAGAGGCAACUUCCUGCAAACUCCAGUAAUGAAUGUAAGAUGAUGCUCCUUUGGGGGGUUGUAAAGACAAUCUAAGAACAAGUCAUUUCAGAGGAACAAACUUCGCAGCCGGAGAUCAUUUCCAUUGCAUAAUGUGCUUAUCCUUGAAGCGUUCAUUGUUGCACUCUUACCCGGGUGGGUCAUUAUUUUACUUACCUCAUCAGGGAAAUCAUUGUUUAAAAACCGAACAUAAACGGUGAAAUCGUUUUCUACUUAUCUUUUCCAGGAUAAUGGCUUCCCUCCCCCACUUCCCGCCACACAAGGGUUAGGCCCAUGUGGGUGAUGAAUUGCUCCAAGACUCUGACAGUCCCAGAGAGAGGGACGAGAGUAAAAAUAACUAGCUGAUUACCAAUAGGGAGCAAAUUGGCCACUUGAGAAUUCAGUGGCUAGAAUGACAAAUGAGAAAAUGAAAAUCCUCAUCAAGAGACUAGACUUUCUGAUUAGUCCAAGUGCUGAUGACCACUUUUCAUGCCUCUCCCUCCCUGCUGGGUGAUGAUUUACAUCUGAUUGGACAUCAUCUUGUAUUUGGGGCAGUCGUUUCUAAAAGGGUGUUUGGAAGACUUUGAAGUACUUAAUUAUAACCAGGAGACAUUUGGGGGCUGAGCAGUGAAAUGGAAGAUGCUCUGUCUUUGGCUGUGGAAUGUUCAUUUAUACAAGGAGCCCAUGUCUGGUUGGUUUGGUCUGGUUUUUCAUUCCAUCACCCCAUAAGGCAGCCUUCCAAGGUUUUCUGGACUCUAGAAGAAAAUAAAAAUGAGAGUAUUCUUGGCUAAGGGAUCCACAUGCAAGGCAGAGUCAAGGAUUUCAAUAUGUGGAUAGACUGGGCUUUCUGUUAAUAGUCAACUACUAAAAAUAGAAAUAGUUUGGGAAUCCUUUGAAGAGAGGCCAUUUCUACUAGCCCUGAUUUGAACAAAUUCAUCAAGUGAGGGAGGAGAUUAGAAAGUGAACCAUAGACACGCUAGCUGUUCUCAAAAAGCUUAAAUAUAUCAGGGGUGCUAAGUCAUAGAUACAGAAUGAGAUAAAACAUGACCAUGAACCAUGAGCCCCCCAUUUGGGGAUAGCCAUAUGAGCUGUAAGAAUGAAGAGGAAAAAGAGGGGAUUUGAAGUUAGGUAAUCAGGAUAGGAUUCAUGGAGAAAAGUGAUAUGACCCAGGCUUUGAAAAAUGAAUAAAACUAUAGUAAAUUUCUAGGUGAAAAGAGCUUCAAUGAACAAUGGUACUAGUAUUUGUUUGUCUUAAUGAUUUGGUAUGGAGUGAAUUGAAUGGUUUAUCUUGUGCAAAGGGGGUGUACAAAGGUGACUCUGAACAUAAGUUUCCCAUGUAUGCAUGGGCAGGGAAUUACGUUUGGUCUUAAGAGCCUGGAAGAACAUUAAAGGUUCUGAGCAGAGUUAGAACUCUGUUAGAGGUCUGUUAUCUUCAUCUGAUGAAAAGAAAGCAAAACAUUGUUCUCUGGAACUUCACCAACAGGUAUGAUCAACAGAUAAGACUGCCAUUUUGAUUCUUCUUUGGCUUUCACACUUGUGCUCUGGAAGAGAAGAAUGAAUAACACAGUGCCUAGCAUAUAGAAAAACUCAACAAAUGCUGACGAUCGGAUGAAUGAAGCUGAAAUUAUUUAGAAUCAGAGUACUUCUGUUUGGUAGGACAGUUCAAAAACAUCUGAAGUUACCUCAGCCCUCUCAAGAAGUAGCAAUGAAUAAUUUGAAAAGAACAAAAUUAGGACUUAUGUGAACUUAGGCAUUUAACUUCACCCUCUUGGGUCUGAAUUUUCCUCACAUGAAAAGACAAGUUUUAUGAAUGGGUUCUAACUGCAGAAAGUUUUUUGUGAGAAUAUUUUGGGAGAGAGAUGCCAUUCCCAGUUUAUGUUGGAGACUCAGAGGAGCAUAUAUCCAAAACAAGGCUGAGGACCAGUGGACUAUGUUCCUUUUAAACUCAAAGAGGCUGUGAUUCUGAGUCCAAGGAUAAUUUACUUCCUGGAUGGACAAAUGGAACAUCUGAUGAUACCAUAGCUUUGCCAAUGUUAUCACCUUGCAGGAAGCCUGUUUCUGAUUGGGUUAACCAAAAUAAAGAGGAAAAUUUUUUUCCUGUCAACCCAGCUUUAGAUUCCCCAGCAAUUUAAGGAGAAUUAUUGAUCUGAUCAGCCAUACUGGGGUGUAAGCGACCAUCAAAAGAGAUGAAUCAUUGAAAGACACCUGCUCCCAUCAGAACAUGACAUUGGCAAUGUGUAACCUCCAACAUAGUCCUUUUUUGUAGAAUUUUCUUUCUCUAUAUCUACUUCCUUUUUUUUAUACUGGCUUCUGUUAUAAGGUUAUUGGAAAGAAUAACUAGUUAAUGAUGGGGGAAAAAGCAGUUGGGAAGAUUAUAUACUUUUGUACUCAAGACUAUUGUUUAAAAACAAUAUGCAAUAAUAUUUUUGCUGAAUGUACACACUCAAAGUCACUCUGAUCUGGGGAUUUGUCCAGACAAAUAUGAUGCUGACCAGAUGAAGUAAGAGCAGUUAAAGAAAAUGUUAUUGUUCCCCAGAAGCUAUAUCAUCAGUGUAAAACUCCAGCAUGGAAAGCUACUUCUGCCAAUUUAUAAUGAGGCAAGACACUUAUUAAUGAUUUUUGGCUUAAUAUAUUAAUGAAUAGAAAUCCGAGGGGUAAAGGACUUACAAUGUAAUAAGGAAAACUCAAGAAAAGAUUAGGCUCUAAUCAAAAUAGACUGUUUUUAGACUGAUUUUCAUAAAUUUAACUCUUUUCCUUUAUUUAUACCAAAAAGAAAUGCAAUGUGGAAAGCUGAUUGCUAUCACUGAAAAAAAAAAGAAUGGAUAUUAAAUUUUAAUAUAAUAUUAAUAAGCUGCAGAUGCCAACUUACAAGAAGAAACCAUAUAUAGGCAAGAAUAUAAAUUCUUGGAGAGAAAAUUUUCUGCCUAUAAAUAUUAAGAAAUUUAUUUUCUAUUUUUUGAAUAGUAAUUUCCAGGUUUAACUGAAAAGCUGAUUAGAAAAAGCACCAUUGGAAAAAGAGCUAAAAUAGUGAUGUUUUGAACAAUGACAAUAACAUUUAUUAUGAUUACCUUUUCUUUCUAUUCUUCCUCCCUCUCAAUCCCUUCUACUCUAAUAAUGAUGUUCCUUACUAUUCAUUAGGCAAUCUAGACUGAGGAGAGACAAUUUCCUCUAAGAAAAUGUGUUAAGAACUUUUGUUUACCUCACGAAUAGAGUUCUCCGGAUGGCACUUUCCAAUAGUGAGUCAAGAUCACUCUAUUUGCCACUUAACUAUUCUAGACUUGUCCAUAUUUUAGUAUUUUACCUCUUUGUCAUGAAAGCAGAAACUUCUACUCCAUCUGUAAUUUUCUUGCUUCUACUGACAACAACAGUUGUUUAUUAAAAGUACCUAGCAACCAAAUGUCUGUUUUCCACUGUGCAUAGUGACUUGUUUCUAGUCACCCAGAAAUGAACUUAUGGGUUAACUCCAGCCUGAAGCGGUACCAUAGGUUAUAAGUAACAAAAUGUUUAGCUCAAUGUCCCAUAGUGUCAGCAACAGGAAGUGCGUGAUAAAAACCUAAGUAAAGCUGAAAAAUGGCCCGAAUUGCAGUGGGCUUUAUGGUACAAUCCCAGUGGGGGUCCUGUGGUUUUCCACAGUACCGAAUCUACUCCCAUAUCAUUGCUUAUAAGUUCUGAGAAGAGUUGGCUCAGUGUGUGUGUACCGUGAUAUUGAUUUGUUAUUCUAAAAAUUACUGUAUAUAAUAACUUUUUAAAAAAAAUAUACUGACCUGAUUCUACUAUGGUCAAAAGGAGGGUAACACUGGGGACAGAUUUUCAUCAUAGCAAACAACCAAGGGGGAAAACAUGGAGACAGUUACAAAGGGGAUAAACUAGGCUUACCUCUGUUGAGCUCUAAUUGACUGCUUAAGGAUGAGAGGAUCUGACUGUAGAUGAUUUAUUUACCCAAAUAAAAAAAACACACAAGGGCAUUUACUAAAUGCCUUUAGCCAUUUAGUUUAUGGCAUGUUUAAAAGCCAACAAGGACUUUAAUUUUCUAGUAGUAUGGAAUCACUGGCAUUUUCAUGUCAAGACUGUGACUAUACAUUAGUUCUACAGUAGAUGUUAAUGAAACCUAUAUUAUGGUUGGAAUCUCCACGGGAAACUUAUAGAAUUUUGUGGUGUUUCUUCUUCAGUAUCUGAAACAUAGAAUGGAGUUUUCUCUGAACAUCUUUGUAUUUGUGGAGGUUAAGUUUGCAAUGCAGAGACAUUACAUCUUGAAUGUUUCAUGGUGUCCUCAAGAGGUUAGGGAGAGUGACUGUGGUUUUCAAACCAAUGUGAUGGGCUCCUAAAAUGCACACUAAGCUCUAAGGGAUUCUGUGCUCCUCAUUCAUUCUUUAUGAUUAUAUCUCUCUUAGUGUAUGGUUUUCUUUAUUUCAGAGCCGAGAAAACUCGGUUUCAGCAAAGUUAAUCAGUUAUCCACAACGACACAGCUAAUAUACAUUCAACCCAAAUGAAUUCCAUUGAUUUAACAUCUUGAGAAAUUUCUGCUAGGAUCCUAAACGGGCUGUACCCUGAGAGUCUACCUUGAAGGCUCUCAAAACAAGUAAAGACUUAACUGAAUACCAGAGAAGAAGGAAAAGUGAGACCCCCACACCUAUAUUGUUGAGGUGUGUGUGUGUGUGUGGUUUUUAGCUUCAGGUCUGUUAACUGUGUUUCUCGGACUUAGGGGAAGUCACUGUGGAUGCCUUUCUUUUCCUUAUUUGUUAAAUUGAGGUGGACAGAAGAGUGAAUGGAUCAGUUCAACUGCAUGCAAUCUUAGGGCUGAUGCUGAAGGAUUCCAAUGUGUGUGUUUACGCCAAAGCAUGAUAUGUAAAAGUCUGGAAAAUACUGUAGCUUCCAGGUCUUCUUUUCAAGGUACUUGCCUUUUCUCCCACCUCUCAAUUGGGGAACUCCCAAAGUUCUACCCCAAACCCUCAGUUCUUCUCUAGCAGUGCUUUUUCCUUGGGUGGUCUCACCCUUUUCUAGCUCUUGUUUUAAAGUCUGUAUUGUCUGAUAUUAGCAUAUCCACAUCACAUCCUUGUAGUUGCUAUUUUCAUGAUAUAUCUUUUUACAAACUUGUUCUCUCUCUCUCCAUAUAUAUGUGUGUAUAUAUAUAUAUAUAUAUGUAUGUAUAUAUAUAUAUAUAUAUAUAUAUAAAAUCUUUGAAUCCAAAUGAUCUCCUGUAGACAGCAUACAGUCGGAUCUUGUUUGGUUUUUUAGGGGAGGGUGGGGGAGAGGGGAAAGAUGGGUGAUAGGCAUUGAGGAAGGCACUUGUUGGGAUGAGCACUCAGUGUUGUAUGUAAGUGAUGAACCAUGGGAAUCCACCCCGAAAACCAAGAGCAUACUUUAUACUCUGUAUGUUAGCCAACUUGACAAUAAGUUAUAUUUAAAAAAUAAAAUCAAAUACAAUCUAAAAACCUCUGCUUUUGAACUGGAUUGUUUGAUCAUGCAUAUUACAUGGUAUUAUUGAUAUGGUUGGAUUUACAUCUGCCCCCUUGGUUUUUGAUUUUCUAGGUCUCAAAUUUCUUUGCUCCUCUGUUUCUCUUUUACUGUCUUCCUUUGUAUUUAAUGGAUAUUUCCUAGUGUAACAUUUUGAUUUCACUCACAUUUCAUUGCAUUAAAAAUAUUUUCUUAGUGGUUACUCUAGAGCUUAUAAUAUACAUUUUAGCUUAUCAAAAUCUACUUCAUAUUUUUAGUAGCUUAGUUCCAGUGAAAAGUAGAAACUCUACUUCUAUCAAGUGCUGUUCCCCCUUCCUUUUAUGAUUUUUCUACACAUUUGAUCUAAAUAUGUUACAAACUAAACAAUGCAUUGUAAUAAUCAUUACUUUAUGUAAUCUUAUGUAUUUUACAGGCCCUGGGAGAAGAAGAGCAAGUACCUAUUUAUAGAAUUUAUUAUAUUGAUCUUUUUACCAUUGCUGAUUCAUCUCUAUUAUUCCUAUGGAUUCAAUUAUCAUCUGGUAUCAUUUCCUUACCCCCCAAACAGCUUUAUUCCCAACCACCUCCCUUGUACUGUUGCUUUCGACUGCAUUCCCUUGCUGUACAGUAUAAGCCCUUCAGUAUAAUUAUAUAUACAUUGUUUUAUAUAUACACAUUUACUUUUUAAAAUAGGUUAAGAGGAAAAAGGGGGAAAUAAUGCAAUUACAUUGUCUUUUUUGUCAUUUUUUUUUAAUUGAGGUGAAAUUGACAUAACAUAUAAUUAACCAUAGUAAAUUAUAGAAUUCAGAAGCACUCAGUGCACUCACAAUGUUGUUCAACCACCACCUUUUCUAGUUUUAAAGCCUUCCAAUGCCCCCCCGAAGAAUAUUCCACAUCCAUGAAGUAAUCACCUGCCAUUUUUCCCUCCCCCCAUCUUCUGGCAAACACUAGUCUGCUUUGUGGCUUCUAUGGAUGUAUCUACUCUGGAUAUUUCAUAUAAAAGGAAUCCUACAAUAUGUUUCUAGCUUCUUUCCCUUAGCAUAAUGUUUUUGAGGUUCAUCCGUGUUGUAGCAUUUAUCAGUAGGUUCAUUCCUUCUUUAGGACUAAGUAAUACUUCAUUAUAUAUAUAUAUAUAUACCACAAUUUGUUUAUCCACUCAUCUGCUGAUGAACAUUUGGGUUGUUUACAGUUUCAUCUUUUGGCUACAAGGCAUGAUGCUGCUAUCAACUUCCACGUACCAUUUUCUAUGCAGGCAUGUUUUUAUUUCUCUUAGAUAUAUGCUCAGAAGUAAACUGCUGUGUCAUAUACUAAUUCCGUUUUUACUAUUUAAAGAAAUACCAAAUUAUAUCCAUACUGCCUGCACCAUUUUAUAUUCCUAUCAGCAGUAUACACGUGUUUCUAUUUCUCCACAUCCUAGUGAAUUGUUACUAUUCUUGGUUUCCCCCCACCCCACCUUUAUAAUAGCCAUCUUAAUGAGCAUGAGGUGGUAUCUCAUUGUGGUUUAAUUUGCAUUUCUUUCAUGACAAUGAUAUGGAACAUGAUUUCAUGUGCUUUUGGUCAUUGGAAUAUCUUCUUAAAAGAAAUAACUUUUCAAGCCCUUUGCUUUUUUAAAAAAUUGGUUUGUCUGUCCUUGUGUUUUUGAGUUGUCAAAAGACUUUAUUUAUUCUUAAUAGUAAAGUGUCCCUUAUCAAAUAUAGGAUUUGCAAAUAUUUUCUCCAUUCUCUAGAUUGCCCUUCCACUUUCUUGAUAAUAGUUUUCGAUGUAUGAAAGUAUUUCAUUUUUAUGAAGUCAAAUUCGUUUAUUCUUUUUUUCUUGCUCAUGCUUUUGGUAUCAAAUCUGAGAAUUCACUGCCAAAAUGAGGUCGUGAAAAUUUACCCUUAUGCUCUAUUCUAUAAUAGCUUUAUUAUUUUAGUUCUUAUAUUUAGGUUGUUAAUCACUUUUAGUUAAUUUUUAUAAAUGGAGUGUGACACAGGUCCAGCUUCAUUCUUUCCUAUGUGUACACUCAGCUGUCCCAGCACCAUUUGUUGAAGAGACCAUUCUUAUCCUAUUAAAUGAUCUUGGUUCCCUUGUUGAAAGUCAAGUGCCAAUAGAUUUUUGGGUUUAUUCUAAACCCUCAAUUUUUUCCUGCUGUUCCAUAUGUCUAUCUUUAUGCUCAUACCACAGUUUUGAUUGCUGUAGUUUUGUAAUAAGUUUUGAAAACAGGAAAUGUGACUCUUCUACUGUUUUACUUUUUCAAUAUUGUUUAAUCUAUUCGGGGGUCCAAAUAGAUUUUGAGGAAUAUUUUCAAAUUUGAGGUGUAUCUUCCCAUUUCUGUAAAAAGGCCACUGGAAUUCUGAUAGGGAUGCACUGACAUUGUAGGUUGGUUUGGGGAAUAUUGGCUUCUUAUCAACAUUAAAUCUUCUAAUUCGUAAACACAGAGUCCUUUCCCAUUUAAUCAGAUCUUUAAAAAUUUCUUUCAGCAAUGGUUUGUAAUUGUCAACGUACAAGACUUUCAUCUCCCUACAGUACUCUUUUGGAGGCUAUUAUAAAUAGAAUUAUUUCCUUAAUUUUCUUUUCAGAUUGUUCGUUUCUGUGUAGAAACAUAACUGAUUUUGAUUAUGUACUCUGUAAUUGUGCCGAAUUUCUUUACUAGCUUUAAUAGUUUUUGUAUGUGUGUGUUCUUUGGGCGUUUCGCUAUAUAGAAUCAUUUCAUGGGCAAAUAGCAAAAGUUUUACUUCUUCCUUUUCAAUUUAGAAGGCUUUAUUUUUUUUUCUUGCCUAAUUGCUUUGCCUAGGACUUCUAGUGCAUUGGGCAACAGUAGUGGUGAAAGCCUACAUCCUUCUGUUGUUCUUGAGCUUAGAAGGAAAGUUCUCAGCCUUUCACCAUUGACUCUGAUGCUAGCUGUGGAUUUGUGGUAAAUGCCCUUUACUGAGUUCCAUUAUAUUCUUUAAAAUGUUUACUCUUUUUUUGAGAGACAGAGAGACAGAGCAUGAAUGGGGGGAGGGGCAGAGAGAGAGAGGGAGACGCAGAAUCCGAAGCAGGCUCCAAGCUCUGAACUGACAGCACAGAGCCCGAUGUGGGGCUUGAACUCAUGGACCGUGUGGUCCUGACCUGAGCCGAAGUCAGAUGCUUAACUGACUGAGCCAGCCAGGUGCCCCUUCUUUAAAAAAAAAAUUAACACAUUAUAUUCUUAAUUUAUAAAAUUUUUUUUAUCAUGAAAGGAUGUUGAAUUUGUCAAAGGCUUUUUCUGAAUCUACUGAAAUGAUUAUGUGGUUUUAUUCCCAAUUCUAUCAAUAUAGCAUAUCACACUAAUUAAUUCUUUUAUGUUAAAAGGCACGUUUAUUAUGUUUGAAUUCCUGGGAUAAAUUCCAUUUGGACAUAGUAUAUACUCAUUUUAGCCCACUGUUGUAUUUGGUUUGUUACCAUUUUGUUGAGGUUAUUUGCAUCUAUAUUAAAAGGGAUAUUGGCCUGUAGCUUUUUUUCUUGUGGUAUCUUUGUCUGGUUUUGUUAUCAAAGCAAUGCUGAUGUCAUAGAUUACUUUAGUUAGUAUUCCUUCCUUUUCAAAUUUCUGGAAGAGUUUAAGAAGGAUUGGUGUUAAUUCUUCUUUAAAUGUUUGGUGAAAUUCACACUGGAGAUUUCUGGUCCUGGACUUUCCUUUGUUGAGAUAUCAUUUACUACUUAUUCAAACGCUUUAUUUGUUCUAUGCUGUGGUUGCUAUUUUCUUCUUGAGUCACUUUUGGCAAUUUGUGUGAUUUUAGGGAUUUUUCCAUUUCAUGUAGGUUACCCAAUAUAUUAAUUGGAUUAUAAUUGUUCAUUGUAUUCUCUUACAUUCCUUUUAUUUCUAUAAAGUAAGCAACAAUAGCUCUACAUUCAUGUCUUAUUUUAGCUAUUUGUGUUUUCUGUGUUUUCUUACUACAGCUAAAAUUUCUUACUACAGCUAAAAUCUGAAGCAGGCUCCAGGCUCUGAGCUGUCAGCACAGAGCCCGAUGUGGGGCUCAAACCCACAGACUGCGAGAUCAUGACCUGAGCUGAAGUCGGACGCUUCAUCGACUGAGCCACCCAGGUGCCCCAAAUGAGAGCUUUAUUUUUUUUUUUUUUUAAUUUUUUUUUCAACGUUUAUUUAUUUUUGGGACAGAGAGAGACAGAGCAUGAACGGGGGAGGGGCAGAGAGAGAGGGACACAGAAUCGGAAACAGGCUCCAGGCUCUGAGCCAUCAGCCCAGAGCCUGACGCGGGGCUCGAACUCCCGGACCACGAGAUCGUGACCUGGCUGAAGUCGGACGCUUAACCGACUGCGCCACCCAGGCGCCCCGAGAGCUUUAUUUUUAAUGUAGGCAUUAAAAAGCUCUAAAUUUCCUUGUGGGUACUGCUUUCACUGCAUCCUGUAAGUUUAAGUAUGUUGGGCUUUCAUUUUCAUUCUUUCUAAUUUCCCUAGUGAUUUAAUCUUUGACCCAAUGGUUAAGAGUAUGCUAUUUAACUGACACAUAUUUGUGACUUCUCCAGUUUUCUGCUAUUGAUUUCCAGCUUCAACCUGUGUGGUUGGAGAAUAUAUUUUGUAUUAUUUCAAUCUUUUUUAAUUUAUUGAGAAUUGUUUUAUGACCUAACACAUCGUAUAUUCUGGAGAAUGUUCUGUAUGAACUUAAGAAGAAUGUGUAUUUUGCUGAUGUUCAAUGAAAUGUUCUUUAAUAUGUCUUCUAGAUUUAAUUGGUUUAUAGUAUUGUUCUGGUUCUCUCUUUCUUGAUUGGUAGUUUGGCUAGAUGUUCUAUUCAUUUUCACUUUUGGAAGUGGAGUAUUGAAGUCUCCAACUAUCAUUGUAGAAGUGUCUAUUUCUCCCCUCUAUUUUGUCUUUAUUUGCUUUGCAUAUACACUACACAAUGUCCUUCUUAGUCUCUUGUUAACAAUUUUUGACUUACACCUACUUUGUCUGGUAUUAGUAUAAAAACCCAGCUCUCUUUUGGUUACUAUUUGCAUGGAAUAUUUUUUUUUCCAUUCUUUAACUUUCAACUUAUUUGUGCCUUUGGACCUAAAGUGAGUCUCUUAUAAAUAGCAUAUAUUUAAAACAUUUUUUAUUUUUCUUUUUUUCAUCAUGAUAAGUGUAAUCUUUAAUCCUUACCACCUAUAACCCCUCCAUCCCCCUGCCCACCUCCCCUCUGGUAAUCAUCAGUUUGUUCUCUGUAAUUAAGAGUCUGUUUCUUGGUUUGUCUCUCUGUCUCUCUCUUUUUUUCUUUGCUUGUUUUCUGUUUUAAAUUCCACACAUGAGCGAGAUCAUAUAGUAUUUGUCUUUCUCUGAUUUAUUUCACUUGGCAUUAUAUGCUCGACCUCUAUCUAUCUUGUUGCAAAUGGCAAAAUUUCUUAUGGCUGAGUAACAUUCCAUUGUAAACCUAUGUAUCACAACUUCUUUAUCCAUUCAUCUAUUGAUGGACACCUGGGCUGCUUCCAUAGUUUGGCUAUUGUAAAUAAGGCUGCAAUAAACAUAGGGCGCAUGUAUAAAACAUUUUGUAAAAAUCCAUUCUGUCAAUCUCUGCCUUUUCAUUGGUGAGUUUGAUUUACAUUUAGAAUUAUUACUGAUAAUGAAGGACUUAGCUCCGCCACUUUACUAUUUUAUAUAUGCCUUAUAUUGUUUUUGUUCCUCACUUCAUCAGUACCAACUUCACUUGUGCUUGAUUUUUUUCUAGCAUAGUAUUUUUUUUAUUACUUUUUCAUUCCCUUACCUGUAUAAUUCUUAGUUAUUUUCUUAGCGGUUACUAUGGGGAUUACAGUCAAACCCUCAAUAUGUAUCAGUCUAGUUUGAACUGAUACCAACUCCAACUUGGCUUCAAUAGUAUACAUUAAUUCUGGUCCUAUCCAGUCUUCCAACUCAUUUUUAUUGUUAUUAUUAUCACAAAUUACAUCUUUAUAUAUUCUGUGCCCAUUAACAUAGAUUUACAUUACUGUUUUAUGCAUUUGUCUUUUAAAUAGUACAGGAAACAAAAAAGAGAAGGAAAAAGCCCCAAAUUCUGUAAUACUAGCUUUUAUGCAAUUACCUUUACUAUGGCAGAACUAUACCUCUAGGUCUCUUUUUAGCAUUCUUUUUUAGGGCAGGUGUAUAUAAACUCUCUUAGCUUUAGUAUCUUGGAAUGUCUUAAUUUCUCCUUUGUUUCUAAAGGAUAAUUUUGUCAGACAGAAUUCUUAGUUGACACUUUUUUUUUCUUUCACAAUAAAUAUAUCAUGUCACUGCCUUCUGGCCUUCAUGGUUUCAGAGGAAAAAACUAGCUGAUAAUCUUAUUAGGGAUCCCUUAUAUGUGAUGAGUCCCUUCUCUUCCUACUUUUAAGAUGUGCCUUUGCUUUUGACAGUUUGAUUAGAAUGUUUAUUGAUGUGGAUCUCUUUUUUCUCCUUGGAGUUGUAUGAGAUUCUUAAAUGUAUAAAUUGAUGUGUUUAAGCAAAAUUGGGAAGCUUUCCCUUGUUAUUUAUUCAAAUAUGUUUUCUACACCCCUUUCUUUCCCUUUUCUUUCUACUCCUUCUAGGACUUCCAGAAAGCAUAUGUUGAUACCUUUAAUGGUAUCUCAUAGGUUUUUUUUUGGCUCUGUUCAUUUUUCUUCAUGCUUUCUUCUUUCUGUUCCUCAGAACUGGUUAUUUCAAUUGUUCAAUAGUUUUAUCUUCAGGUUUGCAGAUUCUUUCUUCUGCCUGUUUAAAUCUGCUGUUGAACACUUUUUGUUAAUUUUUCAUUUCAACUUUCAUAUUAUAUAUAUACAUAUAUAUAUUUCAACUUUCAUAUAUAUAUACACACACACAUAUAUAUAUACAUAUGUAUGUAUGUAUAUACAUAUAUACAUAUGUAUACUAAAUAGAAAUGCCUAUAUAUAUGUAUGUAUGUGUGUGUAUAUAUAUAUACACACACAUACAUACAUAUAUAUAGGCAUUUCUAUUUAGUUCCUUUUAGAAAUUUCUGUCCGGGUACUCGGGUGGCUCAGUCAGUUGGAAUGUCUGACUCUUGAUUUCGGCUCAGGUCCAGGGUCUUGGGAUCGAGACUUGCAUUGAUUGGGCUCUGUGCUGAGUGUGGAGCAUGCUUGGGAUACUGUCUCUCCCUCUCCCCCACUCACGCACACUCUCUCUCUCAAAUAAAAAAAAAAAUCUGUCUUCAUUGGUAUUUCACUAAUUGUUCCUACAUUAUUUUCUUGAAUUCCUUUAGGUCUUGUCUAUUAAUUCCUUUAGCUCUUCACAUAUAUUAGUAUCAUUAAUUUAAAGUCUUGUCUGGUAUGCCCAAGUUCUAGGCUUUCUCAGAGAUAUGUUAUAUUGAUUUUUUUUUUCCCCUAUGAACAGGCCACACAUUUCUGAUUCAUUGCUUUGUAAUUUUUUGUUGAGAACUGGACAUUUUUUAUGUCAUAAUGUGGUACCUCUAGGAUUCAGAUUCUCCUUUUCCCCCCGGGACUGCUGAUGUUGCUUGUAGAGGGAUAUAGUCAUCUGUUUGUUUACUGACUUCUCUCAACUAUUUUUGCAAGGACCCUUUUUCCUGUCAGGUGUGAUCGCUCACUAAAGUCUCUGUUCUGUUAUCUCAGCAGUUGGCGAGUGGCCUGAUGGAGAAUUCCUUGAAUCCAUGGAUCCAAUAAUGAAAGAAAUAAAGGCAUUAUAUUCUUUUAAUUACCCAACAAAUGCUGCCCUGAAGCUGCUUCAGUCUAAGAGGGCUGCAAUAAUAGCCAACUCGUGCACUGCUCCCUCAGUAAUCUGCAAAACAGAUCAACACAUAUAACCCUGAUCCUUGGAAACCAAGGUGCUUAUUGUACAACCUGGCAGCUUUAAGACACAUCAGAAACAUAGGCUGCCAUUCCCACAGCUCCCUGAUGCAAGGCCAGAAAAUGGAAGAGGGUAGCUUCUCUGUGAAAUGCAAAAAUUCAUUGGCCAGCGUCUUACUUAAGCACUCUCCUAGAUACUGCCAGAGUUUGACCAGACUCCAGAUUUCCACUAGUUGAUUCUGAUUAUAAAUGCCUCCUCAGAGGUGCUUUUUUCCCCCAGGGGUGGGACUGGUUCCUGAAGUUUCCUACUUCAUCGUCUUCCAUGACAUCACUCUACAUUGUCUUUUAAAAUUGUCUGUAUUGACACUCCAUGUUUGUGUGUGUGUGUGUGUGUGUGUGUGUGUGUGUUGGUUCAAAUUAUUGUCUGAUGCUACUACUUUUCAGCCCAAACAACUUCCAUCGGCAUUUCUUGUAAGGCAGGUCUGCUAUCAACAAAAUCUCCCAGCUUUUGUUUAUCUGGGAAUAUAUUUACUUUGCUUUCAUCUUUAAAAGGGUUUUGCUGAUUCUUGCUUGACAGUUUUUUCUCUCAUCACUUUAGGUAUGCCAUCCCAUUGCCUUCUGGCCUACAUUGUAGUCAAAAGUUGGCUGUCUACCUUGAUGGAGUUUCUUUGUAUUUGAUCUUGUAUGUGAGGAGUCAUUUGUCACUGCUUUCGAAGUGUUCUCUUUGUAUUUGACUUUCAAGUAUUUUACUAUUAUGUGUCUGAAUGUGGUCUAUUUGUGUUUAUCCUACUUAUGGAACUUCUUGAAUGUAUAAUUUUUCAUGAAAUUUGGGACGUUUUCAGCUAUUAGUUCUUUGAAUAUUUUUUCUGUCUCUUCUGCUUCUCCUUUCCUUGUAUUAUUUUCAUUACAUGUACAUUGAUAUGUUUAAUGAUGGCCUAUAUUUUUCUUAUUCAUUAUAUUCAUUUUUCCUUUUUAAAAAUUUUUUUCUUUUCAAAUUGCAUGAUCUCUAUUGAUAUCUAUUCAAAUUUCUGGGGCCACUUUUUGUCUGACAGAGAAAAUCUACUUUUGAACUCUUCUAGUAAAUUUUUCAUUUCUGUUACACUUUUCAACUACAGUUUGUAUUUGGUUCAUUUUUUAUAAUUCCUAACUCUUUACUGACUGUUUUAAUUGGAAGAGACAUUGUUCUCAUAGGUCCCUUUAAUUGUUUAAACAUGCUCUUCUUUAGUUCUUCGAACACAUUUAUAAUGGCUGUUUUAAAGUCUUUGCUAAGUUCAACACCUGAAUUCCUUCAAAAUAGUUACUAACGCCUUCUUUUUUUCCUUUCGUAUAGGUUACACUUUUCUGUUUCUUUGAGUAUCUUGCAAAUUUUUUUGUUGAAAACUAGACAUUGUAGAUAAUGUAUUGCAGCAACUCUGGACAUUGAUUCUACAUCAGCCCUUGCCCUCAGGGAUUGAUAUUAUUCGUGUUUUCCAAGUUAUUGAUUUAUUGGUUUCAUUACUUGGCUAAACUAAAUCUGUGACGUCUAUUUCCACCCAGUGUGCAGUUUGUGAUAUCCCUCUUAUUUUUUGUUUUUGUCUUUUAGUCGGGUUAUUUGGGGGUCACUAAUUAAUUGGCAUAAGCCACUUAUGGGUUAAAGGUCAGGCUUAAUCCUUGCUGGUAAUUAGACUUUUGCCUUUACAGUGGAUAUGUGAGUAGCAUUGAGGCUACUUCCAGAGAUGAAGACGUUUACAUUUUUUGUGCCCUGUUUUUCUAGGGACUUCCCCUCUCCAUUCACUCCUGAGAGUGCAGCCUCACACAUACACACACAGUCUUCCAGACUACCCGGGAUAUAUGUGAUUUUAUUUUUAAGCCUAUCUUCUUAGAAGUUGCUCCUGGGUUCCAGUUGCUUAUUGCCCAGUCAGUGUUUGGUUAGAGGUUAUCCUUAAGCCCCUGGUGCCAAUGCUAGAUUUGUAUUUAUUUCAUUUUUUCUGUGUGGAGCUUGGAAAUAUUUUCAAGUCUGCCCCGUGUCUUGUUCUGAUUACUCUUGAGUAGAGACCGUCUAUUACUUGUGUACUGCUCCUUCAACCCCCAAGGUUACCUAGGAUGCCAGGAGGGCUCUUCUUGGUGGUCAAUUUCUGUGGCUGUUUUUUGUUUGUUUGUUUUUUGUUGUUGUUGUUAAACUUCCGAUUGCUCUACAUUUUACUCAUUGCUACCAAUGUCAUGGGGUUAUUAGCAUCUUCAUAAUUACUCUCCAUCAAGAUCACCAUUGUUUUCAGCAACACUGUAGGCACAGAAUUCACCAUGUUUUGUUCCAAAUAAAGUCACUCCCCUCAGUCAGAGAUGUAGUGGCCUGCCUCUCCACCCUGGACUGAAGCUCUAUGCUACUGAACAAGAAUUUGGCAUGGGGAGAGAGGCCCACUUCUCAUGCAGUGACACCCCUGCUCUAUGUCUAUAAUCAGGCAUUGGGGAGGGAUGGUGGCCCCUAUUAUUCUUGACUUGACCCUCCUAGCAUGGGACUCCUACUCUACCUGAAAACUGCUCAAGCAUGACUAGAGUCCAAUACUAUUAGCCUGUCAUAUUUGGCACAUAGCUUCUGUCCCACAAGUUGGGGCUAGGUGGAAACUCCAGUCCACUGUGAAAAGAGCUUUUGAAACAUGGGGUUUUGGGGAGACAAUGAAAAAUGCUGGAAGCCUGCCCUUUCAUUGGUGAUUCCAUAAGAUACAGCUGGGAAGUGGGUAUCAUGGCUCAAAUAUUACAGACUUUAUGGUUCUUACUGAGAUUUAGUAAAUUUAUUUGAGUGAAUAUUUCUCCAUUUACUAUAUGCCCUUAGGACAAUUUCUAGAGACUUUAAGGAGAUUUAUGUAUUUAUAUAUUCACAUACUUGUAUAUAUUUUAAUUGUAUCUAUAUAUUAUAUAUAUGGGGGAGAGAGAAGAGAGGGAGGGAGAGAGAAUGUCUAGAUAGAUAAAUUUUCUUCAGCUAAAUAGUUAUUUUGCUCGGGUAAAAAGUUUACUGUGUCUAUACUGUAUCAUUCCAGAAACUGGUCUCAUAUUCUGCCUCUUAAAUAUCAUCUAUGAGGUAAUGAUGCUCAUGUGCCUAUCUCAAACCCAGCCUUUCAUAUGGACACCAUAGUUCCAUAUUUAGCAGACUAUUUGUCAUCAAGUAGGUUUGGGUUUGUUUGUUUGUUUGUUUGUUUGUUUUUACCAAAAAUGUUCUCUACAGGUAUUCCUUAUUUCAGUAAAUGAAACUACUAUUGUCCUGGUUAAUAAAGUAAAAAAUAUAAGCAUCAGCCUGGAUGCCUCCCUCUUACCAACUACAUAUAAUCCACUGGCAAGUCUCAUUGGUCCUGUCAACUGCUCACUAUCUAGAAACUGCUCACUUCUUUCCACUUCCAUGCCUCCUACCUGAGUCUAAAUCAUCCCCCCCAUCCUGAUCUAUUAGAAUACACUUCUAAUGCACUCUGCCUUCAUUCUUAUGUCCCCCACCUCCAAUCCAUAUCAUGAACAGUUCCCAGAGUGAUCCUUUUACAUAUAAUAUAAAUAUAUGUCCCCUAGUGCACACCGUGCACCACUGGCUUCAGCCCUCUUUUCCUCUCCUUCUAACCUCAUCUGGAACCCCUCCCUUUCUGUUAUAGUCACACUGUCCUCCUUCAUGGUAUGCUUACCUCUGUCUUGGUUCUCUCCUUCUCCCUUUCCAAGACUGGCAUUUCUCCUCUUUGUUUUCUUAAAUGUUACCUCCUCGGAGAAGCUUUCUAGGUAGUUUUCCCCCUAUUAUUCUCUCUUGCGUUGUCCCAUUCAUUUCCCUUGCAGUUCUUGACAUACUUGGUAAUUAUUAAUUUCUUUAAUGAUUUAUUGUCUGCUGCUCCCACAAGAUGGUAAAUUCCAGGACAGCAUGAAGCACAGUUGUUUUCUUUGCUGCUCUGUAAUAAAUACCGACUACUGGGGUGCCUGGGUGGCUCAGUCGGUUAAGCACCUAACUCUUGAUUUCAGCUCAAGUCAUGAUCUUAUGGUUCAUGAGAUUGAGCCCUGUGCGGGUCUCCACACUGACAGCACAGAGCCUGCUUGGGAUUCUACCUCUCCCUCUCUCUCUGCCCCUCCCCAAUUCGCACAUGUUUUCUCUCUCUCUCUCUCAAAAUAAAUAAAUAAACAUUAAAAUAUAUAUACUACAAUUAUUAACAGCUCCUACUGACCAAGCACAGAAUAUGUGCCAGUAGUUCUAAGAUACACAUACAUAUAUACACACACAUACACAAAUAUAUAUACACAUAAUUACACUCACAUACAUGCACACAUGCAUGUCAAUUCCUACACGUGUGCACACAUGUACACACAUACACACACUCAUUUAAUCCUCACACCAACCCUAUGAGAUAAUUUUUAUUAUUUUCACUUUACAGAUGAUUCAGCAAAAGCAGAGGCACGUUAAGUGACUUGCCCAACGUCACACAGUGAGUGAACAGCCUAACCAGACUCUGUUCCAGCUAUUCCAGAGUCUAUGCCCUUAAACAUUUCAGACCUUUCUCAGUGCAGUGCCAAGAGCAAAGCAGGUGCUCAGUUAGUAUUUGUAGAAUCAAAGAACAAGGAGACUGACAAAAUGAUUUUAUCAUCCCCUAGAGCAGUGCUGUCUGACACAGCAUUCUGAGAUGAUGUAAAUGUUCUACAUCUGUGUUGUCUUAUACAGCAGUCAAUAGUUGUAUGUGGCACCUGACCACUUAAAAUGUGGUUAGUAUGACUCAAGAACUAAAUUUUUUAUUUUAUUUAAUUCUAAUCAGUCUAAAUAUAAUAGCUACAUGUGACUACUGACAACCACAUUAGACAUUACAGUCUAAGAUUUUAUGAGGUGGUGUCACUUUUGAUGCACUGAGAUUUAUAUAGCCUUGAUGAAUUUAACUCCAAAACAGAAGACAAAAUUCCCUUUUGCAUUUCUUUUUUCCCUAGUGACUUCCACCCCCAGUUUUUCAAAUAUCCUUCAUCCUCCUACUUUACUUCAUUCCAGCCUGUAGAAUCAAACCUCCUUCAUGUGCAGCUCCAGCAAAGCCAUUUUCCCCACCCCUCAACAGUCCUUUCAAGUCCUUCAAAAGUAUUUAGUCAACCAACAUCUAGAGCCUACUUGGAUGGGGCACUGGCCCAAGUCCUGGGAAGGGUGGAGGGAAAUAGAGCCACAAAGACAAACUAAACAAGGUCCCUAUCUCAUAGUGAAGGGGAGUUGGUUAGACUAGUAAACUCACACAUAGUAAGGAACCAAUAAAGGGUGUGGAAGGUAGGGGGGCGGGGGAUGGGGGCAGGCUGAAUGUCUAGUUUCGCUGCUGUGGUUUCCAUACUGGGACUCUGCGUUGUCUACUUGGCAGAAAUUGCUGCACUGAUUUCACUUGCACUUGGACCACUAGAAUAAAUGGGAUCGACCUGGCUUUGCUUUCAGAACUGAGGUUAUAAUGGACAUGAGAAAAUCUUACUGGUGUCUAGAAAGAGGCAUCAGUAAGGAAGGAACUGCUAUUACAUUUCACCCUGCUGACUUGGGCGGAUAGAAGAUGGAUCUAGUUCUCAGACCACCACCCCAUCUUUUACAAAAAAAGAAAUCAUCAAAGAAAUAGUAUAUAAUAAUUAGACUGAGACUCAAAUAUUAAAGAAGAAGAGGAGGAGGAAAAAAUGUGCACAUUAAUCACCUAACUCAUGGGCAAUUACUACUCGUAUUUCUAAACAAUGUCCAGUAACUGGGGUAGUGAAAAUGCAUUUCUUCCCUCCCACCAUUUGCAUACUUGGCAUCUCACUUACAUUGUACACAGGUUACAGUAAAAAGAUGCUGCUUUGUUUGGAUUUUGCUUUUUCUGUGGAAUCCAUUAUAAAGCAAUGUGCUUUUGUGUGUCAAAGAGCAGAAAGGCUCUACUUCCUCUUUUCAAAAGGAUUUGGGCAGAAGUCAACUACUGUAUUUAUUCCAUGCAGUUCUCCUUUUGAUUACUAGAUGUGUGCUGGUUGUAGAUGCCACAGAAAAGCAGUGAAUGUUCUCACCACAAAGGACUUUCUAUCUUAAGAUGGGUCUUACAGCAUCAUGCUUCUGAAAGCAAAAUGUUCAGUCACCUAAAUGUCACUCUAUAAAUAGGAAGCAUUUAAACACAUAGAAACAUCCAGAUAAUGCCUUCCAUGCUUCAUUUUUCAUCUACAUAUCUGCUAUCAGUGCAUAGGUGGAGUGACCAUGUAUUUCGUUUUUUCUCAAACUUCCUCAAUCUUACUCUUUUCAAAAAAAAGCAGUUCAUUAAAAUCAAAAUCAAAAGAGAUUUCACCGUGAUAACUCUCUAACCAUUUCCUUUAAAUUUCACGACAGAUUAGAGAAUCAAAAAACAAACAGGAAAGACCUAGAUCAACGGUCCCAGGCUACUCCAGACUAAUGGAAGUAUCACCUAAGAAAUUUACUCCCUGGGGCGCCUGGGUGGCGCAGUCGGUUAAGCGUCCGACUUCAGCCAGGUCACGAUCUCGUGGUCCGCGAGUUCGAGCCCCGCGUCGGGCUCUGGGCUGAUGGCUCAGAGCCUGGAGCCUGUUUCCGAUUCUGUGUCUCCCUCUCUCUCUGCCCCUCCCCUGUUCAUGCUCUGUCUCUCUCUGUCCCGAAAAUAAAUAAACGUUGAAAAAAAAAAUUAAAAAAAAAAUAAAAAUAAAAAAAAGAAAUUUACUCCCUGCAUCUAAGUUUAUUUCCCAAAGUGUGCUCCUGAGAACACUAGUUAUGAGCGGUAUCACACUGAAAACAUUCCAUAGUCAAUACCCUAAGCCCAUCUGCCCACGCAAAAUGGUUGCGUUGGUGUCAUGAAUAUUUUCACCAGGAUUUCCCAAGCCUUCCGAUGUACCUUCCACUCCACUGCACAUUCCCACUGCCACAUAAAAACUCCUAACACAAGCAAGUCCUAGACCACAUUCUGCCAAACAUACACAUAUGCAAUAGCAAAUAGGCAAACACACAUGAACGCAUACUGUUCUUGUAAGUUCUAGAAAGUCCCAGUCUACCUUUGGGUUCUCGCAUAAGCCCCUUGCAUAAAAUAUUCACUCUAAGAUGGGCUGAGAUCACAGUCUGCUGGGUGCUAUCCUAGCAGACUACAGGAUGGUGUCACGUGACAGAGAGCUCCGUGAAGUGUGGAUGCAACACCUCAAGGACCAAAGAGAUCAGAUGACUGAAUCCUCUGGUUCCCGUGGUUCGAGGGAGGGUUGUGGGGCUGUGAGAUCAUUCUGGCUUGUAAUACAUCUGAAAACCACUAAUUUUAAUAAUAAAAAGGCAUUUCUAUUUCCUUUCUGCAAACCUAUGGUGUAGAUUGCAAAAGUGGCAUUCACAAUGUCUGAGCAACUACCUCUGAGGUGCAAGUCUUUCUGAGGGUUGCUUCAAAUGCUAAUUUUUCCUACUGGGUAGGCUAACUUGCACGUACCCAUAUACAAAACAUUACCCUGUUUGUUAAAUGCUUACUAAAGUCAAUCACCACAUUGAUCCAAUAAUGCAUGCCUGGGGAUUCAAAGAAAUCAUAAACAUGCUAAAGAUUCUUACAAGUCCUACAAAAAAGAAAACCUUGGCUCAAUCCAGAAGAUUUUAACUUAUGUGGCCUUGGAAACAUCAGGACACAUGCUUUUGAGGAAAAUACUUAUUUGAUCUUGGAAGCAACCUACUACAUAUUGUUUCUUUUUAAAGUGGAUUAUUUUUUUUCUUCUUUUAAGUAGGCUCCACGCCCAGCAUGGAGCCAAGCGCAGGGCUUGAACCCAUGACCCUGAGAUCAACGACCGAGCUGAGAUCAAGAGUCGGAUGCUCAACCAACUGAGCAUCCAGGUACCUCUCCAAAGUACUUUCUAAAUAGAAGUGCUGUUAGAUGCCAUUCUAAGUGCAGCCAAUUCUUUACAGACAGAGAAACGGUCAUUCUGUUGUGACUGUAAUGUGCAAGGAUGUGCCCCGUAGAGUCUCAUAUCCUCUCCACCCUGUUAAUAAAAGGACAGUUCCAUCACAGGAAAAGAUCUCUUUCACUACCACUCUCUUUGUCAACUUUCUACCUUGGUUCUGUUUGGAGUGAUAACCUCUAUCUCGUGACAUUGAGGUAAAACGUGUAAAUAUGAAUGCCAACAACUGAGAAGGCAGAGAUAGCAGGAGACUGAAGAUACUGUGGAGAUACUGUGGAUACCUAAACCAAGGUUGCCGACCUCUGAUUAACUCAUUAAUUGUUUACAUUUCUAUUAUCUAUUUUGUUUGUUUGGCAACGAGAUAUAUUUUUCACUAAGCACGUACUUUUGCAGAACCUCAUCCCAUUAACUAAAGAACAGCCUUCCAUUACCUACUGGGGAAGAUGCAGUUCAGGGGCUGUCAUGGGUGGCUCAGAACAAGCCCCCCAAAGCACCUGGGCCUCCCCUCUACUUCAAAACUCAGCAUAUCGCCCUAUAGUACUGAUUUGCAUACCUAUCACUACACGGCUUGCAUUCUUGUGGUACUGCCUCCCAAUGGCUCGCACAGAACCGGGCACAUGCAGUCCCUCUUGGGAAAUCUGUUGAAUAAACUGAUAAUGUAGCAUUCUCUCUUUCCUCAGUGAUACUAUCUCCCUCUCCAAAAACUUUGUCCUUUUGACAGUGAAUUUAAAAAUAAAAUACCACCUAACAUUUUGAUAGUGAUGGCUUUAAAAGACAGCAGUGGCUUGCGGGGUGGGGUUAGAUACUCUCGUAUGGUAACUGAGGAACACUAGGUAUAAAAAUGACUGAGGUCUAACAGGGUAUCAUUGCUCCCGACCGAGGCUGAUAGGAUCUGGUGUGGCAAGGCGCGCUGCGGGAUGGUGCUGCAUAGAGGUCAAAGGCAAAGGCCGUGGAGCCAAAUUAUCUGGACUCCACCCUCAGUUCUAUCACUCACUUACUGGAUGCCCUGAAGCAAGUGUCUUCUCCUCUCUGAGACUUUGUUUCCUGAUUCUAAAAUGGGGUGGUAUCUAACUCAGGAAGUCUGUAGGAGGAUUAAAUACAUUUCAAAAUGAAAAUAUAGAAAGUGCUUAACACAAGACAUGGCACUUAGUCAAUACGCAACAGAUUUUAGUUAUUGUUAUUUUCCAUCUCAGGUACUAUCUGGCAGUUGCUUCUCAAAAAUUCACAGAGCAUCACACACAUCUGUUCUCUACCACUUAGAAAGCAUGCAAUACAUUUUUAAUGAAAAAUUUAAAAACAGUUAGUAGCACACCUAUUAGAAUGGCUAAAAUCCAGAACACUGACAACCCAAAUGCCGACAACGAUAUGGAGCAACAGGAAAGUUGCAUUCGCUGCUGCUGGGAAUGAAAAAUGGUGCGGCCACUUUGGAAGACAGUUUUGAAGUUACUUUAAAAACUACACGUAAUCUUACCAUUCACUCCAGAAACUGUGCUCUUUGAUACUUACCCAAAGGAGCUGAAAACAUGUGGCUGCAUAAAAACCUGCACGUGGAUGUUUACAGCAGCUUUAUUCAUAAUUGCCCACGCUUGGAAGCAACCAAGAUGUCCUUCAGCAGGAGAAUUGGUAAACUUUACUACAACCAGACAAUGGAAUAUUAUUCAGUGCUAGAAAGAAAUGAGCUAUGAAGCCAUAAAAAGCCAUGGGAGAACCUUAAAUGUAUAUUACUAAGUGAAAGAAGCCAAUCUAGGAGGCUAUAUACUAUAUAGUUUCUACUCUUUGACAUUCUAUAAAGGGCAAGGGAAACUCUACAAAUUUUAAUGGUUGCCAUGGCAGGGGAGGAGCAGGGGCAGGAUGAUAGGGAAGCACAGAGGAUUUUCAGGGCAGUGACAAUAUUCUGUAUAAUGACAGAUACCUGUCAUUAUACGUUUGUCCAAACCCAUGAAAUGUAGAACACCAAGGGUGAACCCUUAGAUAAACUAUGGGCUCUGAGUGAUAACAAUGUAUUAGUGUAGGUUCAUUAAUUAUAACAAAUGAACCAGUCUGGUGGGAGAUGUUGAUAAUGGGAGAGCUACACAUGUUGGGGGGGAGGGGAGGGCAACGAGUAAAUAGGCUGCUUCUGUACUUUCCUCUCAAUUUUGUAGUGAGCCUAAAACUGUUCUAAAAAGUUUUUUAAAAAAAUUUAAAACCCAGCAGGUAGCCAUGGAUAAUUUCUAAGUAGCCAAAGGGAUCACGGUAUGUCAGAGCUUGGGGUCUGGGGUCCACUGGCCUGAAGUUCCCUCAUAGCCUAGCUGUGUCACCAAGAGCAAGUCAGUUAACCCUUCAAUAUAAAAUAUAAAAUUCCCUGCAGCAUGUUUGGAAGAGCGAACGGGCUCUGCCUAGUGUCUGACACUUAGCAGUCAAUAAAUCUUAAUUCUUUUUAACAAACCCUCUGGGAGGUUCUGAUGUACUGGGCUGAAUGAAAAUGUACAUUUUAUUAAAAUGUCCCUUUUUGGCUGUCUGAGGCCCUUUCUAAAUCUAUGACAUUCAGCUAUACAUUGAGCACCAAUCACCCUUGGAACUUUUCCACUCUCUGCGUAACUGUGAACCUUACCACGCUAAGAACAUUACACACACCAUGUCAUUUCUCAUUUAAUAAAGCAAAUUGCUACAUGCAAGGGUAGUUAUUCUCAUUUGCAAAUUCAUAUCUAAUUAGCUCUCUAAAAGCAAACUGCAAAUUGGAUCCAAGCAGAUCACUCCUACAGCAUUUGCCCUGGUGAACUAAAAUGAACAGUGGGUCCAUUCUGCAGUUUGCCAAAGAUACUACACAUGGUGAUGAAAUUGUGUUGACACGUUUCUCAGAAGAAAUCCUAGUCUACAGCCAUACCACCCUGAACGCGCCCGAUCUUGUCUGAUCUCGGAAGCUAAGCAGGGUCGGGCCUGGUUAGUACUUGAAUGGGAGAAGAAAUCCUAGAGGAAAUUCUUCUUGGUUGUCUGCAGCUAUAGGCAUUUGCCUUCCUUCCACAGUUUGAAGGGAAUUACAAGAGUUGAGUGACAAACUUUUAUGGAGACCGGGAGGCAAAAGGGUGACAGUGUGGGAGAAAAAAAAACAUCUCCAAGGGACAAUCAUAUGGGGAGAGACAGUCAACAGCCAGAACUAAGACCUCAGUGAAGUUCAUGUUGUACAGGUGGAAAAAGUAAAUGGUGGACAAGUGAAUAUCAUUUGGGCAAGAGGGAGAUCGCUUGUAGAAGAGAUAGUAUGUCUUUUGUCAGUGGUAUGUGGCAGAAUUUUAUUCUAGGCAGACUGGGUAUAAAGAAGUGAUGGGAAGCAAAGGAUAUAAAAACAUUUAUUAUGUUUCCCUGUCCAGCACCCAUGCCCUCGUUUUUUGAACUCAAUGCCUCAGUUUCCUUUGAGGAGUCUUGUACUCUAUGUGGUUCAGGUGCUGCUGAUACCAGUCCCCUCUCUGGAAGGUAUGGGAGAGACAAAUGACCCAGGUGCAGCCAGAGUGAAUUUUCAGACCUUUCACUCUAACACUAUGGGAAGUCAUUUUCUUUAUAUAUGAAUGCCAAGCUCAUAGGACAUGAACUCUGGGCUCCUGGUGUCACCCAAAGAGGGAGCCUACUUGAACAUAACACCAACAUAGGGAAACAAGAGUAAGCAGGUGAAGAGAGGUGGCUUUGCUGGGUCACUAUUUGAAAAUAUGCAUCCAGCCAGCCAUGAAUCUUCUGGACUUUUCUGUAUAAGAGUCAGGGAAACCCCUUUUUGCCUCAGCCAGUUUGAGUCAGUUUCUGUCAUUUGAAACUGAAAAAAAUCUGACUCAUUACUAAGAUAAAGGAGAAGUCACAUCUACUUAUAGUAUGUACUACCUUUUCCUCAAACACCAUGUAUUGUUGAUAUGAUCAUAUUGGUCUAUAGUGGCCAUGUUUUCCCAACCACUUCCCCACAAAAUCAGCUUAUCUGCUCAGACAGGUAGAAUUUUACUCAUAGAACAGCAGAACGUCUGAAUAUCAGAACUAUUCUGAAAACCUGGGUCAUGUGCAAAAAAACACACUUCCUGAUAGUAAUAAUCACACAGUACCAUUCCCCUACUGAACUCUUGAAGCAUGCAUUUCAAACUCACAUUCCUCUAUUUAGUAAUCAGGCUAAAAAUAUCUUUCCUACACUCUCUGUGUGAAGAUUAAAACACAUUGCUCAAAGCUGUUGCACCACAUAACUGCAGCAAACUCUAAGCCGGUCAACCAAUACUUGGACCCCGUGGAGAGAAUCCCAGGAGAGAAUUCAGCCCUCCGCACCCCAUCUUGCCAUUUUAUCUGCUGAGAGUGAUUCACUCCAGUAACCUGGUUCCUCAGUAUCUUAGUAACCACUUUAUUAUACAAAAGCGAUCCUACCUUAUGCCAUAGAAAAGUUCUCCCGAGAAGCUGUACAAACCCAGGUGUGUUCAUUCGAGAUCUAUGGUCUGCGCACUAUACACGAUCAUUUCAAAGACGUCCCAUUUCAAAAUCUUAUGAAUUGGCAGUUGGCAAGAGAUUCCUAAUGCUACGUCUUCUGGUAUGACUUUUGCAAUCAUGAUCUCACUUUUGUAACCCAGAGGCUAUCAUGGGAUUUAGUACUUACUAUGUACCAGGAAUCAUGUUAAACACGUUAAACAUCCGCUGACCUGGUCACAAAAGCUCAUGACAUAGCAUCUAUUGAGAUUUUCAAUUUACAAACGAGGAAACACAGAACAGUUGAGCAAAACUGCCAAGAUCACGCACUUCGUAAAUGUUGAAGCCGAGGCUAAAUUCUAGGCCAUCUCUUCUACUUCUCAGAGUCCAAGUUCUGAAUGCCAGUUGAGGGUUGGGUGGUCGUCCACACUGGCAUCUGCUCUGCUCUGCUGCCAGCUGGUGAUGGGCACCUGAAAGAACUAUUUGCCCUUUGGGAGUUCAGUUUUCUAAUCAAUGAAAGAGUGAUCUCCAAACCCUCCUCCAGCCCUGGCACGUGGCGAGCCACAGGCCCUCCUCCUGGGUUCCUGAAGGGUUCCCUAUAGGCAGACACCUGCUAGAGCACAGUUCUCAAACUUACUGAACAUCAUUAAAGUCUAAGGAAAUUGUUAAAAACAAAGACUCCCAAACCCUCAGGUAGAGGGGUUGCAGCCAGAAGUUCUAGGAUGGGGCACCAAGAUCUACAUUUUAAAUAAGUCUCCUGGGGGAUGUUGAUAUAUGAACUGUGAUUUGAAAGAGCAAUGGCAGCUCUUGGGAGCUAAUCAGAAAUGCAGAUCUUGGGUCCCACCCAAGACCCACUGAAUCAGAACCUGCAUUUCACCAAGGUUCCCAGGUCAUGCUUGUGUAUAUUGAAAUGAUCCUAGAAAAGGGCCAACCUGAUUAAUCCUGACACCACACUCAAUCUUGAAACCAAGGUAAACACAGCACAUCCUUACCUAAUUGUUACUACUUUUAACUUCUCUAUAAUUGCUACUCCUAAAAGCAUCAACUGCAAGUGUGCUUUCAAGUUACCUUUGCCAGAGCCAUAGGCUUCAGUCCUCCAGGGCCAUCUGGGGAUAGGGACUGUGUGAGGCAGCCUACACUGAGGGGCCUCCAAGCUACAAAGUCUCCUUCAAACGAACCACUCCACUUUGAUCAGUUUUAGAAUUGCAGUUUGAUUUUCUUUGAAAACAGGGUUUUGUUGCUUUUAGUUUUUUUCUCAACCAACAUCGUGCUCCAUAGUGCACAUACAUCAAUGCCAUUAGUACCUUCCCCAUGAUACCCAAGAGAUGGGCUUAGGGAAUGAACCUGGCUCCGUUUUCUCAAAUGCUUCCCUAAGGGGCAGAAACAUGACCUUCAAAAUGUCAAAACCUGCUCCUGUUCCCAGGAGGACUAUUAAGUUACUUUCCUACCCUACUUUAAUAUGCAAUGACCAAGAAAGACACUAAUGUGGAAAAUUCUGAAUUCAGCUCACAUACCAUUGCUAGUUUAUAACAAAAGCUCUAUGUAUCUUCUCUUAUAAACUAAAAGGUUCCCACCAGUCAAUGGGAAUUUGAUCCUUAAGGUAAACACAAGCAGUCCAGACCUUUCUUUAGACCAAGUACUUUGGAGAUAUCUUUAGUGAUUAGUAUUGCUGGGUGGCUCUGGAGUUAGAGAGUCUCAGAAUUUACUUAAUAAAGAAGUUAGGGGGAACCUGAGUGGCUGAGUUGGUUGAGCAUCAGACUCUAGAUUUCAGCACGGGUCAUGAUCUCACAACUGUGAGAUCGAGCCCCACUUUGGACUCAGUGCUCAGUGUGGAGUCUGCUUGGGAUUCUCUCUUUCUCUCCCUGUCUUUCUCCCCCUCCCUCAUUCAUUCUCACUCUCUCUCUUUUUCUCAAAAUAAAUACAUAAACAUUUAAAAAAAUAAGUCACAAGAGGUCCAGGAAAAGAUAACCUCAGUUUUAUUAACACCUAACGACUGGUUCUCACCUGGGAUACACAUAACAGUCAUCUGGGGAACUUUGAAAAAUCUUGAUGCCUAGGCUAUACCCAAAAAAUUACAUCAGAAUUUCUGGGAGUAGGUCUCAAGUUUUAGUGGGUCCCUACACAUCUUCAAUGUGUAUCUGAGGUUGAGAACCGUUGACUAGGGCACUAGACAUGGGAGCACUAGAAACAGAGUUCUGUAAGACACACGCUCAAUGGCCCUGCUCGCCCCUCUCUUGGUCCCCCUCUUUCACAUACAGAUGACCAUUCAUUUAUUCAUUCAGCAGUUAUUUAUUGAAAACCUACUAUGUACUCACUUGUAACUGGGAAUUAUAAACUCAAAAAUCCUGUUCUUGUGGAGCUAAUAGUACUACAAACACAUUUUUUUCUUUUUAAUUUUCAGCCUAAAUAGGUGCUAUAAAGACGAUGAAUUCUCAUGUUGGUGUAGGAUGUAAACAUAGCCUCUCUGAGAAGGGACCACCUGGGUUCUGAGUUGAAUUUUGGGAAGGAUGUAGUUAAUCUAGGGAUGAAGCUCUUACACAGAAAGAAUAAGUAUAAGUGGACCCCCAAUGGGAAUGGUAUAUUGAAAGGGUAGAUAAAAAAAAAAAAGUCAGGGUGGCUGGAGCACAGUCAAUGAAGAGUAAGUUAAAAGAAAUGAAGUCAUAAUGGUAGGCAAGGACCAGAUGGUGUAGGUCUUUACAGACCAUAUUAAAGAUAAUCUGAUAAAAGAAAACCUCAACAGUGGGAAACCAUCCACACAAAAGUUCAUGCCUAUCUCACGGACAACAGCCUAUAGUCUAACAUAAUACUUCUGCAUUUUAUUUUACUUUUGUUUUUGGCAAGGGAUGGGACAGGGUUGGCACUGUUCCUUGGGGACACAUAAUAAAAUUGCCUGGGAGAGGGGUUCAUUCAAGCUGUGUGACACACACUGUCUUUCUCCACAGGUGUGAUUCUAUUACACUCCCCUAGGGGUGUGACCCUUGUCCACAAUGAGGGACUAAGAACAGGAGUAGGCCAUAUCCAGUGAUGUCAAAUAAAAACAAUAUGCACAUUCAGAAUUUGUAGGUCUAUAUAUUAAGUCCAGCUCAUUCACCCUAAAUUUCUAUAUUCUCUAAGUAUAGGAUGUCCCACAACAUGUCAAUCACAGGACCCAAACUGCAUUCAUCUUUAUUCAUAAAUAGACUGGUAUCUCCUAUAAUCUCUAUAUCAGGCGGUAUAAAUAGAUGGUGGUUGAGGCUGGAUCAUGUGAUGAUUCUUCACUCACAAGUCUGCUUCCUGGGCUGGGGUCGCCAAUAUACCUGAGUGGGAGCUGGUCAGGCCUCUCUACUCCCCUGUGGUUAAGCUGGUCUUCCUCAGAGCAUGGUGGUCUCAGAUUGGCUGACUUCCCCUAUGGUAGGUGGCUUCUCCCUGAAUGAGUGUUUCAAGAGACGGGAUGUGGAAGCUGCCAUGUUAUUAAAGCCUGAGCGUGAAAAUGGUCACAGCAUCACCUCUUCAAUAUCCUCUUGCUCAAAGCAGUUCCUGAGCUCAUCCAGAUUCAAGGGUAGGAGUCAAAGACUCACCUCUCAAUAGGAGAAACAUUGAUAAAUUUGUGGCUACGUUUUGUCCACCACAAGAUAUAAAGCAUAUACACACAGCAUGUGGUAUAAAAAUAUGUAUCACUGGAAAUAUAUUUUUAUAUAUGUAUAUAUACACAAAGCAUGUACAUUAUACGUACAUUAUGUAUUAUAUAUAAUUAUACAUAAUAAUUAUAUAGAGAGAGUGCAUGGUACAUUUUAAGGUAUAAUGUUUCAAAUACAAUCUGCUAUAAUAGUAACUAAAUGCUAGCCCAAUCACCUUAUAGUGAUGUCCUAUAAUCUUUUCGUAAACUUAGUGGAAGAUAGGAUCAACAGAUGUUGGGAGGAAAUUGGAAGAGUGACCAAAAUAAGUGGUGAGAAGAAACAUUAACUUCCCUGUCAGAGGCAUGAGUCACCCUCCAUUAGGUGGGCACCACAGGAUUUAAGGAAGUUGCUGUCAUAAUCCUUCCAGUGCAACCAAUGUGAGGCUGCCCAGAAGAGGAGGCCGUGAGGGAGAUUCACUUCAUUGCCCAUGCUGGGUGUUCUGAAUGCUUUCGUGUAAAAGGUAGCACCAUCAGCAGGGAACAGGACACGCCAAUGUGACAGUGAGUCACCAAGUGAAAUCAUGGCUGCUCAUGGUCCGAUGCCUGUCAUGCUGGGAGCACAAUAAAAUUGUUCCAAUGUCCCACCCCCUCCAAGGAAAGGUCAAAGAAGUUUCAUCUUAGGGCACCCAUGAGGAGAGGAGAGAACUUCGUGUCUCAACUAUUUAUUUUAUUUUAUUUUAAAUUCCAGUAGAGUCAACACAGUGUUAUAUUGGUUUCAGGUGUACAAUAUAGUGGUUCAGCACUUCAUACAUCUCUCAGUGCUCAUCACGCAUGUAUUCCUUAAUCCCCAUUGCCUAUUUCACCCAACCCCCCACCCACCUCCCCUCUGGUAACCAUCAGUUUGCUUUCUAUAGUUAAAAUGGUAGCCUUCUUGGUUUGUCUCCUUUCCCCUUGCUCAUCUGUUGUUGCUGUUGUUGUUGUUUGUUUCUUAAAUUCCACAUAUGAGUAAAAUGAUAUGGUAUUUGUCCUUCUCAAUAUACCCUCAAUGCUUAGCAUUAUACCCUCUAGAUUCAUCCAUUCAAGUAUUUUCAUAUAAGAGUAUCCUUGGAUUCUUUUUGAGGGCAAGGAUACCUCCAAUUUCUCUUGAAAUUUAUUGUGAGGGAAAAGUAAAAAUUAGCCAACCUAAACACGUUAUAUAUUAUGUGCGAGAAGAAUUCAUUUUGACUUAGGUUUAUCCCAAGUAUGCAAGGCUAGAAGACAUUAGCAAGUCUAAUUGAUGUAAUUCACCACAUUAGUAUGUUGUGGUAGCUGGUCUUAGAGAUGGCCUCUUGGCAUCAUAUCCUUGCACAGUCUUCUGGCACUGAAUCUGGGCUGGCUUGUGACUUAUUUUAAUCAACUGAAUGUGGCAGAAGCGGUGCUGUGCCAAUUCCAGGAACAUGCCUUAGGAAAGACAGGCAGCUCCUGCUGUGCACAUUGGAUCACCAUGUAAGAAGUCUGCUAUCCAGCUGGAGAGAACUUCCGGAAGCCAGAGAGAGAGAGAGAGAGAGAGAGAGAGAAAAGCCUAAGACUGUGGACAAAGACUGGUCCAGCCAUCCCAACAUCUCAGCUGCACUGGGACUGCAAGCCAUCUCUACUGAGAUGCCAGACACGCAAUGAGCCAUGUAGGAUGCUCCAACAGCCAAGCUGAGCUUCCACGUGACUCCAGCCCCAGCCACUUUCUCCCCGUGACUGCAUGAGAGCAUCCAAGUAACAGGAGCUGAACAGUCAUCUUGCUACGUCCUCUCAUUCCACAGAUGUGGAAGGUCCACCAAAAUGGUGGUUCUUCUAAUCCACUAAAUACUGGCAUGGCUUCUUAUGAUGUAAUAGAUAACCAAAACAUUAAAAGAGAAUAUUCAUAUGAUGAUUUCCAAGGAUGCAGAAACACAAAAAGCAUUUGACAAAAAAUUCUACACUCAUUCAGGAUUUAAAAAAAAGAAAAGAGGGGCGCCUGGGUGGCGCAGUCGGUUAAACGUCCGACUUCAGCCAGGUCACGAUCUCGCGGUCCGUGAGUUCGAGCCCCGCAUCAGGCUCUGGGCUGAUGGCUCAGAGCCUGGAGCCUAUUUCCGAUUCUGUGUCUCCCUCUCUCUCUGCCCCUCCCCCGUUCAUGCUCUGUCUCUCUCUGUCCCAAAAAUAAAUAAACGUUGAAAAAAAAAUUUAAAAGAAAAGAAAAGAAAAUCCUGGAGCAAACUAGGAAUAUGAGGGACCUAAUUUACUUAAUUUGAUAAAGUAGAGCCACAAAAAGAACCCCAGCAGUCAUUUCACUUGAAGGUAUAUUCCUACUCUCAGAUCAAGAAAAGUCGAAGCUCCUCACUAUUACUUCUAGUAAGAAUUAUACAGAAGGUUCUAGUCAGUGCAGCGAGUCAAAAAAAAAGAAAAAAGAACAAACGAAUGAAGAAAGAAAAAAAGAAAGAAAAGCCAUAAAGAUGAAGAAGGAAGAAAAAAAUUCUGUCCCUUAAAAAUGGUAUGAUUUUAUAUAUAUAAAACCUCCCAAAACUAUAGCUAUGUUACAUGUAUUAAUACAAUAAUUAAACAUCUUUUCUAGAUAUCAAUAUAAAAAAUCAACUGUACUAUAUACUAGCAAACAAAAAAUUAAAAUUAAAAUAUAGCAUUCAUAAUAGCAUCAAAAACGUGUAAGAAAAAAUCUAACAGAAGAGUUCUAAGACUUCUAAUGAAUAAAUUAUAAAAUAUUAAUAGACAUUAAAGAAGACCUAAAUAAAUGCUCACAGAUUGAGAGCAUCAAUAUUAUAAAGAUUAAAUUCUCCUCCAAUAUAAUCCCAAUUAUGUGUCCAAAUUUUUCAACAACAUGAGAAGCUGAAUCUAGAAUGUAUACGGAAUUGCCAAGGAUGAAUAUAGGCAAGAAGGACAACAGUAGUAUGGGAACGUGUGCCCUGCCAGGGAUCAAGAAUUAUUAUAUCAGAAUUAACUGUAGAUCAGGAUAGGUAAAUAGACCAGUGGAAAGGAGCAGCAAACCCAGAAACGACCCAUGCAUGUAAUAUGGGCGUUUGUUGUAAGACACAUGCAUGGCAGUUUGGGAGGGAAAGGAAAGAUUUCAAUAAAUGUUGCUGAGACAAUUGGGUAUCCAUGUUUUUUGAAAAAGAAGAAGGAAAUAUAUAAAUAUAUAUGUGGAAUAUGUGCACAUAAUUAUGGAAUAUAUAUUACAUAUGAUAGUAAUAUGUUAUGUGGAAAUAAAUAUAAAUAUAUAUAUAUCAUGUACAUAAUAUACCACAUAUGUAUAUAUAAUUAUGGAAUAUAUAAUAUGUACAUAUAUAUUUACAUAUAUGUAUAUAUUUAUGCUUAUAAGAAAGAUAUAUUUAUAAAUAUAUAUUUAAAUUAUAUAAUUUAUAAUUUAAAUAUUUAUAUAUUUAUAUAUUUCCAUAUAAUAUCACAUACAAAAUAAUUCCAAUUAGUUUCUGACUCAUAUAGGAGAGAAUAAACCAUGUUUUCAGGAAUGCAGUGUAGAUAAGAAUGUCUUAAAAUACAAAGGACAAUAUGGAAAGGGUUAUAUAUUUCGCUACAGUAAAAAAAUAUACCAUUAAGAGAGUGAAAUCUAUAUAUUGGGGUAACACAUAACCAACAAAAGGCUUGUUCUCAGAAAACAAAAAGAACUCUCCCAAAACCUUAAGAAAAAAAUAGGUAAGACAACAGAAAAAGUUCUGCAAAAGAUUCAAGUCUUUUGUUUUACAAAAGAGGAAAUCCAAGUGAUCAAUCAAUAAAUAUAUGAAAAGGCGCUCAACCUCAUAAUACAAAAUAUGCAAAUAAAAACCAAAAUGAAUUGUGUACAUCUACUGGAUUGAGAAAAAAAAAAUGUUAAGUCUGAAAACACCAAAUGUUUGGAGAACACAGAACUUUGGGAAUUCUCAUACACAGCUGGUAUGAAUAAUGUAAUCACUUACUUGGGUAUCUACUCAAGUUAAAGAUACACUUAUCCCACGACUCAGAGAUUUCAACCUUGGGUGUGUACCUUAGAGAAAUGGGUGCGUAUGUGCCCUAGGAUGAUUGUAGACUGCAGCAGAUCAAACCUGGGAUACCCACCUUGGGUACAAUGGAUAAAUUACAGUAUAUGCACACAUGGCAUGCCAUGCGGCAAUGUAAAGGGACACGCGGCACAAAUAAAUCUUGUGAGCAUAUACUGAGCCAAAGAAGUCACAUACAAAACUAUGAUUCCAUUUCGAUAAAAAUUCAGAAACAUAUAUUUUGGGAUAUUCAUUCAUAUUAGGUAAAACUAAGAUGAAGAGAAAGAUACCAUAAUGGUGGUUACCUCCAGGAGAGGCUGAGGGAGCUGUGAUGGGCUCACGGGCUGGGGCAAUGAUCUUUUUCUGGCUCAGCAUAGUAAUUAUAUCAGUGUUCUUUUUUUCCUUUCCUUUUUUCUUGUUGUAAAAUAUAUAGAACAUGAAAUUUAGCAUUUUGGUCAUUAUUCGCAUACAGUUCUAUAGCAUUAAGUAUGACAUUCAUACUGCCAUUCAAUCAUGGAUCCCCAUUUUUACCAUUAUUCAACUAACUGCAAAAAUGUUUUAUGCACUUUUCUAUGGGUUUAUCUCUCAAGAAAAGAAGCAGAGAAAGUCAAGGGUAUGUGCAAAGACUCAGUCACAGAGGUAUUAACCAUAGUCCUGUUUAUAAUAAGCAACAAUAUGAAACAUUCAAUCACUACUUUGAGUUGCAUGAAGGGACGGAUCAAAUAUCAACACACACAGACCUGUGGACGGGAUUUCAUACAGCCUCCAGAAAUGAUAUCACAGAAGAAGAUGCCAUGGCACGAAAGACAAGUGAGGUGUACAGUGAGGUGGAAAAAGAUAUUUAUGAUACAUUAUGCACAGAUAUUCCAGUAUUUUAAAAUAAACUACAAAUACUUAUGCAAGAAAAAAGAAGGAGAAAUACACUAUGAUAUUAACUAUGAUUCUAUUUGAAUAGUGGUUGUAUGAGUGACUUUUAUUUUUAUCAUUUUGCUCAUUUGUAUAGUUGCAAUUUUGAGCAAUGAAUAUGGAUUACUUUUUAAGGGAAUAAAAAGGAGCCAAUACAUUCUACUGGGAAAUGAUAAUGAAGAAGCGACUAGAAAUCUCCAAAUGGGAAUCUGAAACCUGGAAUUAGCUUCUAGGUGUAUCUGGAGAACAUCUGGAACCCUAUCAGCUCCCAUCAGCCUACUGGAAUAUAACUUUUCCUUGUCAGUUACCUCUUUCCUACCGGGUUACUUUUUCCCAGAGUCCUAGCUCUGACAGUGAGAUGAAAUUCUAGCUGUCUGCCAUGGAAAAAAAUUGGGCCGUGGAGGUAGGGGGAUCCUUUGAGAACAGCCGGCUCCUAAUUGAAAGGAAGUGAAAAUCCUCCAAACAUUUGCACGCACAGUUGAUGGAUCAUCCCUCACUUUUCCUCCAUCUGGUCUGUGGCCUCUUGCAGAAAC
This 153475-nucleotide long non-coding RNA is filed under the name Lynx pardinus (Iberian lynx). The record is from RNAcentral. Lineage: Eukaryota; Metazoa; Chordata; Mammalia; Carnivora; Felidae.